Molecule: long non-coding RNA, 91488 nt
Filed under: Glycine max (soybean)
Lineage: Eukaryota; Viridiplantae; Streptophyta; Magnoliopsida; Fabales; Fabaceae
Description: long non-coding RNA (GMAX_LNC004309)
Source: RNAcentral
AGCUGUUACCACUGUCAACCGUGCCGGUGCCGGCAUGGUUGCUCCAUUCACUGGCCUCAAGUCCAUGGCUGGCUUCCCCACCAGAAAGACCAACAAUGACAUUACCUCCAUUGCUAGCAACGGUGGAAGAGUGCAAUGCAUGCAGGUAUGACAACUCCACACAUAUAAAUACACAAGAGGCACCAAAAUGAUUAUAAUUCAUGUUACAUAUUUAGGCAUGUACCAAAAUGUUACUUAAAUAAACAUGUUAGUCAUAGGUUGCUUAAAUUUUAGUCAUAGGAAAAUUUGCACAUGUGCUAGUUAAUCUGUUAACCCCUUUACUCAAUUUUCAUGCAAAUUAAUUACUAGGUGUGGCCACCAGUUGGCAAGAAGAAGUUUGAGACUCUUUCCUACCUGCCAGACCUUGAUGAUGCACAAUUGGCAAAGGAAGUAGAAUACCUUCUUAGGAAGGGAUGGAUUCCUUGCUUGGAAUUCGAGUUGGAGGUCAAUUUCUUGCAAACACUUUUGGUUUAAUCAUAGAUUUUCUUAUUCUUAGUUUGUUUCAACUUAUUUUCAAGAAAUAAUGGCUUCUCUUGCUAGUGUGCUAAAAGUACUUUUGGAAACAAAACAAAAAAUGGUUGUGUUCCAAAAUUUAAAUUUAUCUAACAGAUUUUUCUAUUUGAGAGUUAUCAAUAUGUAUCAAAUCUGUUCCUAUCUCUGACCAAAUUUUAUUCUUCCAAAACAAGCACUUGGUUUUGAGUUUUGAUGGUUGAUCUGUUUGUUUGCAGCACGGUUUCGUGUACCGUGAGCACAACAGGUCACCAGGAUACUACGAUGGACGCUACUGGACCAUGUGGAAGCUGCCUAUGUUUGGUUGCACUGAUGCUUCUCAGGUGUUGAAGGAGCUUCAAGAGGCUAAGACUGCAUACCCCAACGGCUUCAUCCGUAUCAUCGGAUUCGACAACGUUCGCCAAGUGCAGUGCAUCAGCUUCAUCGCCUACAAGCCCCCAGGCUUCUAAGUGUGAAAAAUUUGCAAAGCAUUUGUAGCCGCCACCCCACUUUGUUUGUUUGUACUUAAACUACAUUCCCAUUUGUUUUUGCUUUUUGAGAUUUCAUCAUCCUGUAUUUUUGGUUUCUGUUUUCGGACUUCAAUGGAAAUUAAUGGAUGAGAACUAAUGAAUAAGCUAUUGUGUUGUGUUGCUUUGUUUCAAAAUAACUUCAAUAACCCAUCGUCCUUGCAUUUCUCUCUACUGGGCUGAAAUUAAUCAUUUCUAAAUUUAAGUUAAUUAAUUGUGUCUCUAAAUGAUGGUUAACAGGGGAACUCUGUGUUAUUCAAGUGCACUGCUUAGUUUAGCUGAGCUUGGCCUUACUUUGUCACAAGUCACAAAUCUGAUGUAUGAAUGUUCUUUAUACUUUGGUCUUCCAAGAAAUGAAGUUCAAGACACAUAGUUUGUAAACAUGUUGCUAGGAAGCUACUGAACUUUCAAAACCAAAUAUGAACUCGAUAAUUCUUGGAAACACAGAUAUUUUGUAUAGUAUAUAGCAACAAAAAACCACUAAGGAACUGCUACCAAAUCGUUUUGUUAUUUAUGUGCAAAGAAAGCGAUAUCAAAUUCAAAUUUUUAUUGGUUUCAGAAUCUUUUCUUUCCAAGCAAUAACCACCAACUGCAACGAAACCGUUUUGUUUGUUCCAUUUCUCACUCUCCUCACUGCAAUGUUCAAAUUCUGAUUUGGAAAACAGCACAUAAAAACACAAGAUUUGGUCAUGCUCUGGUUCUACCAAAUACUACAUUUGUUUCUAGAAUUGCCAGAAUCUGAUCCUUUUGCUGACAAUUAAUCUCUAGAAGAUUCUUUUGCUUGUAACUUGGUAGUUAUGGAUUAGCAACUGAUAAAUAAAUCAUUUAGUGGGCUCUAUGUUGUGAGUAGUGAUAGGUAACUUAUGUCGACACCUUUUAGUAGAUUGCAUUAAUAUUUAGACUGGACCCUUUUGAUAGCUACAUUUGUGAACAAGAAUACAAUACGAUAAAGAAAUAGAUAAGAAGUUUCACCUCCUAUACUCCCAUGACCACAUCAUGACAUAUUCAAUGCCAAUCGUGAAUAUACAAAUCAAUAGGAUUUGUUUUCUUCCAAAUAUUUAUUUGUGGACGUGAAUCUACUCACCCUAGAAGCAAGUUUCGUUAAAUUUCCUUUGUUUAAUAACUUUUUGUGAACAUUCAUUCUUUUUUAAUUCAACUUUUAUAUAAAAAUAAUUAGACUCAAAUUCCUUAAACAAGGUCUCAAGUUCAAAUUUUGUGAAUGAAAAAUAUAAUUAAAAGAAGAGACAUAAUUGAAGUAGUCAGUCAAGUUAUGACAAAGCCUUACAAUUCACAAAAUAACUAAAAUAUUAUAUCAAUCAACUUCAUUUUAAUGGAUAGUAGUAUUAUUCUUUUAAAAUACAAGUAAAUGUUAACUAUAAGAUAAUCUUUAUGGUAAUAUAUUACAAAAUAUAAUAGUUAAGGGUCUCUUUGGGGGAUUGUUAGUUGUUAGUUUCAUUUGUUUUUAAAAUAACAAUCAAUUUUUAGUUUUAGUAUAAAAAGUUUUUAAAACCAGUCUUUAAAAUUUGAUUAGUUUUCUAACUAUUAGUUUUAAGAUUAAGUCAUUUUAAAAUUUUCUAAUCUUUUUAAAAUUAAUUUAAGAGUGUAUUUUUAUAUAUGAUGAUAACGACACCAACAACAACAAUGGUGGUAUUUUUGGUGGCGAUAGCAAAGUCAAUAGUGAUAAUAACAGUGUCAAUGAUGGCAGUGAUACUAGUGGUGGUGUUGGUGUUGAUAGUUAUAAUGCAGUAUUGCUAAUAAUGGUAGUGAUUGAUAGUAAUGGGAGCAGUGAUAGUGUUGACAACGAUAGUAAUAGCGGUGAUGUUGGUUGUUGGUGUCAAUAACAAUGGUGACAGUGUUGAUAAUAAUAGUGAUUGUGUCAAUGAUUAUGAUGAUGAUCAUAAUGACGACAUAGAUGGUGGUCCUGGUGUUAGUAGAGGCAAUGAAAAGUGUCAUUAUCAAAUGUAGAGAGUGUGUACUUUUUUAAAAUUAAAAUCAAAAUUACAAAUAUUUUUUGCCCAAAACUUUUGGUUUUAAAAAUUACAUUUAAAAAUAAAAUAUAAAAAACUCACAAUUACGUGACCAAACCCUAAGUCUUUUAAAUCAAUUAGUAUUCUAUAAAGAAAUAGUAUUUUUGAAGUAUUUAUAUAAUUUAAGUAUUUACUUAUUCUUAGAGUGAAUAGAUCCCUUUCGUUUGUUUUAUUCAUCAUACAGAAUCAAUAAUACAGUGGAAUCCUUCUGAAUAUUUUCUUUUAUAUAUAUAUAUAUAUAUAUAUAUAUAUAUAUAUAUAUAUAUAUAUAUAUAUAUAUAUAUAAUGUACCUGGAAAAAAUAAUCUUCCAUUAGUGAGACAGACAAAUAUAACCUUAUUUCCAUAGAGCCUGCAAAAACCUAACUAUCCAGUCAAUAUUUUAUAUUUCCAUAGUUUUUCUGACAAACCAACUUCUUUAAUAUAUUUUUCAAAAGUUUUCAAAUAAGUUAUAUAACAUAUCAUAAUAUUCAAGGUUUUCCAAGAGGAAAUUUAAAAAUUGUUAUUUUGACAAGAUAAGUGCUACAUAAUUGUGUGGUCUAUACCGACUAAUGAGUCAAGGCAUCGUGACUAUGUCGUAACAAAAAAGGUAAAGAAAAACAAGUCAUUAUCAUAGCAUUAUUUGAAGUUGAAGAAUAUUACGUAGUGUGAUAUGAUUUAUUUAUGACUGUUUUGGUUGUUUCCGUUGCGUUUUAUGAAUGGAAGAUCAAAUAGCUAGCUAUAAAAAGACCCUAAACAGAUAACAACCUAUUGGUAAUUUUUUUUUGUUUUAGGCUAUUCAAUUAGAUAUAGGCUCAUAUAUGUAGAUUUUAUAAGUUUAAGCCACAAAAAAUAUAUUUUUAUUAAAACAAUAAAAAGAUAUUGCCGUAGUGUUUAUACGAGAAAUGGCGCAUAGUGAGGUGCUCGAUCGAGUCUCUAUCAAUUUGCUUUUGAUGUGUGCAAAGGAAAAGAAAAGAGAAAAGAGGAAAGUUACAAAGUGAAUGCUUAGAUACUUAUAUCUUAAGUAAAUCCUUGUGUCUUUAUAAUAAAGUUGGAUAAAGACACAUUAACACUCAUCUUAUUUUUUUAAUUCCCUGAGUAUUUAACUCAAUUAGAUACUUAAAGAUUUAAAUUUGAGGCUGUUAUUAGUUAAAUUAAAAUAAUUUCACAUAAAUUGAUUCAAACACAUAUUAUUUGACAUCUUAAGAGAAAAAGAAAAAAAAAUGAAAUGUAAACAAGAUAAAUUAUAUGAUAUGAUAAGAAAGAAAAGACAAAAAUAAAUUGAAGAUGUCAAAUAAAUAUCCAUGUAUCAUUAUUAAUUAAGUUUCAAAAUCAAAGACUGAUACAUGAUUUUUUUUUUAAAAUUCAAAAUAUAUCUCAGUGAAAACUAUUUAAUGUUUAAAAUAACAUUCAUAUAUCAAUGUUUUAUUUGAGCACUAGUUGUUUUGAAUUUAUUUUUGGCAUCUCUCUCAUUUCCUUUUUCUUGAUCACUGCUUCCUUUUUCCCAUUUAUUUUCCCGACAAAACAAUUUUAGUACAACACAUCCUACAUGCACCAUCUAAAGGCUCUCUCACAAACCCAGUCUAAUUAAGGACAAAUUAAUACGGAGAAAUUAAUUAGUUCUCGACUACUACUGUAUAUUUAUAAUAUUGAUUAAUCUUUACCAAACAUGAUACGUAUUAAAGUUUUUUAAUUUAAGAAAAAAUUAAUAAUGCUAAAUUGUAAACACUCUUAGAUUGCUUAAUAAUUUAUUCUCUUAAAAAAUUAUUAGAUGUCCAAAACCAUCCUAGACUCUAUUAAAACAAGGCCACUUAUAUAAUAAAAACAUAAUAUACAAGACUAUUAAUUUUUUUAUUAUUAAUUAAAAAACCUGAAUAUAUAUAUAUAUAUAUAUAUAUAUAUAUAUAUAUUAUCGGUAAAUAUUAUUAGUUUUUGUUAACAGAGAAAAUCAAAUUUAUGACUUUUUUUUUUCUUUUUCCAUCUCCCAUAAUCUUCUAAUUCAUCUUAUAUUUUCAAAAUUCUGAAAAGGUAUCAUACAAAUUGAUUCAGGCCAUAGAGAUGUAGUGAUCCGAAACUACUUAAUAUAUAGUUUCUUCCACACUCACGGCACUCAAAUAUUUCAUUUCCUCACACAUAGACUGCACCUCCCCCCUCACACACUCACACACUCACUCAUUCACAACACCACACUGACUUAUUCAUAUUCAUCCGUCACAUGAAAGGCAAUGGCAAGCACACACACAAGUUACACAGCAAAUCCAAACUCUUCAGUGGCCUUAUUUGCACCAUGCAACCAUAAUAUCCACCCAUUAUAGAUCUUAUAGACAAUAGCAUAUAUAGCCACACCAUAUGCAUUAUGAAUCCAUGGAACAAUCAUAUAUCAUUCGUGAAAAAAAAGUAAAACAAGUCUUCAAAGCUUUUCCCAACCAUAGAACUUCUCAACCAAGUCUUUAAACCUUCACGUGAAUCUGUCAUCAAGACAGCCCCUAAAUUAAGCUUGAGCCAUCUGUGUCAUACACGUAUAAGAGGUCACGCAUGGUUUACAUCAAGUAAGAAAAGAAGCUAUCAUAAAGAUAUUACUUCUAUUUUUUGUUGUUGAAUAAGUCUAGGGUAUAAUAUAUUGUUGAUUUCUCAAAAUAGUUGAGAACGAUAGUUUUAGUUCUUAUUAAAAUUUAAUAUGUUUUUAUUCUUUAUAUUUAUUAAAAGUGACAUGAUUUUAAUUCUUUCAUCAUGAACUAAAAACACAUACAUCUGAAUAAAUAUAAGAACUAAUAACACACACACACACACACACACACACACACACAUAUAUAUAUAUAUAUAUAUAUAUAUAUAUAUAUAUAUAUAUAUAUAAUUCUAUUUGUAUUUUAUCUCUUGCUUGGUUGUCGUGGUAAAGGCGUAAGGCAUAGCCGCAUGGAUAUGAACUUAUCAUAGGGCUCCAUUGAAUCAGAUCAGUUUAAACUUAAAGCUUUUGAAAAUUAUUAUUAAAAAAAUGAAGUUUUGAGGACAUCAAAAUUACGUCACUGAAAGAGAAUAAUGACUUCUUUUAACUUUUUUUUUUCCCUGUUGUAAACUUAGGAUUUUCAAAACCCGAGUUCCAAAUUUGCAAUGGUUUCUUGUUUUUGAUUCGUAAGUGGAUUACACAAAUUUCAUUUUGACGCAAACUGUUGGAUUAUUUUAAUAUUAUGUUCUAGUUGUAAUUAAAAGCCAUUAGGAUUAAUUUAGAAAACUAAGAAUAAAUCUAUAAUAAAUUUCUCUUAUCUUUUCAAAAUACUCAUUAGUCUUUUUAAAAAAAACCCACACCGAAUAGUAUUUUUUAGCCAUAAAAAAAAUAAGGGAACGAAAGACUGAGGGAGGAAAGCCAUUUUAAUUAAAAAAAUAGAAAAUGAAAAAAAUAAAUUGAAAACACAAGAAAAAUAUCGGGCCAGAAAAUAAAUAUGAAUUAUAAUAAUCAAGAGCUUCAUGCAUGCUUAGUAGUUUUCUGUGCAUUAAAGAACUCUAGAGAAAUUAUGUGUUAUGAUCUAUUCUUACAAAAACAUAUGCCAUAGCCUGUGAACGGGAUCCGUGUUCAUGGUCUCUUGUAUAUGCUUUUGUUCUUUAAUUGUUAAUAAUUAAGAACACAUGCCGUAGUGCAAGUUUAAAUCAUAAAGAGUUAUGGAUACCCAUAAUAUUCUAAGAGAUAUAAAAUAAAGAAAUAAUUAAGUUUUUCAUAUUUGAAAUAUAGUUUAUUUUUAAAAAAUUACUUAACAUUCUUUUUUUUCUCUCUAAUACCUAAAAAAAUUUUGCAUUUCAUUUUAGUACUUGUCGUUAGUCCACAUCCAUUAAAUAAUGAUAUAGCAAACGGAGUAUCACGUCAUCACACCUAAUUACUAAACACAUAUGCACAAACAUUCACAUCAUUAAUUUUUGUUUUUGUUUUUUUAAUAUUAAAAAAUGAAAGCCAAAAAGGAGAGGGGGAGUCGUCCGUGGUGGUGUGGGAGGCGCGGCCACCACCGUCUUGGACACUCUUUGGAACUUCACCUUCGUCGCCGCCAUCGUCACCAUCUUCUUGAGCUAUCCACUGGAUAGGGUCCAUCGUCAAGCGAUGAUUUCCCACAGAACAAAAAAUCUGCUAUGCUUCACUUUCUUGCUUUUGCAUUUUCUUGUGGAAAAAAAAUCCUCACAACAAAAAUAGGUUGUCCUUUUCUUUGAUCUACCAAAGCUUUAAAUUUUCCUUAGGUGCGUACUUCAAAUUCUUCUUCUCCUACUCCUAACUGCUCCUUUUUUUUUUUUUUCAAAUUCUCUGUGCGUUUCUAAGGAUUUUGCAUGUUUUGUUCUUCUCUUUGCUGUGUGUUUUGACUUUUAUUGUUUGCGUGUGUGGCAGUUUGGUUUGUUUGUGAGUUUGGAGUGUGAUGCCACCAUCGGCGGUGAUCACGGAGGAGGAGGGGCAGAGCAAAGAUGUCUUCACUGAUAUUGAACUCGCGGAAGUUGAAUUGCCAGAUUUAGGGGCUCUCUGUGCCCCAGGUAAGGAGGUUCCUGUAGUUAUACUCGUCCACGAUUUCACAUAUCAACGCGAACUCCUCCUUGAGGUUAUCAUUCCAAACUUCCUUGAUUUGAACCGAAUCGCCUUUUGGUAAAAUCAACAUAUCAAACGAACAAAUCUGAGUAGCAAAGUGAGAAUCACAAUCAAACCCCCCAUAUCUGUAACAAAAACAUGCGGAAACAAUUCAGAUCUCAAAACCUAACAAAUCCAAAACAAAAAUCGAUGAUAUUUCAUUGAACGAGGAAACAAAUAUAAACAAAAUCAACAAGCCGCGAUACAUAAAGAGGAUUUGAGUGAGUAGAGCUUCGAAUCGGGGGCAUGCAAUCAAGCUUCGUAUCGACGACGACGACAACAACGAAGGCAGAGUUCCAGAGAGUGUCCAAGACAGUGGUGGUCGCCGCCUCCCGCACUAUAACAUCCCAAUUUCGUGAAUUAAAUUAAAAAGGUUUUUCAUUUAAAAUAGAGUUUUAGAAAAAAAAAUGAUGAGGUUUUUGUAAUUAAAUAAAUAAGGAGAAAUAACUUUAUUAAAAUAAUGGUUUGAAGGAAAAUAAAAAGGAUAUUUGAUUUAUUCAUUUGAUAGGAAAUAACAUAGAGUAUUUGUUAAUAAAAUAAUAAAAAUAAAAAAUAGAGUAAAUAAUAAGCUAAGAGUACCUAGCUAUAAAUAAAGACAUGCUAGGUUAUUUUUCAGACUGACGGUAGUCUCUGUGGUUUCUCUUCCUUUCAGUUUCUUUUUUCUUUCUCCUCCUCCCAAAACUAUUUUUCCCGCAUACACUCAAGCCUAUCUCAAUAAAAUUAUGAUCUCGGACUCGUUAAACGUUGGAUCAUUGUGAAAUUUGAGUACUAGGUUUAGAACUUAAUUCCAAAUAUUCUCACCGUUGGAAUUUGCGAAACUAUAUUGGAGCUGAGAGAAACUCCCUUCGUAUUUUAGCUUUCUCUUUUCCCGCAGAGACCCGAAACCUAUCCCGGUAAAACUAUUAUCCUGGACUAGUUAACCGUUGGAUCAUUGUGAAAUUUGAACACCAAGUUUGAAAUACAUUUCCGCAUAUCUUCACCAUCGGGAUUUGCAAAAUGAUUUCUGGGGAGGGAGAAACACUCAUUGCACGUAGACAGUGGAAUGAAGGAUUCAAAUUCUUUUCCUUCUCUCUAAUAUUUGGAAACCUUAUCAGAACAACCAGAGAAAAAGCUUGAGGAAUCUCAGGAAAUUGUUAGAGAUUCCACUAUUGCUGUCAGAAUACACACGUGAGCCCGCUUAGAGGUAAGGGAUGAGUUAUUCAUAAUUGGAGAGUAGUGAGAACAUGUGUAGGGAUCCUUAGAGUAUCAAUUGGAAUGAGUUUUUAGGUUGUUUUUGCAAAUUUUGAUUCUAUCUUUACAAUUGUAACUGUGAAUUAUAUAUUUUUUUACGAACCAAUUGAUGUUCCAAUUAGAAAUUGCUGUGAAAUUCAUGUGUUCUUGUGUUGAGUGUGAACCUUAAAAAUUGAGUUCUUUUUAUUAACGUAAAUUAUACUCUAAAUAAUAUUCUUUUAACGGCUUAUUUUAUACAAAUUAUUAUCUUGUUCUGUAUUUUUCCACAACGAUAAUCAACAUGUUAUGUGUUUAUAUAUAUAUAUAUUGUAAUACAAAAAUAAUAAAUUAAAGAAAGUUGUAAAGGUUAAUGUCUAGUAGUAAUUUCUUUUGAUGUAAUCUUAAAUUAAUUGUUAUAGAAAUUCUUUUUGAUUGAAAAUAAUAUAGUUUGAUUUAAUAUAUAUAUAUAUAUAUAUAUAUAUAUAUAUAUAUAUAUAUAUAUAUAUAUGUUUUGUGUCAUGCAAAUAUUAUUAUUGUGUGAAUAUAUAUAUAUAUAUAUAUAUAUAUAUAUAUAUAUAUAUAUAUAUAUAUAUGUUUUGUGUCAUGCAAAUAUUAUUAUUGUGUGAUGUGUAUAUGAGUUAUGAGACGUGAUAAAUUAUUAUAAUAAUAUUAUAAUAUUAUUGUUGAGAUCAAGUAUAAGUGUAAAGUUAGACAUGUGUUACUUUGUGAAAUACACAUGAACAUGUGAUGGUGGAUUAUGAUAUUAUGAGAUGUUAAGUUGUGGUCAUGAGAUUUGGUUGUGAAUAAGUGUGUGUUUAACACUUGAUGUGAUAGUAUUUGUGUUGUGAGCUAUGAAUUAUACAAUAACCCAAUCAGUGUUUACCUUGAGAAAAAGUGUUUAUGCGUAGUGUUAAAGGAAAAGUGUAGGUUUCCUAGUUAGGAACCAAUGUUAAAUUGUAGCGCAAUGUGUUAAACGUGUUUGAAACAUGAGCGUGAGGUCAUGAAUAUUGUAUAAUUCAUGAGCAAUGUCUGCAUGCAAAAAUUGUUUUAGGGGUUGAAACUGAAUCAGGAAGGUGAGGCCCUAACGGAUUCUUCGUAGUCUAGGCCUUGAGGGUAAAGACACUCAGUUUGAGUGCUCCUUUAAGCCUAUAUUGAUCUCAUAUGGUUGGAGCAUUCUCACAAAACAGAGUUAUCCUGACUGGUCACCUUAUGAUUUUACUUAGUGAGAGUGACCUGACAUACCCAUUGUAUGGUGUGACUUGUUUGUACUCCUAAGUGCCCCGGGGUGGUUUUUCACUGACAUGGUACCACAUUGCAUAUAGACUUGAGUCUUAGCAUAACUAUUGCAUAACGCUUGCUAAUUGUUUACUAUGAAAUUGAUGAGUGUUAUUAUGUCUUGAUCAGAGUAUGUGAUUCAUGUGUAAUGUGAUUGAUGAUUGAAAAGUGAAUUUUAAAUGACAAAGUGGUGGAAUUACGUGAGUUAUGUUUAAAUAAGUUAUAUCUCAUUUAUAUGAUAUGUAUAUCUAGUUGUCUUGUUUCUCUAUUAGUUAGAAAUGUGAUAACUCACUCCUCGUGUGUUGUUUGUGUUUGAAUCUUGUGAUGAUCUCGAACUUUGUGUUCGGGGGAACAUAUGACUAGGUGGAUUGCUUUAAGGAACCUUAUGCUGAAGGAUGUCGGGACACAAUACUCUGAUAGGACGUGACAUCACGGCAUAAGUUUCUAUAUUAAUUGCAUGAAGUCUUGAACGACCUUGUUUUAAGUCGAGAUAUUUUCGUAUUUAUUGGACAAGUCAUUUUAUGAUGUUAGAAAAGUAAAUGUGAGCCUUUUACAAUUUUGAAAUGCUUUUAUUUAAAUGUGCUUUAAAAACUUUUAAUUAAUUCUAAAUUCUUAUUUCUUUUAUUAUUAGUACAUAUAUGUAUGGGGUAGAGGGUGUCACACGUACCGCCACGAACGACUCUCCCUCUCUUUUUUGGCUUUCAUUUUUUUAAAAUAAAAUAAAAAAAAAUUAAUGAUGUGGAUGUCCGUGCCUACAUGUUUAGUGACUAGGCGUGAUGACGUGACACUCUAUCUGCCACUUCAUCACUCAAUAGAUGUGGACUAACAACUGGUACGAAAAUGAAACGCAAAAAUUUUCCUAGUAAAAAUGAUAAUAUUAGGUAGUUUUUUUAAAAAUGGAUUAUAUUCAAGGUAUGAAAAACUUAAUUAAGUCUAAAAUAAACUAUCCUUUUUGUUAUUGUAAAAUAAAAAUUUGAAGACCAUCUAAUUCACCUCAUAAUCAGUUUCAAGUCCAACCAAUUCUAUUCAUCCAUGCUUCACUCAGGUUCUUUUGAGACCUUUUAAGAAAAAGAAAAAGGAAAUGACGAGGCCCUUAUUUAGAUGUAAUAGAGGUGUUUAAAAUUAAAAAAAAAGAUCGUCAGCAAAAAAUUGAAAUGAAUGUGCAUGCAAAGUUAAAACCUAAAAGAUUAAUCGAUCAAUGAUGGAACACCCAAAUAGUCGUAUUUUAGUUUCUGCCAAGCUCCAAAGGGAAAAAGCAUUUUGUAAAAUCAGUCAAUAAGUUAGUAGAUAAAUAUAAAUUGACACAAAAAAAUAUAUGUAGGUAUUUGAGGUAAAAAGUGAUUAAAAAAACGAGUGAGAAUAAAAGAAAGCUACUAACUUAUAAACUAGAGCUUAUUUUCGUAAGUUAAUUGAUACAGUUUAUGAAAAUAAACUACAAGUUAAUAAAAUAAACUUAAACUUGUGUACUAAACAAACUUAUAAGUUGAUUAAAGUAAUUUGUAAGCUAUUAGAGUAUCAUACGAAAACAUUUAGUAUUCAUUCAGAGUCGCAAGUUGCUAGUUUUGGAACUUGUAUUUAGAAGUUUCUCUCGGUGCUUUAAAAAUUUGGAGGUAUUUAUGGUCUCAGAUUAAGACUUGUCACUUCAUAUUAAUUUUUGCUUAAUAAUUGCAUGUUGUUCCUUUCCUUUAUUUCAUUUUUGUCAUAUAACUAGUUACACUAUUAGAAAAUACACCUUCUACAUCAGUUAUUUAAGACCUUUUACAUUGGUUUUUAACCGAUGUUGAAAGUAUUAUCGUUAACAUUGGUUUUACAAAACCGAUGUUAACGUAAAAUUGACAACAUUGGUUAUCUAAAUAACCAAUGUUAUAUAAUAAGAAUUACACCAAAAAAGUGUAUGAAUGUUGAUAGGUGACAUUGAUUUUUCCACAAAACCGAUGUUAACUUAUAUAUUAACAUUAAGACCUUUUACAUUGGUUUUUAACCGAUGUUGAAAGUAUUAUCGUUAACAUUGGUUUUACAAAACCGAUGUUAACGUAAAAUUGACAACAUUGGUUAUCUAAAUAAUCUAUAAGUUAACAUCGGUUUUUACAAAAACCCGAUGUUAACGUGUAGAUUAACAUUGAUUUUUCCACAAAACCGAUGUUAAGUUACACAAACAACAUCAGUUUAUAGAAUCCACAACUGUAUAACAAAUAUGCUGAGACAUUGACCACCAUGUGCAAUUUUGGAGAGAUCUUCGUGCUUGAUGUACAAUGGGAAGUCUGGAUUAAACACCCCGAACACGGUAGCAUCCCACAUAACCUAGAGAGGCUUCAAGAAAAGCUGUGGGAUGGUCAAUGUCAUCAAAUACAGGGGAUCAUUGACCUCAGGAUCCGGCCUAUCUGGAGGCUUUGAUGGAGACACAGUUGCCUGUUUAUCAAACAUAGUGAAAUAACAUAAUUUAAUUACAGUGAACAAAUCAACUGAAAAAAGCAUAUAAUCAUAGUAAAAUACUUGUUCUAAUACACGCUUCACGAGAUAUGUCGGCCAAGCAAGGAAAGUGUUCAGUGCCUGCCCCACUAGUUGAACCUCGUCAAUGGGUACAGGAACGGGAGCCUCUGCAUCUUUAACCUUCUCAACACCAACCUUCACGUGGCCAUGCAACAAAGGGAUGUUGUGAACAACUGUGGAUCCCUCAUAAACUUUUCCUAGGACAACCAGGCGGGAAGGAUUUUCUUCGAUGUACAGCCCGCAUUUGUCUGAGUCACCCGUCUUUGGAUCGGUCGGUGAGGGAUCAACGCAACUCCCUUUUGUGCUAACACAGGCAGCUAGGGGACCAACCUCAGGCUCCAGAGGCAGUGCAAGUCCCUGUGAUUGCAUCUGUGACUGAAGCUAGGACUACAUCUAGUUGAAGGAUGCCAUGAGCUGCCAAGUCACUUUUUCUGUGAUUGACUCCUCCAACUGGUCCCUGAUUUGUUGAGUGAGCUGCUCAAGUUCUUUGGGAGGGAUGAAGGAGGAAUUGCGGGAGCUUUGUAGAGUGGAGCCGAAGUAUUGCUUAAUGGUGACACCGGCUCUAGCAGCAUGCACACGGCCAGGGUGUUCUGGUCACCCAAUGGUAGCAAUCAAGACAUCCUGACGACCAUGGGGGACAAACGAACCCUGUGACGCCUGCUCCUCCAAAGAAUCUUGUACGUAACACAUAUAUUUGUCCAAGGCAUUCACAUAAUAAACAAACAUAAUUACAAUUCUUAAUUUACAUUUGACUUACAAUCUUCUCAGCGAUUUCCUUUGCGGCCUCAGAUGUCAUCUACCCAGUUUUCUUGGUGUGAGCCAUCUUCUACUUCACGUGUCGUCUGAUGGGAGAUGGAGGGUUAAUGACGCCCUUAGUGCUUCCGGACUGAGCAGCUUCCUCUAGUUUUUUCUUUGUCUUCUCAACCAUUAGCUUCUAUUCUAAAUAAUCAUAACCCCCACAAGACAACACGUGGGGGGUGGUGUUUUGCUUCUAGAUGGCCCGUGCUUUUUUCCGCACAUCCAGCAAAAUUCAAACAUUAAUCAAAAUGAUUUCUACAAUCUAUUAUAAGAACUGAAUUUUUAGUGGAAACAAUUCAAAUUACAAAGUACAUACCUCCCAUGAGGGAUCUCGGCGGGUCUGACAAAACCGGACCCAUUUCUCCUUGCUAAUGUCGUACUUUCACAAAUAGUGUCGUCCACACCGUCCUUGUUGGCUGCAAGUGCCCAUUUCCUGGUCAAAUCGGAUUUAAACUGCCUCCACUGCUUGCCCACCGUCUGAAGACUUUCUUCUUUGUCCUACUGUCAGAAGAUUCAGGGAUUUCAAAUUCCACUUGACAAACAAUAAAUUAGGUUUUAUUGUUAGUAAAUUAUAAAUUUUGGCUACUAAACAAAAUCAAAGAAGAAAACAAACAUACCUGAAUAUCCUCCCAUAUCAAAUCCUUCUGAGCCGCAGGGACUUCCUUCCAGGUCUCGUAUGUCACGUCGACCUUAUCACGAGCGACAAUCCCCAAAUAUGUUCUUAAUUUCUACUUUUAGGGACCGUCGGCCUUGCCAGUCGCAGGAUCAACGUGGACCACUGGUCUGCACACCGGUGUUGCUGUCAACCCAUUUACAUUUGAAAACACACACAGUAAAUUUGACAUAGUUAAGCUCCCAAAUUUCAUUAAUGAACCCAAAGUAAGGGAUGGAAGCUACACAGGGAUUGUCAUCAUGCACACUUGCGAAGUGCUGACAUUCAGCCCUUAGGGUGACCUCGCUGUUUUGCAUUGUACUUUUGUCGUCUUGUGCUUUUGUGAAAAAGGAAUACUUGUUUAUGUUGUAUCCUUGCCAAGUUAUAACAUUUCUUUUAGGCCCAUCUGCUAGCUUUCUAAAUGUUUAUGAAGCAUUUUCAUCAACAAAGAUUGUAUCUUUAAACCAAUCAGAGAAAGUCUUGUUAUGCUUUUUCAAAACCCAAUUCUUUGACAUUUUUGGAUUAUUUUGUUUGACUAAAGCUUCAUGCUGAAGUGUGUAUGACAAAACUUCAUUACUGUUGUUCAACACAUACAAGUGAGCUUGUAAUAAAUCUUCUACACUUGGAGUGAUAACAUGCAGUCCUCUUGAACCCUUACCACCCACUCUGUCGUUAUGACGAGACUUAGAAAGGCCAAUAGGUUUAGCCUUUUCAAUGUACUCUGAACAAAAUUCAAUGGCUUCUUCUGCAAUGUACCUUUCAACAAUAGAUGCUUCUGGAUGAUGUAGAUUCUUGGUAUACCCUUUUAAGAUCUUCAUGUAUCGCUCAACCAGGUACAUCCACCGCAACUAAACAGGACCACAACAUUUGAUUUCUCUGACCAGAUGAACAAUUAAGUGAAUUAUGAUGUCAAAGAAAGCAGGAGGAAAAUACAUCUCCAACUGGCACAGUAUAAUUGCAGCCUCAUUUUCCAAGUCAUCAAACUUGACAGGAUCAAGGACUUUGCUACAUAUGGCAUUGAAGAAAAAGAACAGGCGAGUUAUGACUAACCUGACUUUGUUAGGCAAAAUGUCUCGUAGGGUCACGACUAACAAUUGUUGCAUCAACAUGUGACAAUCAUGAGACUUUAACCCUACUAGCUUAAGCUCCUUCAACUGCACAAGGCUCUUAAUAUUUGAAGAGUAUCCUUAUGGGACUUUCACCCGACGCAGACAUUGACAAAAACUUAUCUUCUCCUUUCUGGACAAAGUAUGACAAGCUGGAGGCAAAUAUAUUUUUUUCCAUCAGACCUUGGAUGCAACUGCAAUCGUAUACCCAUGUCAGCUAGAUCAUUAUGGGUAUUCAAACCAUCUUUCCUCUAGCCUUGAAUGUUAAGGAGCGUCCCAAUGACAUUGUCACAUACAUUUUUCUACACAUGCAUAACAUCAAUACAAUGUCUAAUAUCUAGAUUAGACCAGUACGGAAGAUCAAAGAAAAUGGACCUCUUCUUCCAUAUGCAAGUCUUACUUUUAUCCUUCUUUUUCGUGCUCUUGACUUCUAUUAAAUGCUUUUUUCAAUCGCCUGUAAGGGUGAUGAGGUUUUAGAAAACGUCGAUGCCUAGUGUAAACUGUUUUUCUACCAUGUUUUAGUUGUAUGUAGCUUGUGUCUUCUUCACAGAUGGGGCAUGCAUAAUGACCCUUAACAUUGUAACCGCUCAGAUUCCCAUAUGCUGGAAAGUCAUUAAUGCUACAAAAAAACAUUGCACGCAUUUCAAAAGUCUCAUUGCGAAACCCAUCAAACACUAAAACCCCCUCCUCCCAAACCUUUCUCAGGUCUUCAAUCAACGGACUUAGAUAAACAUCAAUGUCAUUUCCUGGCUGUCUUGGGCCCGAUAUUAUCAUAGACAACAUCAUGUAUUUUCGCUUCAUGCACAACCAAGGAGACAAAUUGUAAAUUACCAGUAGAACUGGCCAUGAACUGUGUUGAGUGCUUAAAUUGCCAUAUGGAUUCAUUCCAUCACUGGCUAAUCCUAGCCUAAGAUUUCUUGCCUCUUUGCCAAAAUCCGGAUACAAACCAUCAAUCUUCUUCCACUGGGAGCAAUCAGCUGGAUGAUAGACCAUUCCAUCAGAGUUUCUCCCAUUUGCAUGCCAGGUCAGGUCUUUUGCGUCGUCUCCAUUUGCAAAAAGACGCUUAAACCUUGGAAUGAUGGGAAGAUACCACAACACCUUUGCUAGAGGGCCCUUCUUUGAGUUUUCAUCAGAACUACAGUCCUCAUCAUCCUUCACCUUGUGCCGUGACGCCCCACACGUAGGGCAUUUGGACAUUUCUUCGAAUUCAUGCCUGUACAGUAUUUAAUCAUUCAGGCAAGCAUAAAUCUUCUGAUACUCCAUACCCAUCAGACACAAUAUCUUCUUGGCCUGAUAGUAACUUUUAGGCAACGUGUUUUCCUCUGGAAGCAGCUCAUGAACUACUUGAAGCAGUGAAGUAAAGCUUUUGUCCCUCCACCUAUAUCUGGCCUUGACAUUAACCAAACUUAACACCACCGACAACAACGUCAAGGAAUUCUUGCACCCCGUAUAUAGAGGCUUCUGUGAAGCAUUUUGCAAUCCUUCAUACAUAGGGGCAUGUGCUUGCUAAAAAGACUCUUGCCCAAGGUCACGAAUCAUAUCCUCCAAACGAUCUCCCAUUUCUACAUCAAACGGUUUAGAUUGGGACCCACUCUACAUGUCUAUCAAUUCACCAUGCCAUAUCCAUGUUGUGUAAUUCUUCUUAAUCCCAUUACACAAUAGAUGCUCUCGUAUGUCGUCCAGUAGUUGUCGUCUUCCGUUCAAACAAUUGAUGCAAGGACAAUAAUAUUUUCCAUCUUCAUCCGGUCAACCUCUUUCUGAAGAAAAUUGCAAGAACUGCUCGACGCCUUCCUCAUAUUCUAGGCUGAUGCGACUUUCAUUCAUCCAACUUUGAUCCAUCUAAGUAAUAACUCCGUGAUGCUCACAAAGUUAUUCAAUGCAUGAAAAUCUCACUUUUUUAUUAUAGGUGUGGCCCUAUCCGAUUCAGGAGGACAGUCUUUUAUGGUAGCUUCAUACGUCAGGGGUAAUUCUAUUUUGUUAAAUUUGACAAAAUUUUGGCAGCAUUUCGCAUUGGUCUCCAAGUACACGAUAUGAAAUUAAUUUCUUGAUAAUCAAGUAUGGACUCAGAGAACAACUCGAAAUGCAUUGUACAGAAAUUUCAUCAAAUUAAACAAAAUAAUGUUAACCUUAACGCAUGAAUCUACCAUAAAAAUAUCAGUCUCUCCAAACUGUCCAAACAAACAAUUCAAGAUUGAAUACAAUGAUUAAUGCAAACUGUCCGCAAGAAUCAUUGCAUUCAGUCUCAAACGGGAAUCUAAGGUUCACUCAUCAUGAACACAAUUUGUAUAGCAUAUAUCAAUUGUCAUUAAUGACAAUGAACAAGUAAUAAAAAUAUUAAUUGGUAACAAACAUUUGUACCUGUGAUGAUGAACAACACGGUCCUAAAUGAAAGCAAGAAUCAAAGAUAUAACUCAAUGACCACCUACGUCAAUCAGCAAACUGAUAUAAAUAUGUGACAAUGAGUAGGCUUAAAGUUUAAAUUUGCUUUAAGUGCUUCAUCAAAUGAGUAGGUUGUGUGUGUGUGUGUGUGUGUGUGUGUGUGUGUAAAUAUGUGACAAUGAGUAGGCUUAAAGUUUAAAUUUGCUUUAAGUGCUUCAUCAAAUGAAUAGGUUGUGUGUGUGUGUGUAAAUAUGUGACAAUGAGUAGGCUUAAAGUUUAAAUUUGCUUUAAGUGCUUCAUCAAAUGAGUAGGUUGUGUGUGUGUGUGUAAAUAUAUGACAAUGAGUAGGCUUAAAGUUUAAAUUUGCUUUAAGUGCUUCAUCAAAUGAGUAGGUUGUGUGUGUGUGUGUGUGUGUGUGUGUGAAAGUUGCAAUCUUAGAUUUAUAAUGCUCUAAAAUCUGAUAGGAAUAUAGAUAAAGCUGUAUUGUUGACAGCUGUGUAACUUACUUAACAGCUUGCUGCUAAUUAAUAGUAAAUAUUAUAGAGAUUCAAACCUAGCUUCAGCUUUCACAAUGGUGACAAGGGCUUCCCAAAAGCAAGCAGUAGAGGUACUCCCUAUGCCUUGCAGCUAAAGCAGUUGCAGAGAAGCAAGCAAAAGCCAAAAUAGUUGCCACAAAUGCACUAAUGAUAAGGCUGCAGAAUGAAGAAAAAUGACAAAACAUCAUUCAAAACUCAACACUAGUCACAGAAGCAACUGGCCAUUAAUCACAAAGCAAUUAACUCAACAAAUACCCCAAUCACAAAUCAAUCAUUUUCCCCUUUCCUAACAACAACUACUUUCUGGUUUCCUCAUUAAGUCCUUCUUUCCUUAUAAUUGACAAACUUGAUUCACUAAAUGCAUGCAAUCUACUCUUUAAAGGUUUAGUUUGAUUUCUCACAUUCAAUUAGUUUUUUGUGAUCUACUCACAAAACCUUAGAAUAUGCUUUCCCUGGUCACAAAGAGUUUGAAACAAUGUCCAUUUAUGUUAAUGAUGUUAUCCUAGUUAUAGGUCCAUCUUAUCUAAACCACAGGAUUGGUAAUUUGAGUAAAUUACGCAGUAAAACUACAAAACUGGAUCAAUCAAUAGAGAGAACCAUGCUCAAGUUGCAAUGAAUGAAGAUAAUACGAAGACAAUGCUAAUGGUACAUAGACUUCUUGCUUAUGAGUAAAUGGCUAAUGGUUCAUUGGAUAAAUGGAUAUUCAACAAGAACAAAGAGGAGUUUAUGUUGGAUUGGGAUACAAGGUAUAACAUAGCACUUGGAACAGCAAAAGGACUUGCUUAUCUACAUGAAGAUUGUGAGUCAAACAUUAUUCAUUGUGACAUCAAACCAGAAAACGUGCUCCUAGAUGAUAAUUUCAGGGUCAAGGUUUUUGAUUUUGGUUUGGCUAAGCUCAUGACACGUGAACAAAGGCAUGUGUUCGCAACACUUAGAGGCACUACAGUGUAUCUUGCACCUGAGUGGAUCACAAACUGUGCCAUAUCAGAGAAAAGUGAUGUUUAUAGCUAUGGUAUGGUGUUGGUAGAGAUCAUUAAGGGGAGGAAAAACUAUGAUCCCAGUGAAACUUCAGAGAAAUCCUAUUUCCCAUCUUUUGCUUUUAAGAUGGUGGAAGAAGGGAAUGUGACAGAGAUUCUUGACUCAAAGGUGGAAACUUAUGAAAAUGAUCAAAGGGUUCACAUUUCUGUGAAUGUUUCAUUGUGGUCCUAAUCAUAAAUAUUGCUCUAAUUAUAAAUAUUGCUUUAAGUAGAGACAUGGUCCUAAUCUCUUACAUAGACUAUGACAUCCUAAGCCUAGGAGUACCACCAAAGACAAACUUUAAGGCAAUCCUUACUUCUCAUAUAGUUUUUAUUUCAUUUUUAGUGAAUUCAAUUUAUAGUAACAGCUAACAAGGUUUUAGGCUAAGCAAUCCAAAACAAAAUGGGAUAAAUACCUUGGUCUUCAGAUUUCACCUCAAUAAACACAGCUGAUGCUUCACGUGGUUGCAACUUUUGAACCAUCUCUGCAGCUACUUCCUACAAGAAACAACACAGAUUAUAGACAAUUGUUAAAUAUAUAUUGUAGACAACUAUAUUGUGUACACAACUGUGUAGGUAAAAGGCUAUUUUGAGUGUGUGUGUGUGUGUGUGUUAGGUUGAGUGUGUAUACAACUUUAUGUGUUGUCAUGUUGAGUGUGUGGGAAGCUGAGUAUCUAAUCCUUAUCCAAAGGUAGCCUUCCCCUCUCUCUCUCUCUCUCUCUCUCUUUCUCUGUACUAUAUGUGUGUGUGUGUGUGUGUGUGUUAAUAAAAAGCUAAUGUAUGCUGAGUGUGACAAUUAUCUCCACUCAUUCAAAUUCAAGUUCUGGAGUAUCUCAAAUCCUUAAGCAAUGUAGUCCUAAAUUUUCAACAACAAUGAUGGGUAAAUAUUAGGAACUAGAAUUAAGUUAGGGCUGAAAUUAACAAUGGGGGGACAGCACAGAUGAUGAUAGCGUAAGUAUAGGAGCAGUAGAAAAAGCAAGGGAUUAUUUUGCACUGAUGAUGGAUAAGUAUGAGAUCGAGCCAUCGUGCAUAAGUAGAAGCACAAGUUUUUGGCAAUUGAACCAAAUGAAGGAAGAAAUCCAAGAAAAAGAAGCAAAGGAAGAAUCUCAGCAAAAGGAAGAAAAGAUGCUGCCAAACCCUACCUGGAAAACUCAAUCAGGUUGCUGCAAAAUCAAUUUGCAAAUCUGGACCUAUAGUUUUUAAGCCACAAACUGCAAAUAUCAUAAGAAAUUAUGCAACCUACAAGCAAAGGAGAAAUGGUAAGACUUUCAUUUUUAGUUGUUCAUGACUCAACUAAAGAAUCAGGAUGCAAAUUUGAUUACACAAAUUGAAUAUAUUUCAGAUUUAGAUCUAGACAGCUAUUCUCCUAUCCUCUAACAUCAAAGAUGUUUAUUCUUUAAGAAAAAGAACAGAAAAAAAGGAAGCGACAACGCCCAAUGCUCUCCCUUAUGUUGUUGGAGAGGCUUGUCUCUACCCAUGUUUACAGCAUGUAAAUUCACAUACCCCUCUUCAGUGACUAGGAAGUUUCUUUAACAACACAGAGAAACAGGUUGAGGAGAAAAGGGCCAAUUGCACCUGAGCAAAUGUUCUAUUCUGUUUGUUACUAUUAUACUUUUCUGAUGUGUAUUCGGUUUAGUAAUAUGUGUAUGAUAUCACAACAUGUCUAUAUUUAUCAAUGUUUCUUGUUGAGUUUGGAGGGAGUUAGGAGGGAAUAGCUUGAUUGAUAUUGCUUGUGGUGUACUGCUUUUUCAGAGCAUUUGGUUAUAAGUAUUUGAAACUAAAAAGGAAGCAUUUGGUUAUAAAGAAGAUAAAAAAAAUUGAAAAUAAAAAGGAAGAGUGCCAUUUAAGUGUUGAAAGCUUCCACAGUGUUGGGUUGUUUUUGGCAGGUAGGAAGAGAAGCAAGUUGCAACAAAUGAUAAUUGGGAGUAAAAAAUUCAAAAAGCAAACUCAAGAAACAUGUUCUAAAUCCUAUGUUAAACCGGAUAGCUCAUUCAUGAACUUGAUUUCAAACAUGAUCAAAGGAUGCUCACAAUCAACUCAAGAUGAGGAAAAGUCUUUGGCUCUUAACCUUGAAAAUCCUAAUCAUCAUCUUCAACAGCCAGAUCAGAAACUUCUCAAGUGCAACAAGAAUAAAUAUUUAGAGCUAAAAAAUGCAGGGUUCAGAUCAAAUUUUUAGUCUAUGGUUGGUGCAAAAUUUAAGAAUGUUGGAACAAGAAUGUCUCAAGUCGGAAAGGCUUCUAAAGAUUUUGAGCCAGGUACCAAGGUACAUGGAAUUGAUGCCACUCCAAUAACCUUCUAUACAAAGAACAAUAGCCUUUACAGACAGUAUUUUCAAUCAAAUAAGUUUGAAAUAUCUGAAGGGAGAUUUGAUGCCUGUCCCCCAUUACAGUCGCAGAUAAGACCUAUAAAUUCUCUCAACAGUCAUCAACACUGGAAAAAUAACUCAACAGAGAAUGAAAAAUUGUUACAACUUGGAGCUAACUAAGGAGAAAGAAGGAAUGGCAUUACUAUCAUUACAUUCACCUUCAACUAAACAAAACAGAAAUGAUAAUGAGAAUGUCAAGUCUUGUGCAAUGUAUGAGAGUAAGGAAAUGUGUCAUAGAAGUGAUAAUGUGGAAGGUCUUUGGAUAAAUCGUUUUUUUUUUACCAAAGUCAACUUCCCCCUUGGUAGUUUUUGAUCACCUUAAUGAGAGAGGUGGUUCUGAAGUUCAUUCUGCGUCAAUAUAGAGGAUUCCACUAUCCUUAAGGAUGAUAAGGGAAAUCAAUAUCACACAGCAAAGAUGAAUAAGUUCAAAUCCUUUACAUAUUUCCCUGGAUUGAGAGCUGCAGGGCCAAUGGUGUCCAUGUUUGCAAGGAGAUUAGGUUCCAUAAAAAAGGAAGCAUUUGGUUAUAAGUAUAAACUGGAUAAUAAUUUAUUAGAGAUAAACUAACUAUAUCUUAAUUAACAAGUAUGAUAACAUAAAGUAUUAGCAAAGCUACAUACGAAUCAAGUGUUGCAGCCAAGGCACAACUUGAGGUAGCCAAAGCUAGAUAUACAACAGUUGUUUCAGAUUUAAUAGGUGUGAAAGAGGAGCUGUAAGCAUUGCACAAAGAACCUAUUUCCUUAGUGACUGAUAGAGAUGUAGCUAUUAAGAAAGCUGGAAAGUAGAUUACUUGCAGCUCAAAAGGUGAAUAUCAAACCAACCAUCAACUUCCAGCUAACAUGUGCUUAUUUAAAACUGUCAACGAAGUAUUGCAGCAUUAAUUUGAUAGAAAUUGAUCAAGAACAAUGAUUACACAGAUAACUUGGCAGUUUUGGCUUACACCAUAGCCAACAUUUUUUUUUCUUUUUUGGGACUUGGGUACAUGAAAAUUUAUGGGGAGGAAAAGUUGUUGCAUUCCAAGUUCAUGACAUAGCACAAGCCAUUUGAAAUGGUACUUAAAGUUACACAUGACAUGCCAAUGGGCCUCAUUUAGAUAAAUUUCUCAACAAACACUUAUAGGAAAAAAAAUAGGAGGUAAAAUGAAUGAAAUUUCUCCCUUAAGUGAAAAUCAACUUGUGCACCUAGCUUAUGGACAAAUUAGAUUAGGGAGCUUCUAAAAAAUUAAUGGGAGAAGUUUAAUUCAAUAAACCUCUUUAUUUUCUUAUCUUAUAAAUGCUUGUUAAAAAGUUUAUUCAAACUGGGCUUAAGUAGAUAAAAUUUGAUCCUACUAGUUGAAGUUAACCCUCAUUAACAGAGUCUACAAUUUUUGCUAAAUAAAGCUACAACUGAAACUACCAAGACAUGUUAAUUGUACCUCAGAGAAAGGAGAUUACUUGCAGUUCAAAAGGAGAUAGAGGCUGCAAAGCCUUCUGAAAAUUUGGCAAUAGCAGCAAUUAAAGCAUUGCAAGAAAAAAAGGGUUCAAAUAAAUAAUAAAAUUACAAACAUUGCUUUCAUUAGUUUCAAUCUGAAUCAUUCAUUCACAAAAUUCAGUUAAGAUUCGCUUUUCUUAAAAUCUCAUUUCUCCCUAGAUAUGCUUUGAUAUACAAGUGUGACUUCAAAGUAGGUUUAAGGGCAUGCAAAUACAUAUCCAAACCCACUCUCACUUCUGCAAAUUGGUAAAACCCAAACUCACUCAGCCAAAGCAUACUUCUCCAUCAAAAUCAGGGCAUUGGAUAUGAGUAGCCAUGGUUUAAAGAUUUAAUAGCCAUACCUAGAUAAAACACUCUGAUUGUAAACUUCUGGUGACUCAGAAAGAGUAUCACUAAUUCCUAUGGAUAACGAGUGUUGUCAACUUUCUGGUACCAUCUUCAAUUCCUAUGGAUAAAAAUAAAAUGCAUAUGCUUGUGAUAUUCUUUUUAGAGAAGAAUGUAUUAGGGCACAUUAACAUUAGGUAUGCAGUUUGUUGCUCAUACAGUUAUUCACAAAUCCAAGUCUCAUGCACAAAAAUCUGGAAUUCUCAUACAGUUUGCUGCUCGUAGAAGUUGAUUUAAACUCAAUUAGAUACAUACCUGGCAGCCACUUGUACCUUUUUGUGAAGAAACUAAUAUGGACUAGUAGGUCCAUACUAGAUCUUAGCCUAAUCGCACCCGCACGAUCAACUAUCCAAUGCCCUACGGGGUGCACCUUUUAUACAAGAACACAGUAAGGGUAAGGGAUAUUGCGUUAAAUAUAAAAUACCCUAGCCAUGUUUACUUCACUAAGUGUGCGAUAGAUGAAUGCAAUCAAAUAUUUAUACAGGAUUAGACGAAACAUACCUAGGUAAGGUGGCGAAGGAGAAGAAGCAGAGAGUUGUGACGAUGCUCAAGCUUAGAUGAAACGAUGCUUAGAUGGAGAACAAAGAGCUUCAAGGUAGAUGGAGAACAAAGAGCUUCAAGGUAGACGAAGAACAGAGACCUUAGAUGGAGAAGAAAAGAGAGCGAAAGCUUAGAUGGAGAAGAUGAGAGCGUGAGCCAUAUCUUAACUUAUCAAACGUUAACAUCGGUUUUGUGAAAACCUGAUGUUAACAAACUUAUGUUAACAAACCGAUGUUAACUAAUUAAUGUUAACAUCAGUUUUCCAAUAACUGAUGUUAAUGUCACUUCAUUAACAUCGGAUUUUCACAAAACCGAUGUUAACGGAUACACAGUAUUUACAAUUAUGCCACCGCGUUUACGUUAACAUCGGUUUUGUUAACAACCAAUGUUAAGCCGCCGAUGUUAAAUAUGCCUUUUGUAGUAGUGUUAAACUAGCUUAACUAUAAGCUACUAUUGAGGGUUUUCUCCUAGCUGCAUCAUUAGGGUUUUUUAGAUCCUAAGGCUUCCAUGUUUGUUUUUCCCAUGUGGUUGUGGCUCUACCUAAGCUGAUUUGCUGCCUUAAUUUGACACCUUCUACCCCGAUAUACAUAUUUAUAUAGUAGAAUACAUGAAAAUGCAAAAUUACAUAAAAUGAUUUUAUUCAAUAAACAUAAAAAAGCUCACGUGGGUAAAAUGUUAACAUUCCCGUUAAUCACAAAAUUAAAAACUUAUCAAUUGAGGGUAUGAAAACAUUUCCAACUCAAAACAAGGUUGUUCAAGUUUACCAAAGAACUCAAGUUAAGUAACAAAAUAAAAAAAGUAAAAUGACAUGUUUGGAACAUCAUGCAAUUAAAACAGAAACCCAUGCCCCAAUGUCACAUCCUAUCAUAGUAUUGUGUCCUAACAUCUUCCAGCACGAGGUUCCUUAAAGCAAUCCGCCUAGCCAUCUACUCUUAUGAACACAAGGUUAGAGAUCAUCACAUGAUCCAAACACAUACGGAGUGAGUUAUCACAUUCCUAAACAGGUAAAGAUAGCCAAAGGCUUAUAUAUAUAUAUAUAUAGUAUGAGUAUAACAAGUUCAAAUUAGAACAAUUCAUAUCACUUUAUCACUCUUUGCAUAACAUCACUUGUCCCAAGGAUUUAAUCAUAUUCCACACCUUCACAUUAAUCACGUGUUCAAAACAACAAAUCUCAAGUACAACAUAACAUCUCACACUCACACAAUUCAUUAUCCACCAUCACGUAGCAAGCCACAUGGAUCAUUACACAGGUGUUAUGCAACAGAUACACUAAGACUCACUUCUAUAUGCAAUAUGGUACUAUGUCAGUGAAAAACCUCAUCGGACGCUUAGGAGUACAUGACAAGACAGACCACAUACUGGUAAGUCAGGUCACUCUCACUAGGUAAAAUCAUAGGGAGACCAGUUAGGGUCACCCUGUUUUGCGAGAAUGCUCCAACCAUGUGGGAUCGACACAUGCUUAAAGGAGUACUCAAACUGGAUGUAUUUACCCCUAAGGCCAAGACUCCGAAGAGUCCGUCAGGACUUCUCCCUCCUGAUUCAGGUCUAACCCAUAAAACAUUUUAGCACGCAAACUCUAUCUAUAAACUAUACAAAACACACGACUCCUCAAUUGUUCUCAAAAUAAUUUGAACUCAUUGUGCUUCAAAGUGAUUCAACUCGUCGAGUUCCCACAGUGGACCCCAUCACAAUACUCGUCGCACAUUUACUCGUCGCCCUUAAAGGGUCUUAAAAUCGUGUGAUUUUACAGUUCAUAGCUCAGACCUCAAUGCACACAACAUCUCAAUACAUGUGUGAUCUCUCAAUUUAACACAUACUCAACUUAUCACAUACACUCAAUCUCAAUCACAAUGUUAUAAUCUCAAAGCAACAUGUUAUCACACCUUACAAAUCAUAUACAUAUCACAUAAUAUUAAUAUAUACAUGGCACAAACACAUACUUUACCUAUAAACUAUGCAAUACACACAACUACUCAAUUUUUUUUAAAAUCAUUUUAACUCGUCGCACCUCAAAGUGAUUCAACUCAUCGGAUUCCUACAGUGGAUCCCAUCACAAUACUCGUCUCACAAAAACUCGUCGCCAUUAAAGGGUCUUACAAUUGUGUGAUUGCACAAUUCAUAGCUUACAACUCGAUACAUACAAUAUCUCAAUAAACAUGUAUCUUGCAAUUCAUCACAUAUUCAAUUUAUCACUUACACAAUAUUUCAAUCACAAAUUCACGAUCCUAAUAUAACAAUUUAUCACACUAAUCUAGUAAAUCUUGUUCAAAACACAAACAAAUUAUACAAAAAUGUUUCUCGCAACAUGGGAGAAAAACCCCUCGAACAAUUUCACAUACUCAUAUAAAAAUAAAAGGAAUCAAAAUCAUAGGUCAAAAACAUAAAAACACCAACAACACUCAAUUUUAUCAACCAAUUCACAUCAGGGCAUCAAUUGGUCCAUCAAACAAAAUAAUAUCAUAAUUAUAAUUGUAAAGGAAGAUAUACAAUACAGUAAACAUCCCAAAAUAAACUCUAAUUUGAUCCUCUAAGAUCCCUACACAUGUUCAUUCUAACCCAAUUGCGAUAAACCCAUCAUUUACCUCUAAGCGGGCUCACUGCAUAGUCCGACAGUGAUAACAGGGUCUCUAGUGAUUCUGUAAGAUUCCUGAAGCUUUUCUUUUGGUUUCUCUGCUAGGUUUUCCAAGCAUUAGAGAGAAGGAAAAGGGAUUGGAGUCUCAAUUUCACUGUCUCUGUGAGAGCGGUAUGUCUCUCUAAAAACAUUAUAUCCCAAAUACCAACGGUGGAAAUGUGUGGAAAUGAGUUUCGGAGGGGGUGUCCAAAUUUCUUAAUGAUCCAACGGUUAAAGAGUCUGAGAUCAUAGUUUUACUGAGACAUGUUUGAGUGUAUACGAGAAAAAGAAAGAGUUUUGAGAGAGGAAGAAGGGAAAACGAAUUUGAGAGGAAGAAAGAGCGUAAGGACAUAUCAUAAAUGUAAAAACUGACCUAAUAUAUCUCUAUGUAUAAUUAGGGUACUUUCAGCCUAUUAUUUACUCUAUUUUUCUUUAUUUUAUUAUUUUAUAAAAAUGAACUUUAUUUUACUUUCAUUGAAUAAAAUAACCAGUUAAAACAUUCCUUUAUUUUCUAAAACAUCAUUUAACUCUAUUUAUUUUCUAAUACUAUGAAACUCUUAUUUUAAUUAACAAAAACCCUUUUUCUCUCAUUUAUUUAAUUUCUAAAAACUCUAUUAAUUUUUAAAUAAAUUUCUUUUUAUUUAUUUGACAAAAAAAUGGGGUGUUACACCUAAUAUCAUAUUUAUGCCUAUUUGGUACUUAUGAAAACGACAUCAAAUGGAUCAUGGAAAGAACCUUGACCUCAUUGAUGAGGAAAAGGACAUAUUAGAGUUGUCAGAACAGGAGGAAACAAGUCAACUGGAUAAAAAGGAUGUGGAAGGCUAUUAGCUCGUUGGCAAAUUCUUGAAGCAUGGAUCGAUGAACGUAAGGGUUUUCAAAGCCACAAUGGCCCAAGCAUGGAAAAUGAAGGGAGGACUAGAGGUGAGAGUUGUGGAGAAGAAUCUUUUCACCUAUUGUUUUUCCAGAAGAAAGCAGAGACAUGGUUAUGAGGCUGGCUACAUGGAAUUUUGAUAGGAAGCUAGUGGUUCUAAGUGAUCUUGAUCAAGACAAAAGCCCUAGCAUGGUUUAUCUAAAUUGUUGCCCAUUCUGGGUAAGGAUUUAUGAUUUGCCCCUUAACCUGAGGGUCAAAAGAGUGGCUCAAACAAUUGCAAACACCAUACCCCAAUUUAUGGAGUGGAAUAAGAAUGAGCAGAAUCGGUUGGGUCGCUUUGUAAGAGUGUGAAACCUCAUGGAUGUUAUAAAAUCUCUACGGAGGGGAACACAAUUGAAACAAUGGACGUUGCUACGCAACCUCACCGAGAGACAUAAAUUCCUUAGCUGAAAUUGAUGUGGGCUUGGGAGCCCAUGAGCAAUUUGAUCUUUGUGGAGACUUCUUUCUGAUGAAGGUCUUGACUUGGUGUUCUUUAUGGAAACCAAGAAAAAGGUUACUGAACUGAAUGGUUUGAGAUAAGGGGUUAAAAAUAUGAUAAGGGGGGUUGGUUUUGUUGUGGGGUGACUACAUUGAGGUUGAUAUCAUCUUUUCUCCCAAAACCAUAUUGACGUGUGAAUUUUUGUCCAUUCUCAACAAAAAAAAAAAGAUUCCAAUUCUCAAGUGUGUAUGGCUUUCCUGAGGGGUCUCACAAACACUUCACCUAAAAUUUUAUCUGAGAUUUACAACAUGAGAAUGAAUCCCCUGGGUUAUGUCUAGGGGAUUUUAACAAAGUUCAAAGCCCAAAUGAAAAGAUUGGGGAAAUCCAGUGUGUAUGAGUCAGGUAAAAAAUUUCAAUGACACUCUUAAUGAUGUUAGCCUAAGUGACUUGGGGUAUUUGAGCUAUAAAUUUAUUUGGACAAAUAGAUGGAAAAAAGCCCAACAACAUACAAGAAUGCUUAGAUAGAGUAGUUGAUGAUGCUUAGUGGAGGAGUUGGAGGAAAGAAAUGUUAGGUGUACCAUCUGUCUAGAUUCGAGUCGGACCAUUGCUUGAUCUUUGUUUAAUUCUUGGUGCAAAAAAGGAGGAGGAAAAGAAGGGCAAACAUCUAUCAUUUUGAGCAAAUAUGGUUAAAGGAUAUGAUUUAUGGUAUCUUAGAAAUAGAGGCAAAGCAAAAUGAUCUCCUCCUCAAAGAAGAGUUUUACUGGUCCAAAAGGUCCAGAGCAACAUGGUUGGUCCAAAAGAAACAAAACCAAUACCAUUGAGAAGGUUAAGGAUGGCAAUGGUGACUUCAAAGAUGAUGAGAAAAGAAUUGCAGGUAUUCUAAAUAAUUAUUUCUCCACUAUAUUUUCUUUAUUAGUAACAACUGGGUGCAUGAGGUAUCCUACAUGGUUGGAAUACGAUUAUAUGAUUAAAUGAUAAAUAUUUUAAAUGGAAAGUUUAGUGGGGAGGAAGUGGAGUAAGCAUUCUUUCAAAUGCACCCAACAAAUGCUCUAGGCCUUGAUGGCACCCCUACAUUAUUCUAUCAACAAUUUUGGGACCUUGUUGGUCUAGAUGUCAAGAGGUUGGUGUUAAAUAACUUUAAUGAUGAAGGAGACCCAACCACAAUAAACAAAACAUUGAUUGCACUCAUCCAAAAAGUUAAAAGACCCACAAAUGCAAUUAGAUUUAGACUAAUUAGUCUUUGUAUUAAUGUCAUCUUCAAAAUUGUUAAAGACUAUGGCUAACAGUUGAUGAUGGUUCUUCCUUCCAUGCUCUUAUUGCUUUUGAAUGCUUCCACUAUACGAAGAAUAAGAGAAGUGGAGAUGGAUUUAUUUGAUCAAGGCCAUUUGCAUGGUCUAAAGAUAUGUAUUUCUGCUCCUAUUAUUUCACACUUGUUCUUUGCAAAUGACAACAUUAUUUUUACAAGGCAACACUAGAGGAGGCAAUGUGUCUAGUAAGUAUUCUAAAGACUUAUGAGGGUGCUUCUAGACAGAAAAUUAACCUAGAUAAAUUAGAGCUCUCGUGUAGUUGAAAUGCACCUAGUACUAGAAUUGAUGAACUAACAAUGCUUCUUGGAGAAAAGGCGGUGGAGACCUAUGUGAAAUAUUUGGGUCUUCCUACGUUGAUAGCAAAAUCCGAAACCUAAGUUUUCAAAUUUGUCCGAGAUUGGGUCUGGAAAAAACUCAAAGGUUGGAAGGAGAAGGUUUUGUCAAAGGCGGGGAGAAAAGUGUUGAUAAAAUCUAUGGUUCAAUCUAUACAACCUAUGCCAUGGGUUAUUUCUUCUUGCCACUUUCCACUUGUAGAAAGAUAGAAAGUCUCACAACCCAUUUCUAUCGAGGGAGGGGAUGUUGAUGGGAAGAAGAUCCAUUGGAUGAGCUGGAAAAAUUGACUAGAAAUAGGAACCAUGGAGGGCUUAGAUUCAGAUUUGUUAAAUCCUUCAAUCUAGCCUUACUAGCGAAACAAUAGUGGAUACUCAUUUUCCACCCAGACUCCUUAGUGGACUUUUUUUUUACCAAACAAAGUGAUUUUGUAAAAUUAUAUAGCAAAUUUGGUAUUUUCAAAAACUAUUUAUCAAAUAUGAGUAAUUUUGACUUUUGACAUCAGUUAUAAUUAAUCACCUAUUUCUGGUAAAUAGUUUUCAAAAUCACCUAGUUUGGUAUAUAGUUUUACAAGAGCUAGUUUGUUAAAAAAAAAAGUCUUCCUUAAUAUGGCUAGGGUUUAUAAGGCAUGUUACUUUCCUUCCAAGUGCAUCCUUGAGGCCACGAAAGGUUCUGAUAGUAGCUAUAUGUGGAGUAGCUUACAAAAAGCAAAGGGGAUAAUUGAAUAUAAGGUUGCAUCUGGAGUUUUCGAGAUGGUUUGAUGACCUCAAUAAAAAAUGACACAUGGAUGCCGUGUGUGCCCGGAGGAAAGAUUCCACUUUUUGAAUAUGUGGAUAUUCCUGAUGAAAUGAAAGUUUCGGAGUUCAUUAAUGUUGAGUCGGAUUGCUAGAAUACUUAAACUUUAAAAUUAACAAAAUUAAGACUAUAAUAUUAUUAUUUACUUUUUAAUAUCGACAUUGUUUAACAAUUGUCUAAAAAUUUUACCUAAUUUUUUAUAAUAUAAAGUAGGAAACUUUUGACGUGCUUUUUUCCUCUUGAAAUAAGGGUAUUUUCAACAAUUUUUUUAUAGUUAUUUCAUUAUUUCAUUUAUUUUUUUUGGUGAAUCUUUUAUAUAAUACAAAAUAAGAAAGUUUUGGUGCACUUUUUUCCACCCAAAAUAAGAAUAUUUUUGACAAUUUUUUUGGUUACUUAUUUUUUAGUUAUAUUUUUGGUGGAUGAAUAAAACUGAAACAUUUAAUAGAAAAUGAGUUUUAAAUGCAUAUUUAUUUAUUAGGUAUUGAAAGAAAGAUAAUAGGUUCUAAAUGAGUUUUAAAGCGUAUUAAUAAGUAUUUAAAUUCAUUCAUUGGUUUAUUAUAUUUAUAGAGAUUUAUAAUAUCUAUGAAAAUAACGGCUAGGUGCAUUGGGUCCAUGUUUUGUUAGAGGCUAAACAUGCUUUAGUUAAGUAUCUCUUUGGAACUUCAAAAUUUUACAUGUCUUUGAUGUUGUUCUUGAUUGUAUUUAUCACGUCAUAAGGGUGAAUUUAACUUCUUCAAAAGCUUUUAGACUUUAAUAAUAUUUUCAUUAAUGAAAAAACUAUUAUAUUUUUUUAAAUUGGAAUUUAAAAAUAAGAAUAUCAUAUAUUUUAAAAAUAUUAUUUAAAAUUAAUAAGAAAGUUUUGACACACUUUUUUUCACCUAAAAUAGGUAUACUUUAGACAAUUUUUUUGGUUAUUUCAUUUUUCUUUUAUUUUUUGAUAAAUAAAAAGAGAGACAUUUAAUAGAAAAUGAGUUUUAAAUGGAUGUUUAUUUAUUAGGUAUUGAAAGAAAGAUAAUAGAUAUUAUUGAUGUCAUUAAUGAAUAUUUAAUUUGAAUUCAUCCAUCAAAAUAAUAUGAAGUGCAUUGGAUUCAUGUUUUGCGGGAGUCUAAACAAGUUGUUGAUGUUUUAACUAAGUAUGAGCUGGAUCUUUAGAAUGCUAAGCAAGUCUUUCAUGUUGUUCUUUUACUGUAUUUAUCAUGUCAUAAGGGUGAAUUUAGGUUGCAUUAGUUUUUUUAUAGGCUUAUAACCUUUAAUAAUAUCUAUCAUUAAAAAAAUAUCAUGUUUAUAAAUUUGCAUUUGAAAAUUAAUAAUAUCAAAUUUAAAAGAUAAAAAAGAACUAAAGGUAUUAAUCUGUCAUUAUAGAAUCAUUUAUCAAUUGUAAUUAUAUAUUACCCUAGCUUGAUGGAAGAGAGCUAUGAAGGAAAAUGAAAAUAGUGGUAGCUUGAUCACCCAUUUACAUUACCCUUAUGUUUUAUUGUCAUUGGAGAAUACUUUAAAAAUUAAUAUUUGAGAAUAAUGUCUAUUGAAUGUCUCAUAUAGGAAUAGAGUGAUGUUUAUUAGUGUCCUGUAAUUCUUUUUCUUAAACAAAUCAUUUUGCUUAACUUGCUAAGUAGCUUUAAAUGAUUUAGCUUUUUCCACUUGAAGAAUUAUUCAAGAUUAGAAGAUUUAAGAGGAUUGAAAUAAUACUAAGAUUCUAGCUCAUUGAAUGGAGAAAAAUAAUUUUUGUUGCCAAGAUGUUGCCAAGUAUCACCAAAAAAACCCAACUAGCUUGUUUUUAUUGUUGUUUCCAAACCCUGCACAUCAACUGCUUAUGUUUUUGUCCUUAUGAACUAUGUUUUGUUUAGCCAUCUAAAUUUAGAAAUGAACUUUCUUUUUUGCAACCUUUUCUUAAUAACAAAAGCACCCUUGCCUAGUUGUUAAAUUUACACAAAAGUCUAGUACAAACAAAUCGUUGAGGAUACGAUCUUUGUACUUUGAAAAUACUACAUAGAUUGGUAUGCUUAUCGAUGAUGUAACAAAGCCCCACCCCCAUGGUGGCUCCUCUCCUUGUGCCGCCUACAUCAAGCCCUCCCUUGCCUCUGGAAGCCACCACCACCUUGUCAUGUGCAAAGGCUACGAGUACGACUUCCACCCAGCCACCACCAAUUAAUUAAUGAUAUUUGAUUAUAGAAGUCAUUUUAAAAAUAUUUGCAAAAUAUAUACAUUAAAAUUUAAAUACGGUUAUAAUUUAUCCAAUAUAAAAAUUUUGGGCAUCACACAGGUACAAGAACUAGAACAAUAAUAAAAGUCAGUAGUUGACAACAUCAAUCCACUAAUUUAAGAUGAGAGAGAUGAUACCUACAAAUAUACUUUUAAAAAUUGAAUUUAUAUUUAUAAAAUUAAGAAAAAAAGACAUGCAUAUUUAAUUGGGUUAAAAAGUAAAGAGAAAAAAGAUAUUUCAUUAGGACAUACUAUUGGGUGGAUUUUACAAUAAACCCACUCAACAAAUUGUUCACCAGUAAACUAAUAAUUACAACCAUUAAAUAUAUUUUAAAAAAAAUAAAUUAUUCAAAUUCAGAAUUAUAGUUAAUUUAUCUAGUUAGUUAAAUUUAAUUAUUCUUAUAAUCCAAUUAGAACACCACCAUUUCUCUGAAGAGAAGACCACACCACCGUGAACACUAUCAUACUCUCACUUACUGAAAUCAAAACAAAACACCACUAUCUUCUUUGUCUCAACAAAAAUCAAAACCAAACAAAAUUUGAUUUAGGAAUUUCUUGUUUAUUCAACAAGCACAAUCAAAAUCAAAAUCAAAUCAUCAGCAAAUACAAUCUUAUAAUCAAAAUCAAAUCAUCUACAUAUGUUGUGGGGUGUGUGUGGGGUGAUGUGAGGUAUUUACGGUAUGGUUUGGCUUCAUUUUUGAUUGAAAAGUCAUUUGAGUCAAACAUAAAAAUUUAAUGUUUUCAGUUUGGUUUGGUUUGAAUAUAAUAUCAAAUUCAAAUCAAAUCAAACCAAUCUUUUGUUGUCUGAUUUGGAUUGAUUUUUGUGAUUUUUAAUAUUUUUAAUUUUAUCUUUAUAUGACCUUUAAAAAUAUUUAAUUUAACUAACAAAAAAAAAUUGACACUAAAACUAUCAAACAUUCAAAACCUUAUUUAGACACUAUAGCCCAAUAGUAGCUAAUAGCUUGGUAUACAUUUAAAAAUUUGAUGUAUUUUGACUUCUUGUAGAUAAAUUAUAUGAAGUAUAAACUAAUGCUCUAGUCAAAACAGUAGUUAAGCUCAAAUUACACUUAAAAAUAUUUGUUUUUAUUUUUUAAGUGAUUUUUAGUUUUUAUUUUAGAUCGGAUUGGAUUUGAGCACCCUUAAAAAUGACAUUACUUUACAAAAAAAUGGCGACAAAACGUCACUUUUUAGAAACACAUCAACACUUGGUUAUGCAUUUAAAGGAUUGGUAAAAUGCACAAAAAUUAGGAAAAACAUAAUAGUAUAAUUUGUGGGAAAAAAACUUGAGUUAUAAAAUUCCCAAAAUAAUAAUAGCUAAGUGGUAAAAUGUACACUCAAGCCAUAAAAAUAUAAUAUAAAACUUACCUAGAAAAGUGAUACAAAGAUGUAAAAAUGAUUAAUCCUUUAAUUUAUUCAAAUAAAGAACUUUAUUUCAAAACCAACAUAUUAUGGGAAGAUAUCAGUUGGAGUUGCUACUUUCCUCCUUUCCUUAUUAAUGCAUAUCUCUGGGUGCUUUUGCAUGACCAGGUGGUGCUCAACUCUAGGUCCAUUGUGCCAAAUGUCACCCAACAGGUCCUUGUUAUUACUUGUUCAAGUGCCUUUCUAAGUGCCCUUGUCAGGACCGGGUACUACACAUGCCCCUAAGCUCUAAGGCAUGUGAUAACGACUGUUGAAUCGCUUCAAAACAAAUAAAACUAAGAAAUUUUGUAAUACAUGAGUAACCUAGGCCAACUCAGAAAUACGAUUCAAUUUGGUUUCUACUUCAAUUCACUAAUAAAGAGUAGGGAGAAUUUCAACAAAUAGUUUGAAGGCAAGGUAAAGGAUUGCGAAAACUCAAAAACAAAAUUGUAGAAACAAAACAAAUUUUUUGGAAACAAAAUAACAUAAUAUGAAUCAAGUUUAAUAGCAUCAAUCUAAUUCACCAAACCAAUGCAAAUCGAAUCAUCAUAGUUUUGCAGAGAAUGAUCAUGUUGUGAAAGUUCAAUCAAUGUCAUUAGAGUUAGUUCAAUCAAAUUAAUUUCUAAAUUCAUUGAGAUCGCAAAUUAGGGUGGAGUAUCAUCCAAACAAUUUUUUAUUAAAUUUCAAAAUUAGGAAAUGAAUACAUUACCUAAUUCGUUUUCAAUCCUAAUCAUAUUCAUAAUCAUGAAAAUUUAAAAUAGGAUUGAAGAAACAUAUGAACAUUCACACAAAAUAGAAGUACUAAACCAGAAUUCAAAUUUAGCCUUGCUUGGAGUGGAUCCUAGGAUUGAUUGAGUGUUUUACCUUUCAUGAUCAUCGCCAAUGGAAGAUUCAUGAAAUUUUUGCAAGAAAAAGGAAGAAUAAAAGUGAAAAGAGGAAGAAGAAUGAACAACAAUUGAGAGAAAGAGAUAAAAGAGUUUGAUCUUAAAGCUUGCACAACAAGUAACUAAAUUUGUUUUUGUACAAAAUGAAGUAACUAACUCACUAACUAAAUAAAUUCUACUAAUAUAUAUAGUUACUACUCAGAAGGAAGGGAUGGGUUUUGAUUAGGCUCAUCUAAUCUACCUAAUUAAACUAAUUACACAAAGCACAGUCCAAAUUCGCAACCUAAUUAUUCAAGUGUAGAGGUUCUGACUUCCAAACUUAAUUUGACCCUCGAAAUAGUAGAAUUGGCCCAAGCUUAUUUCUGACAAAAUUGAAUCUCUCUUUCUUAGCUUUCUAGGGACUACUCACAUGCUCCAUUUGGAGUUAUGUAGUGCCUGAUAGACCUUGCACAAGAUAGAUAGGUCAAGUAAGUAAAAAAAAUCCAAAAAUAAGCCACAAUUAUCAAUUAAGCUCAAUCAUUUGCCUAAGACCAAAACUGAGUUAAGAUAGGAAAAUAGGAGUCAAAGAGAGAGGUAAUGUCAUAUGAGUAGAAGUAUUUGGUCCUAGGUCCUUUAAGCUAAGUGCUAUCGGUAGGUCUUGAUUUUGAACUUUUGGAAGUUGCAUUUCUCUAAUAUACCCUUUUUGCAUUCAAAAUCAAUUUUGAUUGAAAGUAUUAAACAAAAUUGAUGAAAAAUCACUUUAAUUGUAGUUACUCCAAGGCUGGAAAGAGUUACCUACAUACGGACUAACCCUUAAAGCUAAGUUAAGCAUUGUAGAGUGAAACAACCAAGAUGUGGCUCUUAAGCAGUUGUGAUCUUGCAUUGACUAGCGAUGCGGCCUAAGUUGUGGUUAUAAAGCUUAGACAAUCUUCAUCUUACAAGAGACUUUAUGGUGUUGAAUUAGGUUAAAAAGCCCAAAUUCUAAAAAUAAUUUCCAUAAAAAUCAUGUUUUCGAUAUCGGAUAUUGUAAAAAAAAAAAAGUUAAAACUAUUGUGCAUUUUGUUCUCUUCUGAACAUACAUAAACAACAUUCUUCCAAUUUAAAAAUAAGAUGUUGUCACGUGAUAUGUGAGGAAGGAAAUAUUACAAUUAGUUGAAACAACUGUGCAUUUUGUUCUUUUCUGAAUACACUUAAACGCCAUGAUUUUAAAUUGUGAUCACGGUUGUGGUUGCAAUUGUGGUGUGUCAGAAAAUCUUUACCCUCAAGGCCUAGACUUUGAUGAAUCCGUUAGGACCUCACCUUUGUUAUUCAGGUCCAAACCCUAAAACAAUUUUUGCAUGCAAACACUGCUCAUGAAUUAUACAAUACCCAUGACCUCACGCUUGUUCUCAAACACGUUUCACAUAUUGUGCUACAAUUUAACACUUCGAGUUCCUAACUUGGAACCCUACACUUUCCUUUUAACACUUUGUGCAUAAACAUUUUUCUCAAAGUAAACACCAAUCAGGUUAUUGUAUAAUUCACAACUCACAACACAAGUAUUGUCACAUCAAGUAUUAAUCACACACUUAUUCAUGACCAUAUCUCAUGUCCACAAUUUAACAUCUCACAAUGUCACAAUCCACCAUCACAUGUUUAUGUGUAUCUCACAAAUUAAUGCAUGUUUAACUUUGCACUUAUACUCAAUCUCAAUAACAAUGUUAUAAUCUCAAAUCAACAUGUUAUCUCACAAUUCAUCAUAUAUUCAAUUUAUCACUUAUACACAAUUUCAAUCACAAUUUCAUAAUCUCAAUAUAAUAAUUUAUCACGCUAAUCUAGUAAAUCUUGUCCAAAAUACAAACAAAUUAUACAAAAAUACUUUUCCCAACAUGGGGAGUAAAACCCCUCAAACAAUUUCACAUAACCAUAUCAAAAUCAAAGUAAUCAAAAUCAUAAGUCAAAAACACAAAAACACCAAGAGCACUCAAUUUUAUCAAUCACUUCCCAUCAGGACAUCAAUUGGUGUGUCAAACACAACAAUAUCGUAAUUAUAAUUGUAAAGGAAGAAUUAUAAUUCAAUAAACAUCCCAAAAUAAACCAUAAUUUAAUCCUCUAAAGAUCCAUACACAUGUUUAUUCUAAUCUCAAUUGCGAUAAACACAUCUCUUACCUCUAAGUGGGCUCACGUGUGUAGCCUGGCAGUGAUAGUCUAGUAGUUUCCUAAUUGCCAUAAACUCAUCACUUACACAAAUUUUGUCCGAGACAUUUGUACAAAAAUUAAAAAAAAUGGUGGUGAUGCAUGUUAAAAUACUAAAUGAGUUAACAUAUUGAAUGAAUAGUAUCACGCUAAAAUUUUAGAAGCAUUGAAAUGAGAAGGAAAAAUAUUUUGGGGUGGCCAAUUUCAUAUUUCAAAUAUUUUAGAAGGAUAAAAAAUAUAUUUUAUCCAAUAAUUAAGUUAUAUAUUUUUUAUUUAAUAAAAUAUUUUUUUAAUUUGUUAGAUAACUCUAGAAUUAGAUUUCUUCAAAAAAAAAACUUUAGAAUCAAAAGAUUUAAUGCAUAUAUGCAUAUAACACAAAUAUACCUUACCAAUGAAUAAGAAAAUUGAGCAUUGAUUUGGCCAAAUAAAAAGUAAUACAGAUUUGUUUUAACUGAAUUAGAUAUAAUAAACAACAAAAUUUAAAAAAGAAAUUUUUAUUCCAAAAAUAAGUCAAGCAUUAUCCAAAAUACUUGCAAGGGAAAAUUAAAUAUGAGAAAUAAUCAGUAAGAUUCUAUAUACAAUUAACAACAUGUAAUAAAUUAAUUUUUUUAGCUUUGGACAAAUGAUCUAUUUAAUUUUUUAUCUUCAUUUUUUGGUUUAUUUUGAUCUUAUCUUUUAGAAAUUUUAUUAUGAUCUUUUAUGUUCUGAAAAAGAAUCAAAAUGGUCCUUUCGUCAAUGCAAAGAUAACGUCGUUAAUGAAGUAAAGAUAUUAAUGGCUAAAAAUUAUCACAAAAUAUAAUUUCUUAUUUUCUUUAGCUUUCUCCUUCCCUUAUUCCCUUGAACCAAAAAAAUAAAAUAAAGAAUCAAAUAGGCCAUUUGAUCUUUUGUUUAAUAUACCUAAACAUGAAUCCAUUAAUUAAAUGAUUUGCAUAUCUGUUUGUCAAAUUUUGAACUUGCAUAAUAUUUUUUAAAUUAAAAAUAAAAACAAUAAGUGUUCCAAAAAUUUGUACUCAAUUUUUUUUAAUAUUUUCAUUGAACAUAAAAUAAAAGACAUAAAGAUUUUUUUCAAUGACUUACAUCAUUUAUCAAAAAAUGUUACCAUCUUCGCUCUAUCCAUUCUUUUAAGUAACCCCCUAUAAGAUAAAGAAAUUUAUCAUAAGCCUUUUUGCAUUUUAUUAUAAGCAUUAUAUAAUAGAUUGGAAAGAAAAUUCAUAAACAGAAUGAAAACCUAUAAUUAUUCUCAAUAUAAAGUAUAUUAGACAAGAUAAAUUUAAGUAUUGAAUUACCUUUCCUUAUAUAUUGUGAUAUACUUGUCUAUCAACCAUAUUAGAAGUAAUAUGAUCGAGUAUCUUGAUCUUCACCAUCUUUUACCAAAAUAUUUAACCCUUUUUUUAUGUAACUCUUGAUAUAGUAACAUAUAAUUGUCCAUGAAAAAAAUUGAGGCAAAAAUAAUCCAACAUGUUUUAAAGAUUGUUCUUGAAUCUUGUUGAUAGUCCUUGCAAAAGAAGUAGCCAAAUGAAAUUGCCUCGGUUGGAACUUGAAAAGGAUCCUUGCAUUAGAAGGAGUUAAUGAAAGUCUUGGAAUAAACACUUUGAGACCAAUGUUGCUUCCAAAUUUAACAUUUCCUUCUAGAACAUAUUCCCCAUUCGUGUGACAAUUAUUAGUCUAGUACCAUUACAUAAUCCUAAUGAUUGAUCAAUGUCAUUUGGAAGACCCGAAGCACUAAUAAUGUUUAAGAACUUUGGAGUAUGCACAUCAUCUGGCCUAUUAAUCUCUUCAUUUUCUGAUGAAGGAGUAUCUAAACUUAGAUUUUUCUUUCCUCCCCAAACAUCAAUGACAACAUGUAACAAUUUCAUUUUUUUGCUAAAACAACCUUGACUCUAAAAAAGGAUGAAUCAUGAAUAUUUUCUAAGAAAGAUGGAUAUAUAAGUAUUACUAACAAUGGAUUCAAGAGAGUUGGUGUCACUUCUAAGCAAAUCAUGGUAUGUGUGGUUUCCUAUAUUAUAUGUUUAAAAGGGACCAGUUUGGGGAUUGUAUUUUGUAUGUUUCUUCCUAAUACUGGUACCAAACAUAGUAAUUCAAAUUAAUUUUAGUGCACCCCUAAAUACCAUUUGGACAUUUACUUAAGUAGAAGAAGCUACCUAAGGAACAUAAUUUUUUUAAAAUUAGUUUAUUUUCUAUAGAUGAUAGUGGUAAAUAUUAUCAUGAGUUGUUUGAUGAUUGUCCAAAUGGAAAUCAAAAAGCUAUCUAGGAUGGAGGUGUUGGAAUUGUGUAAUUUUGUCACAUUGCAUUUUGGCAUAAUUACCAAUAGGUCUAUAGAUCUGAUAAUAACUUUUUUACUCAUUACUUGGUCAUUUUAGGUUCUCAAACACUUGGUUAGAUUCAUUGUUUUGGUUAAACUAAAAGAUAUUACUUUCAUUCUAAAAUGUUUGCUUUUUUGUCAUUUUAGGGACAUGUUUGACUGAAAUCUCCUAUCACUAGUGCAAAAUACACAUUUUAUAACAACUUUUUAAAUAAAAAUUGUUUUAAAAAAUAAUACGGUGGUACUUUCAUAAUUAAAAACAGUUUUUAGAUUGGUUAUAAGAGAACAGAUAUAAACCUAGAUUUUAAAUCGGUUAAAAAUGAAACCGAUAUGAAAGGUUAUCUUUUUAAACCAAUUCAAUUUAUAACUAAUGUAAUUAAAGGGUGUUUUUAGAUUAGUUAAUAAAGUAACUGAUGCUAUAAGACAAAAUUGAUUUUAAAAAGGAUGUUUUUAAAAUAAUCUAGGCAUUAAUUUCAUAUUAUUUUUUAGAUUAGUUAUAUAGGGAUCUAUCUUAAAAACUAAUCUAAUUUAAAAGAUAGUUACCAUUGAAGACCGGUUGAAAUCUAAUGUUAAAUGUCAAAGUUUUUAUAUUUCCUGCAUAGGCAUCGGUCGUACAACCAAUAUAAAAAGUCAUUUUUUAACCUAUGUAAAAAAGUGUUUCUUGUAAUAGUGUACCCUUUUUGUGCUCCUAUCAUGUAUAGAGAUUUUAAUAUCACUUACACGCAAUGAUGAAUCCAGAAAUUAAGUCGUGGGGGCAAUACACAUACAAAAUUUUGUUGCAUUAAAAAUAUUACAUGUUUUAUUUUUAAAAGUAUAAAUAUUCAUCGUAAUUGUUCUUUAUGAGUUUUUGUAUUCCAAAAAUAAUUGAUAAUUUUCUCAUUUUUCAUAUCAAAAUUUUUAUGAUAGUCAAGAUCUAUCAGUUGAUGAAGAAAAAAACCAUAAUAUAGCAUACUAACUACAACAAUAUACAUAUUUUGCACAAUUAGUUUUCAAAUUUGAGUGCAAUAAGCUUUUAGAUGGACAAAUAUCCUUAGAAUAUGAGUCUUAGACAACAAGGGAAAUUAGGAUUAAAAAAAUAUGUUGUUUGAUGAUAAAUAAGUAAAUGUUUAUGAAAGCGUUAGAAUGAUUAUCCUUUAAUUUAUACAUUUUGCACAAUUAGUUUUCAAAUUUGAGUGCAAUAAGCUUUUAGAUGUACAAAUAUCCUUAGAAUAUGAGUCUUAGACAACAAGGGAAAUUAGGAUUAAAAAAAUAUGUUGUUUGAUGAUAAAUAAGUAAAUGUUUAUGAAAGCGUUAGAAUGAUUAUCCUUUAAUUUAUACAUUUUUGCACAUUUGCUAGAUAAUAAAUAACUAAAUAAAUAAAAAUGUUUUUUUAAGAAAAAUAAAUAAAAAUAUUAAAUAUUGAAAAGUGGGAAUAAAAAUAAAAAAGAGAAUCCAAAUAUUUAUUGUUUACACAUUUUUAAUUUAUAUUAAGAUUGAAAUUAUAAUUAUAAAAUCAUAAUAUUAUAGGGGGGCAAAAUAGUACUAUAUAUUCCGUCCUUGCUUUCAUGUUGAUGAUUUCUCUCAAGCCAGCAACACUUACAUUGGAAAGUUGAGGUUAGUCUGAUCUUUCUGCUCUUGUUUCUUUAAAUAUUUGAACUAUUGGCUUGAUUUGUAAACAUUAAGUGCUUAUAAUGGCAAUUGAUUUAUUACUUGCUGCAAUAAUAUAACCGGAAUUUGUAUAUUUUUACUGCAUUGUGUUUGUAAAAUUUAAUUUACAUCAAAUUGUGAUUGUCUUUUUGUUGCAUUAUUACUUGAUCUGCUUCUUGUCCUUGUCAUUAGUGUGCAUAUUUCCUCUCUUGCAAGGUACCAUAUAUAGUGAUGUAUUGUGUUUAAAAAAACAGCUUAUGUUCCGCUGCAUAAUUUUAUGGUUUGCACCUUUAUUUGUUCUUUAUAUCAUGAAUUUAACAUGCUACAGCCUUGAUAGGGUGUGGUCCAACUUCAUGUAUUGAUUGUUAGAUGUAGUAGUCAAUACUAGAAAAUAGACUUUUAACAUCGAUUAUUUUUUACUUUCAACAUCGGUUUUUAUCUAAUGUUGAAACCAUCGACGUUAACAUUAUCCAUGUUAAUAUCAGUUUUCAAAAAAUCAAUGUUAACAUACACUACACAACAUCGAUGUUCACAAAAACUGAUGUCGUAUAAUAAGAAAUAUACAAAAACAGCAAAAACAACAUCGGUUUUGGUCAAAACCAAUGUUGUAAGAUGAAUAAAAACAUCGGUUUUGAAAAAAAACCGAUGUAGAAAUUAUUUUUACAACAUCGAUUUUGCUCAAAACUGAUGUUGAAUAUGCUUACGACAUUGGUUUUGGUCAAAACCGAUGUUGUAAGAGCACUUUCUACAUUGAUUUUAGACCAAUAGAUGUUGUUUUUUUUUUUUUGCAAAUUUUUAUAAUAUUUUGUUUGUUUUUACAAUGAACCAACCAUAACCAAUUUAUAAAAAAUAUAUUAAUUAUAAAUUAAAAUAUUUAAAAAUAUUAUUUUCAUUACAAUGUUACAUUACUUACAAUUUCAUAAUAUUAAUCUAGAUUUAUAAAAUUUAUUUUAAGAAAGCAAGAUAAUUUCUCUAAAGGUCAAUUGUCUCCAAGAAAAAUAAGACUGAUAUGAUAUCCUAAAUGUCUAGCUGCAAAGCUCUUAUAAAAUCCACAGAAGAGAUGAUAUGAAUAUGUAUAUAAAAGCUAAUAGAAUAAAUAUAAAUGUAUAAAUAUGUAUUACAUAGGAAGGAUGAUACCAAUUAAUUAAUAAAUAAAAAUAACUCUUAUUCCAAAUUAAAAAUAGAUAGAAAAGGUUUAAAGAAAGAAAUUACCUCUACAAGAGCAACAAAGGAUGUCAUCAUCAUGGCAAAGGCUUCACCUGCAUCAAAUGUAAGUGCUCCCCUUCGAAAUGGAUAAGGAACUCGUAUCCUACAAACACAAAAUACAUGUUGAAUACAUUCCCAUAAGCUUCAAGUCAUAAGGCUAUGACUAAAUAGUAAAUUAAUAGUGAAUAAUAAAUUAAUAUCUCAAGGAUGCAAUAGUCUUGCAUAAAAAUGUCAAUUAUGCCCAUGCUCUAAGCUUGAUUAUCAUAGGGAGUUCAACAUCAAUAACUUGAAAUAUUAUAAAGAGACAAACAAUUAAUCAAGAUCAAUAGCACUAAUUGCACAUGUGUUAUUAGAUUUUAAGGUUGAUACUAAGGAUAUAAAAACAAAAAAAAAUCAUAAAUUAAAAAGAGAAAUACUAGCUUUUAUAUUUUUAACAUAAUAUAUGUUUUUAGUUUAAUGAACAAAUUUAAAUUAAGUUGCAUCCUUGACAUCAAAACCCCUUAAAUUUACACAAUGUUUGGACUUAGGGUGGCUCAAAAGUUGGUAGAAGCUAGUUAAUUGGACUGUGUCAUUGCGCAGACUUUGAAUUCACUUUCACAACAAUGUAAUAGUCAAGUAUCUGAGUGUAGAUAGAAUAAUCACACCUUCAAAGGACCCUUUUCACUAGCUUUCUCUAGAAAGUCUCCUCCACCAAAAUCAACCUUUUUCCUUGGUUCAAAAUCAACCAUCUCUGUUUCGUGAGUGUGCAAAAUCAAAGUCCAAAAGUGAACAAUUAUGACAUUGAAUGACUAGAUUAUUUAUUUACUUUUCUUUUCUAAGUGUUUCUUUUAAGUCCACUAUGGACAUGGAACAUUGGGGGUGGGGGUGGACUGGCUUUUACUACUACCGGGUAAGUUCCAUUUAAACACUUAAAAUAUGAAUUUAGACUUUUCAAACUGUUCAGGACAACCACCAUGUUUUUUUUGCAUAAGUCACACUUUCAUGUACUAAAACAAGUCAUUUUAACUUCAUUCGCUCCCCAAACAUUAGGGAUUUCAUGUACUAACCACCUAGCACUAAAAAGAUGCAACUGUUGGUCAAGUGGCCUCAAUAAAUUAAGAGGAGGGUGAAUUAAGUUUCAAAAUUUCUCACUAACAAACUUUUAACCUGAUGAGGACAUGACCAAGAGCAAGGGCAAGGAUCCACUUGAUGGACUUGGAGGACCUAUGACAAGGGCUAGAGCAAGGAAAGCAAAAGAAGCUCUUCAACAACUAUUGUCCAUACUAUUUGAAUACAAGCCCAAGUUUCAAGGAGAAAAGUCCAAGGUUGGGAGUUGUAUCAUGGCCCAAAUGGAGGAGGACUAAAUGACACCACUUUGUCUCAAUUUUAGAGUGUUUAGUUUGUCUAAAUAAUGGCCCAAUCCUUGUAAAGUUGGCUGACCAAAAAUAUGUUUUGGGUUAAUCAACUAAAGGGGCUUUAGUUUGGUUUAAUUCAAGUUGUAAUAAGGGCCCAAUUGGCAACUUAGGCAUCAACCUUUGGGAGACCAAAUGGUGAUUGGCUUGAUGGCUUUUAGGGUGACUUUUGGUUGCCACAAUUUCAGUUACACUCAGCCAUUAAGUUCUUUUCAUUCCCUAUGUUAAUGGAUCAUUACUAAAUCUAAGUGGAUUGUAUUUUCCUUUAAUGAAACAUAUGUAAAAUCUGAUGGUAAAGCUUCUUUAUAUGCUGAACCAUUUUAUCAAUAAAGACAAGUUAAGUUUUAUUCAGAAAAAUUAGAGUUUAUCUCUUUUAUCUUAGUGAGAGUGAUUCUCCUAAGUUCUUGAGUGAUUCAAGAACACCCUGGCUAUAUCAAAGGAAGUUCACAUCCUUUGUGUGCUGCCCUCGCCGGAAUGAGUGAUUCUUUCCUUCCACCAUUUCAUCUUCAACCUUAUUCUUUCAAACCACAAUUCUCGAAAAUCCAAUUCUGCCCAAAAUUAUCUUGUGACAUAAUUCUUGUUCUACUUGCUCAAAUUAAGUGAUUCUUGAGCCUAAAUUGAAAUUCAAAACGAGAUCUUCCACCUCGUUUGGGAAUCACCUCAUUUGGAACUCUGUAGCUUGAGUUAUAGUCAUUUCUAUAUUUCUGUCCAGCCGUCACUUCACCUACAUUUUUACCAUCUCAUUCAUCCCUUUUAUGUCAAGAUCCACCUUAUUAAGGCCUAAGAAAUUAGCCACUGCCCAACCCUUGAAUCUUGCCAAUUUCCCAUCCUUUUCUUAAUCAAUUUCCAAAUUUUCCAUCAAGGUUUAAUCCUAGACGAUCUUAAGUCAGCCCUUGUGCAAUGAAGGUUCAUAUCAUAACCCCCUUCUAAAUGAUAGGCUCAGAAUGCAAAACAAGAAGCAACAAUCAAUUUAAUAAUGUUUUUUUAAACAUGCAAGACAAAAUUUAUUGUAAUAACAUAAAUGAGAUAAGGGAAGAGUGAAAUGCAAACUCAAUUUAUAUUGGUUCGGCCACUUCCAGUGCCUAUGUUCAGUUCUCAAGCAAUCCACUUGAGAUUUUCCACUAUCUGUGUAAAUCCUUUAUAGACUUUGAACACACCUUGAGAUCCCUCACCCUUGUGUUCAAAGAUUCUCAAGGAGACAAACCGUCUCUUGAUUACAACUGACUUUCUGAGAUGAACAGAAAGAUUUCUCUCCUUUAGAGUGGAUGAUACAAAUUGAAGAUCCUAAAGGAAUUUCUCUUUUUUAGAGAUGAUAAUACAAAUUGAAGUUCCUAGAUGAACUCUCAAUAGAUUUGCAAGUGUUUGCCCAACAGUUGUUGAGAGAGCAUUUGAUAAUUAAGUUCUCUUAGAAUAUCUCUCUCUUGUUUUUCGAAGUCAAACACACAUAUAUAUUGGCCCUUCGUGCCUUUUCAAAAUGGUUUGAAGAGAUGUGUCUUUUUAAAAAGUUUUUUCUAAAAUUCUUCACUGGUAAUCGAUUACUCAGUUAUGUUUUGAAGAGUCAUGUCUUUUCAAAGUGUUUUCUGAAGUGUCAUUGCUAGAAAUCGAUUACAAACAUCUGGUAAUCGAUUACAUGAUUCAAAAUUCAAAUUCAAAAUCCUUUUUAAAAGUUUUUUUUCAAAAUUGUCUUUUGGUAAUUGAUUACACUGCCUGGUAAUCGAUUACAGCUUUUAAGUUUCAUAUUCAAACUUUUCUGAAAGCUGUUAAAACUAUUUUUGCUUUUGGUAAUCUAUUACAGCCUCUGGUAAUCGAUUACCAGAGAGAAAUACAUAUUUUUCAAAAUGUAAUAUUUACUUCAAAACUUUAUAAGAUAUUUGAAAGCUUAAGUCUUUUAAGGCCAAACCUUUGCAACCUUUUUAAGAGAUUCUUUUAACAUAUAAAGGUUUAUCGUAAAUCGUUUCUCUUGAUUUCUUGAUCUUGACUUGAAUCAAUGUUGAAUAGCUUUAAUCUUUUGGCAUCAUCAAAAUCUUCAUACAACAUAUGCACUUACAAUAUCCCUUUUUUUGAUGAUGACAACAAUCUGAAAACAAGAUAAACGAUAUACGAUUUGUAAUGCUUGCACUCACUCUUACUCCACCUUAAAUUUGCAAUUUAUUGCCUAGUUUUUAGAUAAGAUCUACCCUAGUUUCUCUCCCCCUUUGGCAACAUCAAAAAGCCAAAAAGACUGGAGUAAAUAUCAAAGCCACAAAAUCUAGAGCAAGCAUCAUAACCAAAAAACCAAUCAUCCAUUGCAAAACAAAAACUAAAUAUCCAAAGCAAAGCAUAAAUCAAAUGCUAAAUAUCUAAAGCAAAGUAUAAACCAAAUGCUAAAUAUCCAAAGCAAAACACAAAAUUAACCAAAGUGCUAAAUAACUAAAGCCAAAUACAAGGCAAAAAGAGUAAAAAUGUCUAGAAAAUUAAGAACGUAAAAUACUAGAAAUGUCUAAGAAUCCGCAGGAGGAUCAAAGCAACGUUGAAUGAAGCUCAUGUCGUCUUCAAGACAUAUGAUAUGGGAGUCCAUGGCAUCAAAGCGAUCGUCGAUAAAAGCUCAAAGAUCCCGUAGCUCAAUGAGGACGUCAUUCAAUAAGGAGGAAGAGGUAUCUCGUUGCGGUGGUGGAGAGGGUGUGUGUUCAUCGAGAAUGGGAGGUGGCAGGUCUUGCUUAUGAACCCAUUGGCCAUCCAUAUCCUUCCAGUAUCCGAAAGAAGUAACAACACCAGCACCAAUAGCAAAAGAUCUUUUAACCUUAACAAAAGGCUCAUCCUCUAAAGGAACAUUGAAAUGUUGAAGAAACAAAGUAACAAGAUGAGGAUACAGAAAAUGUGCAUUGGCCAGUAAUGCCUUAUGCAUAUGGUACCAAACAAGAUGGGCCCAGUUAAUUUGGCAACCCGUUUGAAGAGCAAUAGCAAGAUUAAAUCCUACUCAGAGGCCUGAGCAAGAUUGGUGGACCGGGGAAGCAAGACUUGACAAAGGAUAUAAUGCAUGAUGCGACACUCAAAGGUGAAUGAGCCAGCAAGCAAUCUGUCGGUCAUAUCAGCAUGGUCAUUACAGAUCAUUUUACAAGCAUCAUGACUAGAAUAAACAUGUUUUCAAUCAUCAACUAGAGUGCCCUCAAAAGGAACACCCUGACUGCUUAGUUUAGUAAGAGAAUAAAAUAGAGAUUGAUCAACAACAAUAGGUAUUUGAUGCACCUCAGAGAAAAUGACUCCAUCCUGAAUUUUCAAAUUAUUAUAAAAGACUCUAACUAAUUCAGGAUAAUACAAAAAUGGCAUAGACAUAAACUCAACUAAUUCAAAAUUUUGAAACACUUGAUAGCAACCAAAGGUUUCCCCAUCAAAGAAUUUUACAUCUAAAUACUUAGGAUCGAGAAUGACACGAUUGGAGAAUUGGGAAUAGUACCUUUGAUGCUGGUCAUUAGAAGAAAACAAAGUUAAUGACCUGUGAGAUGAAAAAGAAGGAGGAUUUGGUGCUGGUGGGUCACCGGAUGUGUCGUGGCGACAUUGGCCUACAGCGGUGGUGGUGGAGGAGGAUCCCUUUCUCUUCUUUGAGGAUUCUGCCAUUUUGAGCUUGUUUCUGAAAAUUUUGAUCAGUGGGUUUUGUAGAGAAUUGAAAAAGAAGAAAUUUGAGCUUUGUUUGAAGUGAUUUGGACAAGAAACGAGAAAGUUAUGGAGAUUUGAAGUAUUGAGAAAAAGGGGCGCCGUCAAGGAGAGUGAAAGAAAAAAGGGCUGCACAAGGAGAGAGCAAAAUGCAGUAUUUAUAGACAGGGACGAGCUGUAAUCGAUUACAGCUCAUGGUAAUCGAUUACAGGCGUAACCUGUAACUGACCAAGCCCGCUGGUAAUCGAUUACAGCCUAUUGUAAUGGAUUACAGGGAGUGGUAAUCAAUUACCAGACCCUAAAAACAUGGAUUUUUCAUAAAAAUCUAACUAUUUUUCACUCACAAAACACACAUUUAGUAUAACAAUCAUCAACAACAAUCAACAAUCAAAAUAUACAAUCAAACCAAGUAUAAAAAAUUCUCAAACACAGACAUCAAAGAUAAUCAAAAUUUCAAGAACAAUCAUCAACAACAAUCAACAAUCAUCAUAACUAUCAAAACAUAAUUAUCAAAGACAAUCAAAACUCAAGUGAAAACAAUCAUUAAACCUCAAUCAACAAUAAUCAUUAAAAACAAACACAAUCAUCAAGGGCAAUCAAAAGUUUAACAAUCACAAGAAAAGAAAAUAAUAAACAAACAAAUUAAUUAUUUAUCUAAGUCAUUGAUAUCUAGGAGUCCUAAUUCUCUUCUAAUAGCAAAUAAGGUUUCUUUGGGGAGAGGUUUUGUAAAGAUAUCACCUAACUGAUUCUUUGUGUCAACGAAUUCUAGUACACAAUUCCCUUUUUGAACAUGAUCUCUCAAGAAAUGAUGCCUAAUCUCAAUAUGCUUGGUUCUCAAGUGUAGAACAGGAUUUUUGGAUAGGUUUAUUGCACUCGUGUUAUCACAUCGAAUGAGAAUAUGAUUAAGAAUUAAUUCAUAGUUAGAAAGUUAUUGUUUCAUCCAAAGUAUUUGUGCACAACAACUGCCAGCAGAAAUAUAUUCCGCCUCAGCAGUGGAUAAAACAACACUAUUUUAUUUCUUACUAUGCCAUGAAACUAGAGCAGAGCCAAUGAAAUGACAGGUUCCACUAAUGCUCUUUCUAUUAGUUUUGCAACCGACAAAAUCAGAAUAAGAGUAUCUUAUUAGAUUACAAGUGGAACUUUUAGGAUACCAUAAUUCUAAAUUAAUAGUGCCUAAUAGAUAUCUCAUGAUUCUUUUAACUACACUAAGGUGAGAUUCUUUGGGAUUUGCUUGAAAUCGUGCACACAUACAAAUACUAAACAUUAUAUCAGGUCUACUUGCAGAUAAAUAAAGAAGAGAUCUGAUCAUACCUCUAUAUUUCUUUAUGUCUAUUGACUGAUCGGUUUCAUCUUUAUCCAGAUAGCAAGCAGUACUCAUUGGAGUAGUCAUAUGUUUAGCAUUUUCCAUCCCAAAUCCAUCAUUGACAUUCCAAAUUCAUUUUGCAUAUCUUGAGAGAAUUCCCUUUAGAUAUGUCACCGAUAAUGUUAUCAAGAGGGUGGUAUCUAGAAGUUCUCCACCCUUUUGGAAGAUAUGCACUUGAUUUUGUUUCAUCAAUUUGAAAGUCUUCAUCAUUUCCUUUUCCUUUGCCUUUGUGAUCUUCACCAUGAAUAUGCAUUCCUUCUAAAGAAUUUGAAAUAUCAUCUAGAGUAUCUUUUCUUGGCAAAAUUAGGUUAGUUUCAUCAAAAGCAACAUGGAUAGAUUCUUCAAUGAUCAUAGUUUUUUUGUUAUAAAUUCUAAAUGCUUUACUGUGCAAGGAAUAUACCUUCAUUAGAUUUUGCAUCAAACUUACCAAGUUGUCUUUGCCGUUGUUUAGCACAAAACAUUUACAUCCAAACACAUGAAGAUGAGAAAUGUUCGGUUUUCUAUCGUUGUAUAAUUCAUAUGGAGUUUUCUUUAAGAUUGGUCUAAUUAAAGCUCUAUUCAUAAUAUAGCAUGCAAUAUUUACAACUUCAGCCCAAAAAUAUUUAGGAAGGAUUGUAUCAUUAAGCAAAGUUCUGGCUAUCUUUUUUAAAAAUCUAUUUUUCCUCUAAACUACUCCAUUUUGUUGAGGGGUUCUAGGUGCAGAAAAAUUAUGUUCAAUGUCAUUUUCAUCACAAAAUGAUUCAAAAUCCUUAUUUUCAAAUUCUCCUCCAUGAUCACUCCUAAUUUUGAGAUUUUUCUUAUUUUGAAUAAUUUUAGCAAGUUUCUUGAAAGCAUGAAAAACAUCUCUUUUAUGAGUGAGAAAUAAUGUCCGUGUAAAUCUGGAGUAAUCAUCAACUAUAACAAGAGGAUAGUAGUUUCCUCCAAAACUCAUAGUUCUAGAGGGACCAAAAAGAUCCAUAUGCAAAAGUUGUAAGGGUUGAGUUGUAGAUACAAUAUUCUUUGAUUUGAAAGAAACCCUUACUUGUUUUCCUUUAUGACAAGCAUCACAUAAUCUAUCUUUUUCAAAUUUAGGUUUUUGUAAACCAAUAACUAAAUCUUUAGAAAUUAGUUUAUUUAAAUGUUUCAUGUUUAUAUGGGCAAUUCUUUUAUGCCAUAACCAAGGAUCAUCAUCUUUACUAAGAAAACAUUGAUCAUGAUUUAGUGUUCUAUCUAAAUUUAUCAUGUAAACAUUAUUUGAUCUAUAGCCUAUAUGUUUUAUAUUUCUAUCAUGUUUGUUUUCAAUAACACAAUUAUGAGAGUCAAAUAAUACUAGAUAAUCUUUAUCACAUAAUUGACUAAAACAUAGUAAAUUGUGCUUAAGACCAUUAACAAGUAGAACAUUUUCAAUGGAGGUAGAUGAAUUCGUACCUAUUUUUCCAACUCCAAGGAUUAUACCUUUAUUGUUGUCGCCAUAAGUCACAUGUCCACUAUUCUUGGGAGAAAUAUGAGUGAACUUUGAUGCAUCUCCCGUCAUGUGUUUAGAGCAUCCACUAUCUAUGUACCAACUCUUCUUCAAAGAAACCUCUUCAUCGCUUUCAUAAUUUUUGGCCAUUAGACUCAGAUUUAUAACUUCAUUUUCUGAAUCUUCGGAUGAAUGUUGUCUUCCUAAGUGAUGUAUGCCUUCUUUGCUUUCUUAUCAUUGAAGGUUUUCUUUUAAGAUCUUUCUAUUCUUUUCUUGAAACUCGGGCAAUAAUCAACUCUCAGAUGUCCUCUUUACGAAGAAACUGAAAUCAUCAUCUUCCUCUAUUUCAUUCAAAUCUUCUUUAUUACUUCCUUCUUGAAUUGAAGGUGAAGCUUUAAGUGUGAUUCCUUUCUUUUUCUUAUCAUUCUCCUCAUGUUGAUUCAGUCUCAUUAGUUCCAUUUCGUGUUCUUGAAGCUUUCCAAACAAAGUUGCAAGAGACAUGUUAGUAAGAUUUCUUGAUUCUGUAAUAGCCGUUAUCUUUGAUUGUCAUUCCCUGCUUAAACAUCUUAGAACUUUAUUAAUAAGAUCCUCAUUGGGAAAUAUCUUUCCUAAUGAUGCAAGAUGAUUUACUAUGUGUGUGAAUCUCUUUUACAUAUCUUGUAUAGUUUCAUUUUGAUUCAUUCUAAACAAUUCAUAUUGAUGGGUUAGGAUAUUUAUUCUAGACCUUUUUACAUCCGUUGUUCCUUCAUGGGUUACUUGUAAGGUAUCCCACAUUUCUUUUGCAUUCUUGCAAUUUGAUACUCUAAAAUAUUCAUCCAUUCCUAAUGCAAAUGUAAUUAUAUUUUUGGGUUUUAAAUUAUAUUGUACCAAUUUCUUUUCCUCUUCAUCCCAUUGUUCCUUAGGGUUUUCUAUAGUUGCAUUUCUUGCUACCAUAGUAGGGAUGUAAGGACCAAUUUCUAUGGCUUUCUAGAUGUUUAAAUCAAUAGCCUCUAUAAAAAUUUGCAUACGGGUUUUCCAGUAAUGAUAACCCACACUAUUGAAUAUAGGAGGUCUAUUUAUAGAGUUCCCUUCGGGAAAUAAAAAGUUUGAUGAGGCCAUGACUAUUCUGGAAGUUUCUAAACCUUAUACAAGAAUUAAGCUCCGAUACCACUUGUUAGUCAAGUGGCCUCAAUAACUUAAGAGGGGGGUGAAUUAUGUUUCAAAAUUUCCCACUAAUAAACUUUUAACCCCCUUCUAAAUGAUAGGCUUAGAAUGCAGAAGAAGCAGCAAUCAAUUUAAUAAUAUUUUUUUAAACAUGCAAGACAAAAUUGAUUGCAAUAACAUAAAUGAGAUAAGGGAAGAGAGAAAUGCAAACUCGAUUUAUAUUGGUUCGGCCACUUCCCAUGCCUACGUCCAGUCCUCAAGCAACUCACUUGUGAUUUUCUACUAUCUCUGUAAAUCAUUUACAGACUUUGAACACACCUUGAGAUCCCUCAUCCUUGUGUUCAAAGAUUCUCCAAGAGAUAACCCGUCUCUUGAUUAAAACUGACUUUAUGAGAUGAACAAAAAGAUUUCUCUCCUUUAAAGUGGAUGGUACAAAUUGAAGAUCCUAGAGGAAUUUCUCUCUUUUAGAGAUGAUAAUACAAAUUGAAGUCCUAGAUGAACUCUCAAUAGAUUUGCAAGUGUUUGUCCAAGAGUUGUUGAGAGAGUUUUUGACAAUUAAGUUCUCUUAGAAUAUUUCUCUCUUGCUUUUCGAAGUCAGACACACAUAUACAUAGGCCCUUCGUGCCUUUUCUAAAUGGUUUGAAGAGAUGUAUCUUUUCAAAAAGUUUUUUCUAAAAUUCUUCACUAGUAAUCGAUUACAUGGUUAUAUUUUAAAGGGUCGUGUCUUUUGAAAGUGUUUUCUAAAGUGCCGUUGCUGGUAAUUGAUUACAAACAUCUGGUAAUCGAUUACAUGAUUCAAAAUUCAAAUUCAAAACCCUUUUUAAAAAGCUAUUUUUCAAAAUUGUCUUUUGGUAAUCAAUUACACUGUCUGGUAAUCGAUUACAACUUUCAAGUUUCAAAUUCAAACUUUUCUAAAUGUUGUUAAAAUCAUUUUUGCUUCUGGUAAUCGAUUACAACCUCUGAUAAUCAAUUACUAGAGAGAAAUACAUAUUUUUCAAAAUGUAAUAUUUACUUAAAAACUUUAUAAGAUAUUUGAAAGCUUAAGUCUUUUAAGGCCAAACCUUUGCAACCUUUUUAAGAGAUUCUUUUAACAUAUAAAGGUUUAUUGUAAAUCGUUUCUCUUGAUUUCUUGAUCUUAACUUGAAUCAAUGUUGAAUAGCUUUAAUCUUUUGGCAUCAUCAAAAUCUUCAUACAACAUAUGCACUUAAAGCAAGAUGGCAACAGAGUAAAUUAUGCAGCAAAUUUUAACCUUUCAAGGUCUCCAACAUGACUUUUUAUACAUUAUUUAAUCACCAAUAGACUAAGGAAUCGUCUGAUAACCUUUGCAACACUAACCAUACCUCUGAGCACCUUAAUUUUAUUAUUUUAAGGACAAUUUAAACUACAAGGCAGCAGUUGCGACUCUAUUAGGAAAAUCAUUAAAUAAAGUCAAGAUAUAAUCUCAAGAUAUCAAAUACAUCAUUGAGUUAUCAUUGAAUGGUCUCAUGACAACACCUUAUAUGUAGGUUAUCAAUAUAUCUAACAUGAGUCGAAGUCAUAUAUAAAAGUUAUUUGGCAACAAGUUCAUCUGCUUAGGAAAUGCACUUAAACCAAAAUCGAAAAUCUUUAUAUUUCCUAGUGAAUCAAGUAAAAGAUUUUCAAGCUGCACAAGGAAAAAAGGAAAAUUAGAAGAAAUCACCAUAAGGGCAAUAGACAACUUUUCAGAUCUCACGCAAUGCAAACCUUUAAAUCUAUGUGAUAAACUCCGUUACAGUGGCAAUAAUCUACAUUGUCAAUAAGUUGUUGGAAAUAUCUUCUAGAGUCAACUUCACUAAGAUGACCAUGAUAUAUCUGCACAAUCAUAUUAUUCACCAUCAAACAUUUCCAAUAUCUCGAAUGGUGAUUAAUAAAAGCCACAAUAAAAUCCACACAAAAAAGGUUCCAUCUUGAGCUACUCACAAUUUUAUAAACAAUUCACCACCCGUGAUGAACUCCAAUAUGAUAUAAAUCUUGGUACAACUUGCAAGAACCUGAAGUAAACAACGUUUCACAACAAAAACAAGUGCUUGUGAGUGGCAUCAACUAACGAGAGAAACAUUAAGAAUUACUUCUCAGAGCAAAUAUUGAGUCGGCAUGGCUCUUCGUUUAAAACAUUUUUUUUUCAUUUAAUCAAGGAAGAUUCUCAAAUAUCAGAAUAUGAUUUUAGAACUAUCCCUCACUCCAAAAGUCCAAACAAUCAAAAUAAAAAAGAAAUUCUAUAAUUCUGGUUUCUGCAUUGCACACUUUUCCCCAACCCUAAAAGCAUGACAUGAUUCAAAUGUUAUUCACAAGCUUUGCAUUUUUUGGGUUUUAAUUUAUUAGUUUAUUAUUAAGUGUCUUCUUGGCAGGGAAAUAGAAAAACGAAAAGAGAACAACAACAACAUCAUUCUUUGAAAAUUAAACCUGUGUUGUUUAUGGAGAUGCUCGUGCAAAGACCUCACAUGAUUAUGGUAAACAUGUGCAUCCCCAAUAAUAUGGAUAAAAUCACCUGGAAUGAGAUCUGACAAGAAGAACACAUAGUAUAAAGAUUGAUUAUUUUAUGUUUAAAUUACUUUUAAUGUUGUAUUUUCUCUUGUGAUAUUAUCAAAAUCAAUAAGCUUCUGAACCUUGAAUCUACCUAGACUGGAACUUCAAUUAAAAACUUAUUGAUAAACUUAUGAAAACAACUCUAUCAAAAAAUCUAUAAAAAUAAUUGAAAAGUGCAAAUAGGCCACUAAAAUAAUCAAAUUAGUUAAGCAAUGGAAAACCUUUUCUAUACAGAGAUAAUCUAUAACAAUUUUUUCCAAAAUUUGUCAUGAUUUCUUAAUGUUACCAUGCUAGGUAGAUGGAAGUUGAUGAGUCCAUGAGAACCUGGAACAGUGCAAAUAAUGUCUAUGAUAUCCCAACAUACAUAUUUAUAUAAUAUCAUACAUGAGAAUGCGAAAUUAAUUAAAAUAAUUUUAUUCAAUAAACAUAAAGGAACUCACAUGGGUAAAAGGUUUACAUUCACGUUAAUCACCAAAUUAAAAACUUAUCAAAUAAGGGUAUGAAAACAUCUCUGGCCCAAAACAAGGCCAUCUAAUUUUAACAAAAGAAAACAAGUUAAGCAACAUAAUAACAUAAACUAACAUAUUCAGAACAUUAUGCAAAUAAUAUAGAAACUCAUGCCCAAUACCACAUCAUAUCAUAGUGUUGUGUCUCAGCAUCCUCUAGCGCGAGGUUCUUUAAAAUUAUCCACCUAACCAUCUGCUCCCACGAACACAAGGUUCAAGAUUAUCACAGGACUCAAACACAAACAACACACGGGGAGUGAGUUAUCACAUUCCUAAACAGGUAAAUCUAAACGAAGCACAUAUAUAUAAUAUAAGUAUAAUGAGCUCAACUUAGCAUAAUUCACAUCAUUUUACCACUCAUUGUGUAACUUCACUUGUCCCAAGGAUUUAAUCACAAAAUCAUUUUCAUACCUUCACAUUAAUCAGGUGUUCAGAACAACACGUCUCAAGUACAACACAAUAUCUCACACUCACACAAUUCAUUACCCACCAUCACGUAACAAGUCAUAAUAGUCAUUAUGCAAGUAUUAUGUAACAGAUACACUAAGACUCAAUCUUAUAUGCAAUGUGGUACCAUGUCAGUGAAAAACCUCGCCGGGAGCCUAGGAGUACAUGGCAAGACAAACUACACGCUGGUAAGUCAGGUCACUCUCACUAGGUAAAAUCAUAGGAAUACAAGCUAGGGUCACGCUGUUUUGUGAGACUACUUCAACCAUGUGAGAUUGACACAAGCUUAAAGGAGCAUUCAAACCGGGUGUAUUUACCCCAAGGUCUAAACUCUGAAGAGUCAGUUAGGACCUUUCCUUCCCAAUUCAGGUCCAACCUAGAAAACAUUUUAGCACGCAGAUUGUAUCAAUGAAUAGUAAAAAACACACGACUCUUGAAUUAUUCUCAAAAUAAUUUUAACUCGUCGUGCCUCAAAGUGAUUAAACUCGUCGAGUUCCCAUAAUGGAUCUCAUCACAAUACUCGUCGUGCAUUAACUUGUCACCCUUAAAGGGUCUUACAACCGUGUGAUUGUAUGGUUGAUAGCUCACAACUCAAUGCACACAACAUCUCAAUACAUGUGUGAUCUCUCAACUUAUCACAUACACUCAAUCUCAAUCACAAUGUUAUAAUCCCAAAGCAACAUAUUAUCACACUCAUGAAUCAUAUACACAUCACACAAUAUUAAUAUAUGCAUGGCACAAACACAAACUUUACCUAUAAACUAUGUAAUACACACAAUUACUCAAUUGUUUUCAAAAUCAUUUUAACUUGUCGCGCCUCAAAAUGAUUCAACUUGUUAGGUUCCCACAGCGGAUCCCAUCAUAAUACUCGUCGCGCAUUAACUCGUUGCCCUUAAAGGGUCUUACAGUUGUAUGAUUACACAAUUGAUAACUCACAACGCAAUACAUACAAUAUCUCAAUACACAUGUAUCUCACAAUUCAUCACAUAUUCAAUUUAUCACUUACACACUAUCUCAAUCACAAUUUCAUGAUCUCAAUAUAAUAAUUUAACACACUAAUCUAGUAAAUCUUUUUCCAAAACACAAACGAAUUAUACAAAAAUGCUUCUCACAACAUGGGGAGUAAAACCCCUCAUACAAUUUUACAUAAUCAUAUCAUAAUCAAAGGAAUCAAAAUCAUAGGUUCAAUAAUCACAAAAAAAAAACCAAGAGCACUCAAUUUUGUAGAAGCAAAGCUUCAUGGAGAAUCAAAGGUAAUUUAAAGGUGUUUUGAUGAUAACAAUGAUGAUAACAAAAGAUGAUGACAAAAGGUGAUGACAAAAAGCUCAAAGAUCAAUCAGAGAACAACUCAGGUGAAUCAAGAACAAUUCAAGAGUUCAAGAUAAGAAUCAAGAAGAAUUCAAGACUCAAGAAGAAAGUUUAGAGUCAAGAAUCAAGAUUCAAGGUUCAAGAUCUCAAGAAUCAAGAUCAAGAUUCAAGAGUCAAGAGAAGGCUUAAUCAAGAUAAGUAUGAAAAGUUUUUCUCAAAAAUUGAGUAGCACAUGAUUUUUCUCAAAACAUGUUUACCAAAGAGUUUUUACUCUCUGGUAAUCGAUUACCAGAUUGUUGUAAUCGAUUACCAGCAGCAAAAUUGUUUUGAAAGAGUUUUCAAAUUGAAUUUACAACGUUCCAAUUAAUUUCAAAAAGCUGUAAUCGAUUACAAUGUUUUGGUAAUCGAUUACCAGUGCCUUUGAACGUUGAAAUUCAAAUUCAAAUGUGAAGAGUCACAUCCUUUCACAUAAAAGCCUUGCGUAAUCGAUUACACUGAUUUGGUAAUCGAUUACCAGUGAUUGUUUCUGAAUAAAUCAAAAGAUGUAACUCUUCAAAAGGUUUUUGACUUUUUCAAAUUGGUUUUAAGUUUUUCUAAAAGUUAUAACUCUUCUAAAUGGUCUUCUUGACCAGACAUGAAGAGUCUAUAAAAGCAAGGUUUUGUUUUGCAUUUUCAUUCAUUCAUUCAAUCUUGAACACUUAUUCAGACAAUCCUUUAUAAGCCUUGAAUCUCUUUAAACGUCUUCUUCUUCUUUGUACCAAAAGCUUUCUGAAGUUUUUCUGGUUUUCUAAACCUUGAAAACUUGUGUUAUUCAUCUUUUCAUUCUCUUCUCCCUCUACCAAAAAGAAUUCGCCAAGGACUAACCGCCUGAAUUCUUUUUGUGUCUCUCUUCUCCCUUUUCCAAAAGAACAAAGGACUAACCGCCUGAAUUCUUUUGUGUCUCCCUUCUCCCUUGUCAAAGAAUUCAAAACGACACAGUCUGAGAAUUCUUUUGAUUCUUCCCAUUCCCUUAUAAAAAAGUGUUCAAAGGACUAACCGCCUGAGAAUUCUUUUGUAUCCCUAUUCACAAAGUAUCAAAGGUUUAACAGCCUGAGAUCUUUGUCUUAACACAUUGGAGGGUACAUCCUUUGUGGUACAAGUAGAGGGUACAUCUACUUGGGUUUGACUGAGAACAAGAGAGGGUACAUCUCUUGUGGAUCAGUUCUAGUGGAGGGUACAUCCACUAAGUUCAAAGAGAACAAGGGAGGGUACAUCCCUUGUGGAUCUUUGCUUGUAAAAGGAUUUUUACAAGGUUGAAAGAAAUCUCAAGGACCGCAGGUCGCUUGGGUACUGGAUGUAGGCACGGGUUGUUGCCGAACCAGUAUAAAAACUCUUGUGUGUUUGCUUCCUUCUUCCCUACUCUUUUACUUUCUGCUGUGCAUUUAAUUUCCGCUUUUACUUUCUGUUAAGUUUCUCUUCUACUCCUCAUUCUCUUAAUUUAGUAAAAGCCUUAGAAGAGUAAUUUUUUAAUUAGUAAAGGUUUAGGAAUAAUUAAUUCAACCCCCCUUCUUAAUUAUUCUGAGGUCACUCGAUCCAACAAAUUUUAUCAACCAAUUUGCAUUAGGAUAUCAAUUGGUCCGUCAAACAUAACAAUCUUGUGAUUAUAAUCAUAAAGGCAGAAUUAUCAUCAUAAACAUCCCAAAAAAGAUCCCAAUUUGAUCCUCUAAGGACCCUUACACAUGUUCAUUUUAACUCCAAUUGCGAUAAACUCAUUCAUAAGCGGACUCACGUGUGUAGUCUGAUGACAAUAACAAUGUCUCUAGCAGUUCCCUGGGAUUCCUCCCUUUGGUUGUUCUGUUAUGAUUUCUAAGCAUUAGAGAGAAACAAAAGGGAUUGGAGCCUCAAUUUUACUAUCUCUGUGCGAGGGACAUUUCUCUCUCUAUAGACAUUAUUUCUCAAAUCCCAAAAGUAAAAAUGUGCGAAAAUGAGUUCUGAAGAUGAUGUUCAAAUUUCACGAGGAUCUAACGGUUAUUGGGAUUAUAAUUUUAUUAAGACAUGUUUGAAUGUAUGCAAAAAAAAGAAGAUAUUAGAAGAGAAAGAAGGAAAAAAAUUUUAAGACAAAGAUGGAGGGUACAAAUGUUUAAAUUAAGUUAGUUAGGAUACUUACUUUCAACCUAUUAUUUACUUUAUUUAUAUUUUAUUUUAUUAUUUUAUAACAAAGGAAAUUUUAUUUCUCUUUUAUUAAAUAAAUAAUCAAUUAAAACAUCUUUUUAUUCUCUAAAUCAUUAUUUUAUUUUAUUUAUUUUCUAAUAUUAUCAAACUCUUAUUUUAAGUAAUAAAAAAUUCUUUUUUUUCAUUUAUUUAAUUUCUAAAAAAAAUUAUUAAUUUUUUAUUUUACGGAAAACGGGUGUGAGAAUGCCAUUGAGAGUGCUACUCUCCAUAUCUUCUCCGUCCGCAAAACAAACUUAACAUCCUUCAAGCAUUUCACCGGCAAAUAGUCAAGUUCACGAAGUUAGUAUAAGACAAAUUGCAAUCAAUAGGUAAGAAUGCUCAGCUCUGCUCCUAGGUUAACCUGUGCUAUGAAGGUACCCGAAGAAUAAAACUAUAAAGAAGCACAUAAGCUACUAAUUCAAGAAAUGAACAUGUGAAGAGUGGUGAAAGCGAUAACGAAUAGAUGAGAAUCGGAUCGGGGCAGCUAAACGAUGUCGUUUAUCAGAGCUUGUGAAGGGUUUGAUCAAGGCACAUCCCGUGUGUCUCAAAGCCAUGGAACAGUUAAUGUCUCACAUUCUUUUUUUUUUUUUCUUUUUCUUUUUGCACCCACUUUCAGAUUCAAUUGGUGCCUUUCUUGGUUUUUUCUUGUACCCUUUGGGGUUUUAUCAUUUAGCUCCAAAAUGGUACCUUUUGCAAUGUUUGCCAUUAUUUUGCAUUUCACUUUUUAGCAUAAUUUAUUUGUUUCUGAAUCAUACUGAGGAAUGUGGUGCUUGUGGUGUUCAAUUCUCCUGUUUUGGUCUACAUUAGGCAUUCUGACUUCUGAGUUUAGUGAUUUUAGGAAUUUUUGGGAUGUCAUGUGUUUUGUCACCUAAUUUUGAUUUUCAAUGUUUAUUUAAAGUUUAGUGUUUUUUUUUUUUUAAUAUAUACUCUCUCUAGUCAUUAGGCAUUAGAAAAAAAACAUAUUUUUCUCUUAUCAUUCAUUUGAUUGAGGUACUAGUUUCAUAAACUCUUAUUUUUUAUACUAAGUUCCAAAUAUAAUUUGAAAAAAAGUUACUUUUUAAUUAAAAUUGAUGCAAUUAAAUAUUGCUAAGUAACUUUUGUUAGUUAGCGUGAAAUGUUUUUUUUUACUUCUUAUAUUUGAGAUGGAAGGAAAUACAUUUUAAGUUGAUAAGGAAAUGUCAGUAUUUAAUCUUUUAAUCUCCUGAAAAAAAAGUUAUAUAUUUUUAGUUUCUUAAAAUGUGUUAAGUGUAAUAAUAUCUGUUCUUUUCUUGGACUUAGUACUAGUAACAUGAAAUACAACGCCAAUUUUAUAAACAAAAAUGAUACAUCGACACCUUAUGCUAAUGUACUCCUAAAGAGAGAAAGAGAGAACAAAGAGAAACGUGAAUGUGAUAAGAAGAGACAUUGAAAAAAAAUGAGAAGUGCCAAUGAAGUGUUUGUAUUAUAACAGAUGUCCCUAUAUCAUUUUUCUUUUAUAGAUGAGGAAUUAAAAAUAUGAUUUUAUUUAAGGAACAUUCUAUUUUUCUAGGAACAUUUUCUUAUUUACAGGAAUAAAAAUAUACUAUUCAAACUUUUUUUUCCUGCAGGGUGAAAAUUUGAGUAUUAUUAUCUUUUUGACUGUGUUUACAAGAGCGCCACCUGCAACAUUUCCUAGAGCUGAAAAAAAUUAGAAUAUGCUCUGCUCUUAAGCAUGAAUAUUUAUCUGAAUUUCUAAAUAAGCGCAGAAACUGCUUAGUUAGGCUUUAUGUUGACAGCUAAAAUAUUGAAAAUGUUGAGUUCAGUAUGAUUGUUGUACCAUUGUUCUCAAUAAUAUUGAUCAUGUUCAUGACUGAUGUUUAUUCAAUUGAUUGGAGGCUAUGUUAGCCUUUAGUGCUGCUCAAGUAUUUUUAUGUGACAGAUCUGUCAUAAUGAAUAUGGUAUUUCAAAUGCAUGUGGAAUAUGGUAUUUUUCUCUAGUUAUAAUGAAUAUUUCUCAUCUGUAGUCUGUUAUACAAAUGUUUUUAUAUAAUAGAUCUGUCACAUUUUUUUCAAAUGCAUUUGGAAUAUGUAUUUUUCUCUAGUUAUAAUUUCUCAUUUAGCUACUUGCUGAGUGGAUUCAAGUAUAAUCUGACACUCUGAGUUCCUUUCCAUAGAAAAAGUGGAAACUGAAAAGAGGUGUACUUUCUCUCAUUCUCUUUCUUCAUUUUGUCUUGCCCUUUCUGGGUGUGGACUGAGUUCUUAAAUAUAGAACUACUCAUGUGAAAGAUUAUAUGUCUCUGCUCUGUUUCUGAUAUGUGAUAUCUGAUAACUCUUUGCUUAUAUGUAUAUAUAUUAUAUAUGCUGGUUUUAUCAACUUGGUAAGAAUUCUUAAAAUGAAAUGUUUGUUACUAAUAGACAAUGUUAUCAAUGGUGGAUGGUGGAAUGUAGCGGAAAGUCAAAAUUCCACCACAUGAACACAGAAUUGUGGCCUAUGGUGCUGUGUUAUGAGUCACACAUUGAGUAGAGUAAACUACUUGGUGUGGUACAUAGUCCUUGAGGUUCUUCACCUAAUGAACCAGUCUUUUGGGUUGAGCUCUUCUCUUGUGCUUAAUCCUAACAAUUAAUGCUUUUGGAAUGACUGAUUCAUAUUGGAUGCAUAGAAUUAGAGUAGGGUAUUUUUUUUCCAAGUUGCCUACUUUUAAAUAUGCCCUAGAUCAUGUCCACUUAGUUCAUAUGGAUGAUUAAUUUUCAGUAGGUUCUGUGCUUUUGAUCCCCCUCCAUCUCUCGUAUUUGGAUUGAGGGUUCUUGAGUUAAAGGAGCAAGGUGUUAGUAAGGAACAAGCAAUGGCUAUGGCAGAUGUAGUAACGUGAACUGGUUCCUGAACAUGUUAGCUCUGCAAUUUGUUUUUCCCUUGUGUUCUCUUAUCCUCUAAUAAUCCACUUUGGCUUUUUUGCUUCCUAGAUGGAGAGUAUCUGACAGAGAAGAGGGCAAAAAAGAAAGCAUAUACCUGUUUGAGGAAAAAACCCAUAUCCUAGUCCUAUCAAGGAAAUACAAGCUGAGGAGAGGAAAUUGUGAAGCAAUAGAAAGCUGAGUCAGCAGAGAGAUUCAGAGAGGGGGUGAUUGGUGAGAUGUAGAGGGGAAAAGUUACACUACUUUGAAAGUUUGGCUCUUGAACAAAUGAUCUUUGACAAUAACAUUUACUGUUCAGCCACUGAAAAGUUAUUUGUUGUAAAUAAGAAAAUCUAUUUGUUGUGUUAGAUAACUGUAGAGGAAAAUUUUACCAAAAUCUUAUGCAAGUUUUCUGUUUUUCCAGGCCACCCAUGUAGGUUUGUUAGUUGGUACAAAAGAACUAAAUAGAUAAUCAAGAUUUGUAUAUUUACUCUUUUUAUUUUUAUGAUUAUGAGCCUCAUGACCAAAAUAUUAUGCGAUUAAUUUUCAAUAUAAUAUAUUUUAACUUGACUUUUUGAAUGUUAAAAAAUUGAAUCUGUUUUAUAAUAUCAAUGUUCUUGAAGUAUCCAGCCAUAUAGAUAGCUUAAGUGUUCAAGUCAUGUGGAUGUGUCAAGUAAACUGUUUGAACUAACAAAACUUUUGUUAGACUUAGUGAGUAGUGUAGGACACAUGUUGUACAGAUGUCGAGAAAGUGUUGGUGCUAAAAAUUUGUCUAAUCACUGUGCUUAACAAGUUUCAUCUUAUCAUUCAGUAACUAUUGUGUUUUUCUUUAGCAGCCUUUUCCACUACUUUUAUCUCUUGUUCUGUUCUUGUCAUCCUCACUUGUACUCAGGGUCACUUGUUGCAUCUUAUUCUCUUGAUCUUUGUAUGUAGUUAAGUACAUUAUCAGAUUUUGUGGCAUGCAGACACGAGAUCUCUCACCAUCCUUUUAAUUAUUUUCAUCAUAAGCAGCACAUAACACUGUUUGAAGCAAUUUUAAUGUGAGCUCCUUUGGAUGGAUGCUAAUUCCCAGGUUCUAUCUUAAAGUUGUUCUUCUGACAAUGUCAUCCAUUUUUAGCUUUAGGUUGUUAACCAAAAUAGAAGCAAGGUGGCAGCUGUUGCUGAAGAACUCUGAUUAUUUGUGUCCUCUGAUGUACAGAUACUUUAUGGUCACAUAUCCAUAUUUGUAUCGUACUUGUAAUGAAUACCCAUAGGCGUAUAAUAAGGCUGCCUAAGUCGGGUAUGCAUUAAAUCUAGACUGUUUUAUUGAAACUUCUUACAUACACUAUUUCUUUAAAUAGUGAAACAAUUGUUAUCAUUAAGUUUUUUAAUAAAUUCGAUAAGAGAUUGAACACCAAUGAUGUUAGGAUGAUGGAGAUGACCCAUCAAUAGAUAUCAUCUAUAUUAAGAAAUAAAGAAAUUAAAAUAUAAUUUUAUGUAUCACAUUGCACCUAAUACUUGUAUGAGUUGUAUCCAAAGCCAUGAAACAAAAUGUGUCAGAUAUCAGUUAGAUAAGAUUCAGUUCAGCAGGCAGGUUGGAUAAGAGUAUUGCUUAUGUAUAUCUUAAAAGAAAGUUUCCUAUUUGACCGAAUGUGGGUGUUUUUGUCCACCUAGGAGCUUUUUACCAUGUAACCAGACAGAUAAUUGGUAUCUUAAAAUUUCAAAGGGUGGUCCUUCACACCUAAUUUGGAGAUCUAAUUUGUUGAUAUGUCUUCACUAAUAGACUGUAUUGCAAAAUUAGUAAAUUGAAGAUGACAUUACUCAAGUUUUUCAUGUGAGGAAGGAAGGGAGCACAAGGAAAACGGUGAAACCUCACUGAUCAGCAUUUUCAGAGGAACCUAUUAUGAAGCACUCAACUUGCUGACAUAGGCUUUAUGAUCUGCACUAAUCUUUUGAAACUUCAUUUUGUCACAUGUUACUAAGUUGAAAAAGAAAAUAUUGUUUUAGGAGCUAAAGAUGAAUAAGUAGCUAAAGGAAAGUUAUAUAGAAUUUGUAGUAAAAGGGAAGAGUGUAAACAUAUUUGCUUCAGUACACAGAGUGGAUGACUCAAGUGCUGGUUCCAUUACCAAAUUUCAGUGGUUUUGGUUGAAUAUGUAAGUCAGUGGAAGUGGUGCUGAAGAUUGGAGGGAAUGUUUGGAGUACAUGAUUAGAAAAGGGGAGAAUGAUUAAAAGAAAUAGAAAAUUGGCUGACUAAUAUUGGGGAUUCAUAGGAAUGUUGUGUGUUAGUAAAUUGGAAAAAUGUUACUCCAUUGAUAUUUUCAGCAUACCAUUCAUCUAAGAAGCAUAACUGUUCCUUUUUAUAUAUUUUCUGUUACCUUCCUUUCCUUCAAAACAUGGCUUUUGAAUUUUGAACCAUUAACUGAGUUGGAAUAGUGGUAAAAUCAUGUAGAUUUUUGUUUUCGUUUUGUGGGGAUAUGAAUGAGAAAAAUCCUUACAACCAGACAAAGCUGUGGCUCAGAAGAAAGAGAAACAUGCCUCACUGCUAGAAUCACUGGAACUAACAUCUUGUAAACAAACUGUUAUACCAAACUUUCCUAAGGUGCAAUUCUCAACCAUUAACCAAUUUCAUCUCAAACAACACUAUCAGUUCUUCAGUCAUGAACUUCCCAUACUGAAAAUUUGUCACCUAUUUCUUUUAUAGGCAGUGGCUUCUUAUGAGAGUCACACUCUCUGAACUUCUUAUGUAAAACUUGACUUUUCAUUUUGUGCUUUAUAAUUGUUAUCUCAUGCAUUGCCCUUUUAAGAUAAGGUUGUUGUGCAUUGUUUGGUUGAGUACAACGAUUUACUGAUGACCAUAACUAUUUGUGGAUCUUAUAUUUUCAAAAGUGUAUGCUUGGUCAUUAAUCAACCAAGCUUGAUAAGCCCCAUCACCUACCAUCCCCUUCUAUGCCAUAUACACAUUUUGCUUAUCUACAUUGCUACUGUUACUCUCAAACAAGUCUAACAAAUAAUAAGUGAAGUUAAUGAACAUUUUUAGUAAUAUUAUUAUAAGGAUUGGCCAAUGUAAUGGUGAACAGAGAAGCAUGCUUUCAGCUACCCAACAAACUGGAUAAGAGUGUCAGUUGAUAUGGUUCUCUUGUUUUUUUUUUUUUUUUUUCCAAUGCAAAAUCACCUUUAAAAUAUAAAAGAUCACUGUAACAAAGGGACAAAGGGUUUUCACUUAACCCAUGCAUGAGAUAUGAUGGUCACAAAAUAUGUUAGGUUUAAUAUGGAAUGAGGGCACAGUACAAACCACUCACAAAUAAUAUCAAACUCCACCACCAUCACACAUUUUACGUUCUUCCAAGGAAGAGAUAAGAUAAUGAAGCCUCCUCCACGUGUCACUUCCACAUGGUACCUAACGAUAAGGCUACCAUUCAAAAUUUUCCUCACUCGUGUGGCCAAUAUGCUGUAAUGUCAUCACUUAUUCAAUCCAACGGUUGUAACUUCUCAGCAACCAAUCCCCUCCAUUUCACACCAUCGGAUUAGUACUACACAAAUCACACUAUUAUAUAUAGUAAGUUUGAGCAGAAGCUUGGAUAUCUGGCAGCAGAAGAACAAGUAGUUGAGAACUAAGAAGGAGAAGCAAAUGGCUUCCUCAAUGAUCUCUUCCCCAGCUGUUACCACUGUCAACCGUGCCGGUGCCGGCAUGGUUGCUCCAUUCACUGGCCUCAAGUCCAUGGCUGGCUUCCCCACCAGGAAGACCAACAAUGACAUUACCUCCAUUGCUAGCAACGGUGGAAGAGUGCAAUGCAUGCAGGUAUGACAACUCCACACAUAUAAAUACACAAGAGGCACCAAAAUGAUUAUAAUUCAUGUUACAUAUUUAGGCAUGUACCUAAAUGUUACUUAAAUAAACAUGUUAGUCAUAGGUUGCUUAAAUUUUAGUCAUAGGAAAAUUUGCACAUGUGCUAGUUAAUCUGUUAACCCCUUUACUCAAUUUUCAUGCAAAUUAAUUACUAGGUGUGGCCACCAGUUGGCAAGAAGAAGUUUGAGACUCUUUCCUACCUGCCAGACCUUGAUGAUGCACAAUUGGCAAAGGAAGUAGAAUACCUUCUUAGGAAGGGAUGGAUUCCUUGCUUGGAAUUCGAGUUGGAGGUCAAUUUCUUGCAAACACUUUUGGUUUAAUCAUAGAUUUUCUUAUUCUUAGUUUGUUUCAACUUAUUUUCAAGAAAUAAUCGCUUCUCUAGCUAGUGUGCUAAAAGUACUUUUGGAAACAAAACAAAAAAUGGUUGUGUUCCAAAAUUUAAAUUUAUCUAACAGAUUUUUCUAUCUGAGAGUUAUCAAUAUGUAUCAAAUCUGUUCCUAUCUCUGACCAAAUUUUAUUCUUCCAAAACAAGCACUUGGUUUUGAGUUUUGAUGGUUGAUCUGCUUGUUUGCAGCACGGUUUCGUGUACCGUGAGCACAACAGGUCACCAGGAUACUACGAUGGACGCUACUGGACCAUGUGGAAGCUGCCUAUGUUUGGUUGCACUGAUGCUUCUCAGGUGUUGAAGGAGCUUCAAGAGGCUAAGACUGCAUACCCCAACGGCUUCAUCCGUAUCAUCGGAUUCGACAACGUUCGCCAAGUGCAGUGCAUCAGCUUCAUCGCCUACAAGCCCCCAGGCUUCUAAGUGUGAAAAAUUUGCAAAGCAUUUGUAGCCGCCACCCCACUUUGUUUGUUUGUACUUAAACUACAUUCCCAUUUGUUUUUGCUUUUUGAGAUUUCAUCAUCCUGUAUUUUUGGUUUCUGUUUUCGGACUUCAAUGGAAAUUAAUGGAUGAGAACUAAUGAAUAAGCUAUUGUGUUGUGUUGCUUUGUUUCAAAAUAACUUCAAUAACCCAUCGUCCUUGCAUUUCUCUCUAGUGGGCUGAAAUUAAUCUUUUCUAAAUUUAAGUUAAUUAAUUGUGUCUCUAAAUGAUGGUUAACAGAGGAACUGUGUUAUUCAAGUACUCUGCAUAGUUUAGCUGAGCUUGGCCUUACUUUGUCACAACUCACAAAUCUGAUGUAUGAAUGUUCUUUAUACUUUGGUCUUCCAAGAAAUGAAGUUCAUGACAUAUAUAGUUUGUAAACAUGUUGCUAGGAAGCUUCUGAACUUUCAAAACCAAAUAUGAACUUGAUAAUUCUUGGAAACACAGAUAUUUUGUAUAGUACAUAGCAACAAAAAACCACUAAGGAACUGCUACCAAAUCGUUUUGUUAUUUAUGUGCAAAGAAAGCGAUGUCAAAUUCAAAUUUUUAUUGGUUUCAGAAUCUUUUCUUUCCAAGCAAUAACCACCAACUGCACGAAACCGUUUUGUUUGUUCCAUUUCUCACUCUCCUCACUGCAAUAUUCAAAUUCUGAUUUGGAAAACAGCACAUAAAAACACAAGAUUUGGUCAUGCUCUGGUUCUACCAAAUACUACAUUUGUUUCUAGAAUUGCCAGAAUCUGAUCCUUAGCUGACAAUUAAUCUCUAGAAGAUUCUUUUGCUUGUAACUUGGUAGUUAUGGAUUAGCAACUGAUAAAUAAAUCAUUUAGUGGGCUCUAUGUUGUGAGUAGUGAUAGGUAACUUAUCUCGACACCUUUUAGUAGAUUGCAUUAAUAUUUAGACUGGACCCUUUUGAUAGCUACAUUUGUGAACAAGAAUACAAUACGAUAAAGAAAUAGAUAAGAAGUUUCACCUCCUAUACUCCCAUGACCACAUCAUGACAUAUUCAAUGCCAAUCAUGAAUAUACAAACCAAUAGGAUUUGUUUUCUUCCAAAUAUUUAUUUGUGGACGUGAAUCUACUCACCCUAGAAGCAAGUUUCGUUAAAUUUACUUUGUUUAAUAAUUUUUUGUGAACAUUCAUUCUUUUUUAAUUCAACUGUUAUAUAAAAAUAUCUCACUAAGUAGAUCAAAUAUGCAAACUUUUAAUCAACAUUAUGUUGAUCCGAGGAUAAUUAAAUUCAAAUUCCUUAAGAAAGGUCUUAAGUUCAAAUUUUGUGAAUGGAAAAUAUAAUUAAAAAAAAAGACAUAACUAAAGUAGCUAGUCAAGUCAUGAUAAAGUCUUACAAUUCAUGAAAUAACUAAUAUUAUAUCAAUCAACUUCAUUUUAAUGGAUAGUAGUAUUAUUCUUUUAAAAUACAAGUAAAUGUUAACUAUAAGAUAAUCUUUAUGGUAAUAUAUUACAAAAUAUAAUAGUUAAGGGUCUGUUUGGGUGGUUGUUAGUUGUAAGUUUCAUUUUUAAUUUUAAACCAGUCUUUAAAAUUUGGUUAGUUUUCUAAUUCUUAGUUUUAAGAUAAAGCCAUUUAAAAAAAUUUCAAUCCUUUUAAAAUUAAUUUAAAAGGUGAUAAUGUCAACAUAGGUUAUGGUUCUAGUGUUAGUAGAGGCGACCAGAAAUGUCAUUGUCAAAUGUAGAGUGUGUACUUUUUUUAAAUUAAAAUCAAAAUUACAAAUGUUUUUUUUCUUUAUUUUGAAAAUAAAGAUAAAAAAGUGUUUUGAGAUAGUCAAUCAUUUCAACUUCAUUUUCUGCCCAAAGCUUUUGAUUUUGAAAAUUACAUUUAAAAAUAAAAUUAAAAAACUCACAAUUACCUGACCAAACCUUAAGUCUUUUAAAUUAAUUAAUAUUCUAUAAAGAAAUAGUAUUUUUAAAAUAUUUAUAUAAUUUAAGUAUUUACUUAUUUUUAGAGUGAAUAGAUCCCUUUCGUUUGUUUCAUUCAUCAUACAGAAUCAAUAAUACACUGGAAUAUUCGCUUAUAUAUAUAUAUAUAUAUAUAUAUAUAUAUAUAUAUAUAUAUAUAUAUAUAUAUAUAUAAAAUGUACAUGGAAAAAAUAAUUUUCCAUUAGUGUAUUAAAAUUUGAAGAGAGACAGACAAAUAUAUCCUUAUUUCCAUAGAGCCUGCAAAAACCUAACUAUCCAGUCAAUAUUUUAUAUUUCCGUAGUUUUUCUGACAAACCAAUUUCUUUAAUAAAGUUUUCAAAUAAGUUAUAUAACAUAUCAUAAUAUUCAAGGUUUUCCAAGAGAAAUUUAAAAAUUGUUAUUUUGACAAGAUAAGUGCUACAUAAUUGUGUGGUCUAUAGCGACUAAUGAGUCAAGGCAUCGUGACUCUGUCGUAGCAAAAAAGGUAAACAAAAACAAGUCAUUGUCAUAGCAUUAUUUGAAGUUGAAGAAUACGUAGUGUGAUAUGAUUUAUUUAUGACUUUUUUGGUUGUUUCCGUUGCAUUUUGUGAAUCGAAGAUCAAAUAGCUAGCUAUAAAAAGAUCCUAAACAGAUAACAACCUAUUGGUAAUUUAUUUUGUUUUUGUUUUAGUCUAUUCAAUUAUAUAUAGGCUCAUAUAUGUAGAUUUUAUAAGUUUAAGCCACAAAAAAUAUAUUUUUAUUAAAACAAUAAAAAGAUAUUGCCGUAGUGUUUAUACGAGAAAUGGCGCAUAGUAAGGUGCUCGAUCGAGUCUCUAUCAAUUUGCUUUUGGUAGGAAAAGAAAAGACAAAAGAAGAAAGUUACAAAGUGCACUCUUAAUCCUUGUGUCUUUAUAAUCAAGUUGGAUAAAGACACAUUAACACUCAUGUUAUUUUUUAAUUCCCUGAGUAUUUAACUCAAUUAGAUACUUAAAGAUUUAAAUUUGAGGCCGUUACUAGUUAAUUAAAAUAAUUCCGCAUAAAUUGAUUCAAACACAUUAUUUGACAUCUUAAGAGAAAAAGAAAAAAAAUGAAAUGUAAACAUGAUAAAUUAUAUGAUAUGAUAAGGGAAAUACAAAAAUAAAUAAAAGAUGUCAAAUAAAUAUCCAUGCAUGUAUCAUUACUAAUUAAGUUUCAAAAUCAUAGAGUGAUACAUGAAUUUUUUUAUUUUAAAUUCAAAAUAUAUCUCAGUGAAAACUAUUUAAUGUUUAAAAUAACAUUCAUACAUCAAUGUUUUAUUUGAGAACUUUGAUAAAUAAGUAUUUUGUUUCAGGAAUUAUGUUUAUACUUUAUAGUGUAUUAAUCCUAUGACAUAUUGUGUGAUAGUAACGAUGAGAAAGGAAAUAAAAAGGAAUAAAAUAGGAUAAAAAUAUUAAAUUCCUACUAUUAUUUGAAAGAAGAAAUAAAAAGUAGAAUUUUCUUAAUUAAUCUCACAUGAAAAUUAAUAUUUCUCCUCUAUAUAUCAAAAAAAAUAUCCCUGCUCAUGGGCAAGAAAGAAAACAAACAAAACAAAGGGCAACAAACAAGGCAUAGCCACUUGCUUGUGUUGGGACCAAAACAAAACAAAACAAAUGGGUCAUUAUUGUUUAGGGUGGUGGUAAGAUAAGGACUAAACUGUAAUUGUCUGGCUCAGCUGCAUACUUCAAAAAUGUGGUGCACAUGGAAACAAGGGGGAGAAGUGGAGAAAAUGAAGACCAAUGUACAUACUUUCUUCCUCAAUCAAUGUAUCAACAAUAUCAGUCCAUGGCAACGUUGUUUUUCAGGAUGUGACUCUCUCGAGGGCCUAAAGGCCCACCAGGUUCAUCAUUCAUCAAGGUUUUGUAGUUUAAUCAUACAAUUUCAAGCACCAAAGAAAAUGAGCCUUGGUAAGUUUUUUUUUCAUCACCAAAAUGAUAUUUUUUUUCCCUUUCAAAUUCUAUGGUUGCACUUGCACACAUUGGAUUUGACAUGUCAAUAUCAACAACUUUUAAUUAAAUGCAGUUCUUGUAAACAUUCAAUUUCAUCGAAACAAACAAAAUAAAAAUGUACAAAUGAGAACAUUUGAAAAAAAGAAGCAUAACCGAUUAUAAAAGAAGGAAAAGUAAUAUUCAAUCAGAAAAGAAAAUUGUGAUAACCAUCUUUUGUUCUCCCAUCUUAUUUUAUCUUUUUGUCAAAAUAAUUUUACAUUAUCGUUCAAUCAUAAAUCGUUACAGAUAUAAAUUUUAAAGUAAUUAUCAUAAAAAUUAAUAAAUUUAUCAUACAUGAUAAGUUAUAAUUGAAUGACGAUGUAUUUUACAUUAAGUAUAACCUAUUUUCUUUUUUUUCUUCGAUUGUUAUAUUCUUUGUCUAAUAAAAAAGAGAAUAUACUGACAUUAAAAAUAAAAAAAAUAGAAAAUUAUAAAAUAUAACAACACAACAAGAAGAAUGAUUAAGGGUAUGUUGGAUUGCUUUUUGAAGUGUUUCAAAUGGAUAAUUCCAUUUUUUCAUGCAAGUAGAAGCAAUUAUUGCUUGCCAUUUGAGUGAACGUUUAUUGAAGCGAAGGGCAACUUUUUUCCCAUCACGUCCUAGUUGUUUUGAAGUUAUUUUUGGCAUCUCUCUAGUUUCCUUUUGGGGGUUGCUAGGUGCACCCAGCAUUAUUGCUGGUGCACCCAGCACUUAUUGUGAAAAGUCACAAAUGCCCUUGUUAUUUUUUAAAAAAAAAGCAGUGCACCCAACGACCCUUUCUUCUUCCUUUUCCGCGAGCCUCUUCUCCUUCAUUCUUCUUCCUUUUCUGCGAGCCUUUCUUCUUCUCCUUCUUUCUUCUGCGAGCCUCUUCAACUUCUUUCUUCCUCCUUCCUCAUUCUUCCGCGAGCCCAUUUGCUUCUCUAGCACGAGGUGGUUGUUCUUCUUCCGCGCAAGCUGCUGCUUCUCCCUCCUUCGAGUGCGCUUCUUCUUCCAUUCUGCCGCGAGGUGCUGCUCUUCUAUUCUUCAUCGAGGUAAGGUCUAUUAUCCUUUUUCUUGUUUGUUAUUGCUUUCAUUGGUGAUUGCUUAAGUAUUUAGGUCAUCCGCAGUAGAGACAAGUUAGGACCUAGGUGAUCCGCAAAUAGGGUAGAUGAUCCGUAGGUUGUGUUUAUGUUGUGUUGAACUUGCGGAUCACGUUGAUCCGCAAGAAGAAAAGGUUGAUUCGCAUGCUUCCCACAGAUCAAGUUGAUCCGCAUGCUUCAUGCAGAUCAACUUGAUCCGCGGGAAGCAUGCAGAUCAACUUGAUCUGUGUGAAACAUUUUACAUUUUUAAAAGUUUAAAUUAGGUUAUAAUUAAUGAAAAAUGGUUUUUAAUGGUUACUUUUGAAGCUUUUGCCUCAAGUAUGAUAUUGUAUAAUGGUUAUUUAUAUCCUGUAUGGUAGUGAAUAUGCAAUUGAAAAUAUGAACACAAUCUAUUAGGUUGUAGCUUCUCAUGUGCCUAAAAAGGAUUAGAAUCCUUAAAUUUAGACAAGAAUUUGUGAUGGUGCUUGUCAUAUGCCUCAAAGCAGUAAACAUCCUGAAAUUGUUGUGUACUAGAUCAUUAACCAUAAAAUGAUGGUGGUAAGUUUAAAUCACUGAAAUAAUACUCCACCUACAAUAAUACCUCCCAACUACUGAGAAAAUCUUCAUAAGAUUUGGAUGAAUUGAAAAAGAAAAGUAUAUGGUCAGAAUAUUCUAGGAAGGAUAAAAAGAACUGUUGCUUUUCGUUGUCUUGGUGAAUUGAAAAAGAAAAGAAAAUAUCAAGCCAUGAAUGUCAUAAUCCAAAAUCCAAAUAGAUAUUUUUCAAAAUAAUCGGAAAAAAAUGAAAUAUCCAAGCACAAAUUGUCCCUUUUAUGUCUAAUGCUCUAGCAGAAUCAGACCUGAGGGUGAGAGUCAAAUUACUAUAUUAUACUCAAUCAAACAUCAAUAUGCAACUGCAGAGAUAAAUCACAUACUUGAGUAAUAGUUAGGAAAUAAUAGAGCAAACACACUUCAUGCAAAUGAUUGACCUCAACUUGCAAAAAAUUAGAAACAAUAGUUAGAAUAUAUACCCAAAGUAGGUCAAUUAAAAUAGUAGUUAGAAUUCAUGUUAUCCACCAAAUCCCAAAAUGAUGCUAACAAAAAUUAGAACCCUGAAUACAUGAUAUUUGAAUAAAAAAUUUCGAUAAGAAUACAUGAUAUGCAUGGGUCAUCAUAGAACCCAUCAUGCAACAUUAGUAAACUGUCUUGCACAACUUAAAGUCAAUCACACAUUUGCAGAUCAUGGUUAAGACUAGAGGAUUAGGCCGUGCAUUAGGUAGGGUUGGUGCCAAAGGUUUGGGGAGAGGAGGGGAUGGUGAUGAUACUGAUGGUGCUCCCCAGGGCCGAAGGCUGACCGCAUCGGCAAGCAGGUGACGAGUACCAGUCAUUCUUGACGAUGAUGUGCCUGUGGUGCCUGCGAACUCGCCUGCGGUACCAGAGGCAGAGGCUGCUGUAGCUGGGGAUGAGCCCAUGGUAGAUGCUGCCACACAGGACACCGGUGCAGAGACUGACGCACAGGAUACCGGUGCAGAGACUGACGGGGACGAGCUUGAGGGAUUUCUUGGUGGACCCAGGGACCCAUUAGUGCUUACAGAGUAUGCUGACCAUGUUGCGGGCAGCGUAUGGUCUGGACAGGUAUUUAUAAUAUUAAAGUUAGUUAACUUUUAUUUUUUUUUAUUUUUUGGUUACUUAUUGACGUUAUUUGAAAAAAUUGUGUGUUCCUUUGUACUUCAAUUCAGGAACAUCUUGAGUUGAAGUUAUGCUCCCAUGGGAGGAAGGUGCAUAACUUGGGCAGGUCUAUUCCUGCAAUUGAGGACAUGGUUGCUGGGACAGGAUUAAGUCCUUUGAUCGCGUGUUCAAUAGACACCGGCGAUCGGGGACUUAUAUCCUCCUUUGUUGAGAGGUGGCACCGGGAGACUUCUAAUUUCCAUCUUCCUGUGGGGGAGGUUUCGAUCACGCUGGAUGACAUCGCGUCUCUUCUCCAUCUGCCUAUCGUUGGCGCAUUCCAUGACUUCCAGCCUUUGUGCACCGACGAGACGGUGUUGCUGUUGGUUGAGUUACUGAUGGUCUCAGCAGAGGUGGCCAUGACCGAGACAGGCCAAUGUGGUGGACCAUACGUACGCCUGUAGUGGCUACGAGACGUAUACCAGUGCAGAUGUCAGACGCAGCACUGGACAGUUGCCGCUCAUGCUUAUCUUCUACAUCUUUUGGGUUGCACUCUUUUUGCUAAUAAGAGUGCAACCCAUGUUCAUGUCGCACACAUACAGGCCCUACGUAACCUCACUCUUGCUGGGCGGUAUGCAUGGAGAGCUGCUGGCCUCGUCCAUAUGUACAAUCAACUUAAUGAUGCCAGUCUCAGCACCAGCCGACAGUUUGCUGGUUAUAUCACCUUGUUACAAGUAAUUAAUAUGUAUUUCAUAAUUUAAUUACAACAAUGUUUUAAUGACUGUAUAUUUAAUUAACAUGUAUGAUUUUCAUGUAAACCCUAUAGUGUUGGAUAUACGAGCACUUUCCUUCAGUUGCAGAGUGCAAUGCUGAUCCGGACUACGACGAGGUGUUACCACGUGCAUGUCGGUGGAUUGCGACAAAGAAGACUGUGAAGAAGCUAUCUACAGCGACGUACAGGCAGUGCAUGGAUCGUCUGAGGAUCCUGGAUGCCUGCUGGAUGCCAUAUGCGGAGCACCGACCUGUGCAGAACUUUCAUCCGAUUUCGUGCUUCUCUGGAAAGCUCUGCAAGGGGCCUGCUGUUGUCAGAUACAGACUGGAGAGGUUUAUGCACCAGUUUGGCUACAUCCAGUGCAUUCCUGCACACCCUGUCCAUUCAUGGGUGUCAUAUGAUGACAUGGACGAUACGUGGACGCACUACUCAGACCAUCUGGAGGCAGCAGGUGAUCUAUGUGUUGUGUCAGGUCAGUGUGCGCCUGACUACAUAGACUGGUUCUUCGUCAUAUCGCAUCCAUUCAUGACUGCACCACAGACGAAUCCUCCUCGAGAUGCAUAUGCGAUGCAGCCCAGUCAUAUCCCUCAUGAGGCAGCACCGACAUCGACACAUGUGGAUCCUGAUGCAAACGAGCCCAGACAUGCAGUGGUAAGUGUUACUAUUUGGUUAGAUGUAUGCCAUUUACUUCAAUUAUUUUAAUACUAAUUUGUAUAAUUUGUUUGUUUUUUAUUUAACAGGAGGCUUGUCAUGCGAUCGCAGAGGCGUUGGAGCAGCAUCUAAAUGUGCUAGGCACAUCUACACAUGAAGAGGUUAUCCAAAAAUGCCUCAGGAUUGUCAGGAGUGUCACUGAAGACCGCAAUGUGUAUGUGAGGUCUCGACGUAGGCGGUGCACGGAUCAACAAUAGUUUAUUCACACUUUAGAUAUCAUUAGUUUUUGACGAUGUAUUUGACUUGACAUUUUGUCAAUUAUGUUUAAAUUACUUGAUCCAAAAUUUAUUUUGUAAUUGUAUGCUAAGAAAUUACAUAGACCCUAAGAAACUCCAUUUUGAGAAAACAUAAAGACAACUAAAACUUCUCUCCACAAAAACACUUAGGCAAACACAUCCAUGAUCCGCGGCACAAUAAUUUGCAAUAGUAAGCUCCAAAUCUGUUCUAAGAUCGUAAGUUCCUUGAUUAGUUGGUUCCUUCUGCAAAACAACCAAAAAAUUUACAAGCAGACAAGGUUAGGGAGGGGGAGGAAGCAAAUCCUUUUUCAAAAAUAAAUAAAUAUAUGAACUUAAUCCAAUAUCACUUUAAUUGUGACUGAAUAUAAUCACAUUAAUUUAAAAUAAAUCACCUCAAGCAGAAAGGAAAUGUUUUAUUAAACCAGUCAUUAUUUAACAAUAGCAAUGGAUAUUUUUAUAUAGCUACUUCAAAUUAACCUCGCACUAAAGUAGUUACCUGCAUAUAUCAGUGACAACUUUCAGUGCUUGCUUAGACACUUGUUGAUUGUGAUAUCUUCAAAUUAGCCAUUUGUCGCCUUCUCUUGGCUUUCCUUGAUAGAUUAUCCCUAUUAAUAUUUGAUCCGCAUGCAUCCCAACCUUUAGGAAGCCCAAGUAAUUCAUCCUUCUUUUCAAAAAUCUAGCUUCUCAUUGUCAUCAUGUCACUACAAAAGUCAGGGUCAGCAUCCUCUACAUUAUAAUAUUUCUCGUCAAAUGCCUUCUUCAUCAUUCUAUCAUACUCCUGUGGGUCAAAUUCCUCUUCAAUUUCUUCCCUGGACAAUGGGAUAAUAUCAUCACCAUGGAUCCCUGCAGUCUUCAUUAUCUUUUUAACCUUUUCCUGUAUUUCCUGCUUAUUCAAAUUCUUUAAGCGUUUCAACUCCUCCUCCCUCUCUUUUUGUUCUAUAGCCAUUCUCUCCUCUUUGCUCUUUCUCUGCUCUUUCCUUGCAUUCGUCUUCUUCCUCAUUGAUCCCUCCACCUUCCGAGCAUGACCCAACACCCUAUCUUCUGGAUUUUCCUGAAAUCUGUAUUCAUAUUCUUCCUAUCUCUUGAGCUCCAUCUCAUCCUCUGAAAUCUCUUGCAAUUCAUCCUCUCCAACAUUCAAAUUCUUCCCACUCUUGCCAAUCCACAAUUUGACCCAACACCCUAUCAAGUUGAUCCGUUGUUGAUCCAUAGAAGGCUUACGGAUCAACUUGAUCCAUAAACCAAACUCGAUCCAUAGAAGUAAAAUCAACAUACGGAUCAAGGUGAUCCAUGGAAGACUCGCGGAUCAACUUGAUGUUAGAGUUUGUGGUCUUAGUUCCUUUGUCCCACAUUGCUUGGUUUGUAAAAACUUGUGUCUCACUAGUGUUAUAUAUAGAGACACCUUGUAAGCUUUUAUGUGCAAGUAAUAAAAGUUCUCCUAGUGUAGCCGUGGACGUAGGCACAUACAUUGUGUGCUGAACCACGUUAAACUGUGUGUCUUUUUCUUUCUUCCCUUUAUUUCUUUCUCUUCUUUUAUUGCUCUAUACUAACAACUGGUAUCAAGAGCUUUUGGUUACUCCACGGAAUUUCCUUAGUUUAAAGGAAUUAGUGGGAGUCUUCUCAGUUUAGAGGAGGCAGUGGGAGCAAUGGCAUUAGAAGAGGGAAAAAUGAAGAUCGAGAAGUUCGAUGGCAGAGAUUUCAGCUUUUGGAAGAUGCAGAUAGAGGAUUAUCUAUAUCAGAAGAAGUUGUAUCAGCCCUUAUCAGGGGUUAAGCCAGAAGACAUGAAGCAAGAAGAAUGGAACUUGCUAGAUCGACAUGCUCUUGGCGUGAUCAGAUUGACAUUAGCCAAGAAUGUCGCGUUCAACAUCAUGAACGAGAAGACUACUGCAGGCUUAAUGAAGGCAUUAUCAGAUAUGUACGAGAAGCCGUCAGCAGCCAACAAAGUAUACUUGAUGCGCCGGUUGUUCAACCUCAAGAUGGGAGAAGGUAUCUCUGUAACUGAUCAUAUUAAUGAGUUUAAUACUAUUCUUGCCCAAUUGGAAUCUGUGCAUAUUAAAUUUGAGGAUGAGGUGAAGGCAUUGAUUUUAUUGUCAUCACUACCGGAUAGUUGGGCUGCAACUGUUACUGCAGUUAGUAGUUCUACAAGGGAGAACACAUUAAAGCUUAGUGACAUUCGUGACUUGAUCUUGAGCGAAGAUGUUCGCAAGAGAGAUUCAGGAGAAUCUUCCAGUCAUGUUUCCAAUUCAGCAUUGAAUACUGAAGGCAAAGGAAGGACUACCCAGAAGGGUCAGAAUGGUCGAGGCAGAUCAAAGUCAAGAGGGAAAGGUCAGAGAAAAUUUCAAAGUGACGUUACUUGUUGGAAUUGUGACAAGAGAGGUCACUUUAGCAAUCAGUGCAAGGCACCAAAGAAGAACAAGUCGCACAAAAACAAGAAGCGCGAUGAUGAUGAAUCCGCAAAUGCAGCAACUGAUGAACUUGAUGAUGCAUUAAUUUGCAGUUUGGAUAGUCCUGUUGAUUCAUGGAUCAUGGACUCAGGUGCGUCGUUCCACACUACUCCCUCUAAAGAUUUAUUGUCUAACUAUGUUUCUGGAAGAUUUGGAAAAGUUUACCUUGCAGAUGGAAAAUCUCUUGACAUUGUCGGAAGAGGUGAUAUCAACAUCAAGACCUCCAGUGGAUCCCUAUGGACAUUGCACAAUGUCAGACAUAUUCCUGCCUUAAAGAGAAAUUUAAUAUCUAUAGGGCAGUUGGAUGAUGAGGGACAUCACACCACUUUUGGAGAUGGAGCUUGGAAGGUAACAAAAGGCAAUCUCAUUGUGGCUCGUGGAAAGAAGCGAGGAUCUCUUUACAUGAUUGCAAAUGAGGAUAUGGUAGCAGUUACUGAGGCUGUCAAUAAUUCAACCAUGUGGCAUCAAAGACUUGGACAUAUGAGUGAAAAAGGAAUGAAGCUUAUGGCGGCAAAGGGUAAGCUAUCAAGCCUCAAGCAUGUAGAUGUUGGUGCUUGUGAACAUUGUAUCCUUGGAAAGCAGAAAAAGGUCAGUUUCUCAAGGGCAGGGAAGACUCUGAAAGCUGAAAAGCUAGAAUUGGUGCACAUAGAUGUUUGGGGGCCAGCCCCAGUGAAAUCUGUUGGAAACUCACGCUAUUAUGUCACCUUUAUCGACGACUCUACCAGAAAGGUAUGGGUUUAUUUUCUUAAAAAUAAAUCUGAUGUGUUUUCUGUGUUUAAAAGGUGGAAAGCAGAAGUUGAAAAUCAAACAGGUCUAAAGGUUAAAAGUCUGAAAUCUGACAAUGGUGGGGAGUAUGAUAGUCAGGAGUUUAAAGACUUCUGUUCAGAACAUGGGAUCAGAAUGAUCAAGACAAUACUAGGAACACCUGAGCAAAACGGUGUUGCAUAAAGGAUGAAUAGAACCUUGAAUGAGAGAGCAAGGUGUAUGUGGAUCCAAUCUGGCUUGCCUAAAGCAUUCUGGGCAGAAGCAAUAAACACAGCAGCAUAUCUCAUCAAUAGAGGACCAUCAGUUCCUUUGAAUUAUCAGUUGCCUGAAGAAGUAUGGUCUGGAAAGGAGGUAAAACUUUCACAUUUGAGAAUUUUUGGUUGUGUUUCAUAUAUACUGACAAACUCUAAUAGUAGAGAUAAAUUGGAUCCGAAGGCGAGGAAGUGUUAUUUUAUUGGUUAUGGAUCUGACAUGUAUGGCUACAGGUUUUGGGAUGACCAAACCAAGAAAGUUAUCAGAAGCAGAAAUGUUACUUUUAAUGAGAACUUAUUUUAUAAGGACAAAUUUUCUGCAGAAUCUACAUGUGCAGGUAAACUGUCAGAAAUUUCUGAGAAAGCAACACUUGAAGAAAUUUCAGAAAGUGAUGUAGCCAACAGAAACCAGAGUACAGGCGUAGAGGUUGAGUCAGAACCAGAACCAUCAACUCCUCCAAGAAAAUCUAGCAGAAUUUCAGUACCACUAGAUAGGUAUUCCCCUUCAUUGCAUUAUUUGUUGUUAACUGAUGCUGAUGAGCCAGAAUGUUUCAAUGAGGCUACACAGGGGAAUGACACUAUUGAGUGGGAGCUAGCGAUGAAAGAUGAGAUGACAUCCCUUCAGAAGAAUAAGACGUGGUCUUUAACUAAAUUGCCAGAAGGAAAGAAGGCGUUACAGAAUAGGUGGGUCUAUAGGCUAAAGGAAGAAUCUGACGGUAGAAGAAGAUACAAGGCGAGACUUAUGGUGAAAGGGUUUCAGCAGAAACAAGGAAUUGAUUUCACAGAGAUCUUCUCUCCAGUUGUAAAGAUGACUACCAUCAGAGUUAUUCUGAGCAUAGUAGCUGCAGAGAAUCUUCACUUGGAGCAGUUAGAUGUUAAAACUGCAUUCUUGCAUGGGGAUUUAGAGGAAGACAUCUAUAUGACCCAACCAAAAGGUUUUGAAGUGCCAAGCAAGGAGAAUCUUGUAUGCAAGCUUCACAAAAGUUUGUAUGGCUUGAAACAAGCACCGAGGCAGUGGUACAAGAAGUUUAAUGAGUUUAUGAGCAACUCAGGAUUCAAAAGAUGUGACAUGGACCAUUGCUGCUAUGUUAAAAAAUAUACUAAUAGUUAUGUUAUCCUUGUUGUGUAUGUUGAUGACAUGUUGAUUGCAGGAUCUAGUAUGGCAGAAAUUAACAGGUUGAAGCAGCAGUUGGCAGAAAACUUUGAAAUGAAGGAUCUUGGUCCAGCUAAACAAAUCCUUGGUAUGAGAAUUCUUAGAAACAAAUCAGAAGGAAUUUUGAAGCUGUCUCAGGAGAAAUAUAUACCCAAGUUGCUUGACAAGUUUUACCUUGGAGAUUCUAAGACCAGGAAUACCCCUUUGGGAUCUCAUUUGAAGUUUUCAAAGAAGCAAUCUUUGCAAACAAAUGAAGAAAAAUGUUACAUGUCAAGAGUACCAUAUGCAUCAGAAGUUGGGAGUUUGAUGUAUGCUAUGGUGUGUACCAGACCUGACAUAGCACAUGCAGUGGGAGUUGUCAGUAGGUUCCUAUCAAAUCCAGCAAAAGAGCAUUGGGAAGGUGUAAAGUGGAUACUCAGAUAUAUGAAGGGUACUUCAGAGAUGUGUUUGUGCUUCAGAAAAGGCAAUCUCACUUUACAGGGAUUUUCAGAUGCAGACUUGGGAGGAGAUUUUGAUACCAAGAAGAGCACCACAGGCUACAUUUUUACCUUGGGAGGUACUGCUGUGAGUUAGAAGUCUAAACUUCAAGAUAGAGUUGCUCUCUCAACCACGAAAGCCGAGUACAUAGCUAUCUCAGAAGCAGCUAAGGAGAUGAUUUGGCUAAAGAAUUUUCUCAAUGAAUUGGGGAAAGAACAAGAUAAUGCUCCAAUGUUUAGUUACAGUCAAAGUGCUAUAAGUCUUGCUAAGAAUCCAGUCUUCCAUUCUAGAUACAAGCAUAUUCAAUUAAGAUACCAUUUUAUCAGGGAGUUGAUAAAUGAUGGAAACUUAUCUUUAUUGAAGAUCUUAGGAUCAGAGAAUCCAGCAGAUAUGUUGACUAAAGCUGUUACAACUGACAAACUGAGGCUUUGCAUUGCCUCAGUUGGCCUUCAAGGAUAAUUGAAGAUGAAGGCGCUGCACUAGGUAAAGAGUCGAUGAACUCGUUGCUUACAAGGAGCUGCUAGAGUUUGGAACUUAGACCCCAAGUGGGAGAAUUGUUAGAGUUUGUUAUCUUAGUUCCUUUGUCCCACAUCGCUUGGUCUGUAAAACUUGUGUAGGCUUAGUCCCACAUCGCUUGGUUUGUAAAAACUUGUGUCUCACUAGUGUUAUAUAUAGAGACACCUUGUAAGCUUUUAUGUGCAAGUAAUAAAAGUUCUCCUAGUGUAGCCGUGGACGUAGGCACAUACAUUGUGUGCUGAACCACGUUAAACUGUGUGUCUUUUUCUUUCUUCCCUUUAUUUCUUUCUCUUCUUUUAUUGCUCUAUACUAACACUUGAUCCGUAAGCCAAACUUGAUCCGUAGAAGUAAAAUCAACAUACGGAUCAAGUUAAUCCGUGGAAGACUGACGGAUCAACUUGAUCCGUGGAAAACUCGCGGAUCAACUUGAUUUGCACUUGGUUCACGAGUCUUCCACGGAUCAACUUGAUCCGCACAAGGAAAAAAAGGACAUUUUUGGAAUUUUUAAAGGAUGCUGAGUGCACCAACAAUAACGCUGGGUGCACCUAACAACACCCUUUCCUUUUUCUUGAUCACUUCCUUUUUCCCAUUUAUUUUCCCGACACACAAUUUUAGUACUACACAUCCUACAUGCACCAUCUAAAGACUCACUCACAAAUCCAGUCUAAUUAAGGACAAGUUAAUACGGAGAAAUUAAUUAGUUCUCUACUACUACUGUAUAUUUAUAAUAUUGAUCAAUCUUUACCUAACAUGAUACGUAUUUAAGUUUUUUAAUUUAAGAAAAAAAUAAUAAUGCUAAAUUGUAGACACUCUUAGAUUGUUUGAUAAUUUUUUCUCUCAAAAAAUUAUUAGAUAUCCAAAACCAUCAUAGACUCUAUUAACAUAAUAUACAAUGCCACUUAAAAAAAACAUAAUAUACAAGGCUAUUAGUUUUUUUUUAUUAAUUAAAAAACUUGAAUAUUUUUUUUAUCGACAAAUAUUCUUUGUUAAUAGAAAAGAUCAGAUUUUAUGAUUUUUUUUCUUUUUCCUUCUCCUAUAAUCAUGUAAUUUACCUUAUAUUUCCGAAAAAUCUGAAAAGGUAUCAUACAAAUUGAUUCAGGCUAUAGAGAUGUAGUGAUCCGAAACUACUUAAUAUAUAGUUUCUUCCACACUCACGGCACUCAAAUAUUUCAUUUCCUCACACAUAGACUGCACCUCCCCCCUCACACACUCACACACUCACUCAUUCACAACACCACACUGACUUAUUCAUAUUCAUCCGUCACAUGAAAGGCCAUGGCAAGCACACACACAAGUUACAAAGCAAAUCCAAACUCUUCAGUGAUGAACCUUAUUUGCACCAUGCAACCAUAAUAUCCACCCAUCAUAGAUCUUAUAGACAAUUGCAUAUAUAGCCAUCAAAGCUUUUCCCAACCAUUGAACUUCUCAACCGAGUCUUCAAAGCUUUUUCCAACCAUUGAACUUCUCAACCAAGUCUUCAAACCUUCACGUGAAUCUGUCAUCAAGACAGCCCCUAAAUUAAGCUUGAGCCGUCUGUGUCAUACACGUAUAAGAGGUCACGCAUGGUUUACAUCAAGAAAAGAAGCUAUCAUAAAGAUAUUAAUUCUAUUUUUUGUUGUUGAAUAAGUCUAGGGUAUAAUAUAUUUUUUAUUUCUCAAAAUAGUUGAGAACGAUAGUUUUGAAAUAUUUUAAAGGAUAAAAACAUAUUUUACCUAGAAUUCUAUUUGUAUUUUAUUUCUUGCUUAGUUUUCGUGGUAAAGGCGUAAGGCAUAGCCGCAUGGAUAUGAACUUAUCAUAGGGCUCCAUUGAAUCAAAUCAGUUUAAACUUAAAGCUUUUGAAAAUCAUUAUUAAAAAAAAAUGAACUUUUGAGGACACCAAAAUUACGUCACUGAAAGAGAAUAAUGACUUCUUCUUCUUCUUUUUUUUCCUGUUGUAAACUUAGGAGUUUCAAAACCCAAGUUCCAAAUUUGCAAUGGUUUCUUGUUUUUGGUUCGUAAGUGGAUUACAAAAAUUUCAUUUUAACGAAAACUUUUGGAUUAUUUUAAUAUUAUGCGCUAGUUGUAAUUAAAAGUCAUUAGGAUUGUUUUAGAAAACUAAGAAUAAAUCUAUAAUUAAUUUCUCUUAUCUUUUCAAAAUACUCAUUAGUUUUUUUUUAAAAAAAAACCAACACAGAAUAGUAUUUUUUUAGCCAUAAAAAAAAUAAGGGAACGAAAGACUGAGGGAAGAAAGCCAAUUUAAUUAAAAAAAUAGAAAAUGAAUUUUUUUUUAAAAACACAAGAAAAUAUUGGGCCAGGAAAUAAAUAUGAAUUAUAAUAAUCAAGAGCGUCAUGCAUGCUUAGUAGCUUUCUGUGCAUUAAAGAACUCUAGAGAAAUUAUGUGUUAUGAUCUAUUCUUACAAAAACAUAUGCCAUAGCCUGUGAACUGGAUCCGUGUUCAUGAUCUCUUGUAUAUGCUUUUGUUCUUUAAUUGUUAAUAAUUAAGAACACAUGCCGUAGUGCAAGUUUAAAUCACGAAGAGUUAUGGAUACCCAUAAUUUUUUAAGGGAUAUAAAAUAAACUAUCCUUUUUGUUAUUGUAAUUUAAAAAUUUAAAGACCUUCUAAUUCACCUCAUAAUCAGUUUCAAGUCCAACCAAUUCUAUUCAUCCAUGCUUCACUCAGGUUCUUUUGAGACCUUUUAAAAAAAAGAAAAAGGACAUGAUGAGGCCCUUAUUUAGAUGUAAUAGAGGUGUUUAUAUAAAAUUAAGAAGAAGAAAAAAGAUCGUCAGCAACAAAUUGAAAUGAAUGUGUAUGCAAAGUUAAAACCUAAAAGGUUAAUCGAUCAAUGAUGGAACACCCAAAUAGUCAUGUUUUAGUUUCUCCCAAGCUCCAAAGGGGAAAAGCGUUUGGUAAAAUCAGUCAAAUAAGUUAGUUGAUAAAUAUAAAUUAACACAAAAAAAUAUAUGUAAUUAUUUGAGUUAAAAAGUGAUUAAAAAACGAGUGAGAAAAAAAGAAAGCUACAAACUUAUAAACUAGAGCUUAUUUUCGUAAGUUAAUUGAUACAGUUUAUGAAAAUAAACUCCAAGUUAAUAUAAUAAACUGUACUAAAUAAACUUAUAAGUUGAUUAAAGUAAUUUGUAAACUAUUAGAGUAUCAUACGAAAACAUUUAGUAUUCGUUCAGAGUCGCAAGUUGCUAGUUUUGGAACUUGUAUUUAGAAGUUUCUCUCGGUGCUUUAAAAAUUUGGAGGUAUUUAUGGUCUUAGCUGGAUUCAGACUGUUAACUUCAUAUUAAUUUUUGCUUAGAAAAAUUUACAAUAGUUGCAUGUUGUUCCUUUCCGAUAUUUCAUUUUUGUCAUAUAAUUAGUUAAACUAGCUUAACUAUAAGCUACUAAAGUGUCUUAUUGAGGGUUUUCUCCUUGCUGCACCGUUAGGGUUUUUUUAUUGAUCCCAAGGCUUGUAUGCUUGUUUUUCCCUUGUGGUUGUCGCUCUACUUAGGGUGAUUUGCUGUCCCAAUGUGACACCUUUUAUUCUUAUAUACAUAUUUAUAUAAUAAAAUACAUGAAAAUGUGGAAUUACAUAAAAUAAUUUUAUUCAAUAAACAUAAAAGAACUCACGUGAAUAAAAGGUUCACAUUUCGGUUAAUCACCAAAUUAAAAACUUAUCAAUUAAGAGUAUGAAAAUAUUUUCGACUCAAAACAACGUCGUUCAAGUUUACAAAAGAACAUAAGUUAAGUAGCAUAAUAAAAUAAAGUAAUAUGAUGACAUGUUUGGAACAUUAUGCAAUUAAAACAGAAACUCAUGCCUUAAUGUCACAUCCUAUCAGAGCAUUAUGUCUUGACGUCCUCCAACACGAGGUUCCUUAAAGCAAUCCACCUUGUCAUAUGCUCCAACGAACACAAGUUUCGAGAUCAUCACAAGAUCCAAAUACAAACAACACACAUGGAGCGAGAAGUGAAUUGUCACAUUUCUAAACAGGUAGAGAUAAACGAAUAUAUAUAUAUAUAUAUAUAUAUAUAUAUAUAUAUAUAUAUAUAUAUAUAUAUAUAACAAGCUCAACUUAGAACAAUUCACAUCAUUUUACCACUCAUUGUGUAUCAUCACUUUUCCCAAGGAUUUAAUCACAUUUCACACCUUCACAUUAAUCGCGUGUUCAAAACAACAAAUCUCAAGUAUAACACAACAUCUCACACUCACACAAUUCAUUACCCACCAUCAUGUAGUAAGUCACAAGGAUCAUUACACAUGCGUUAUACAACAGAUACACUAAGACUCAAUCCUAUAUGCAAUAUGGUAUCAUGUCAGUGAAAAACCUCGUUAGACAUCUAAGAGUACAUGACAAGACAGAUGACACACUGGUAAGUCAGAUCACUCUCACUAGGUAAAAUAAUAGGGAGACCAGUCAGGGUCACGCUGUUUUGCGAGAAUGCUUCAAUCAUGUGGGAUCGACACAUGCUUAAAAGAGCACUCAAACUGAGUGCAUUUACCUCCAAGGCUUAGACUCCGAAGAGUCUGUCAGGUCCUCUCCCUCCUAAUUCAAGUCCAACCCAAAAAAUAUUUUAACACACAGACUCUAUCUAUGAACUAUACAAAACACACGACUCCUCAGUUGUUCUCAAAAUAAUUUUAACUCCUCGUGCCUCAAAGUGAUUCAACUCUUCAGGUUCCCACAGUGGACUCCAUCACAAUACUCGUCGCACAUUAACUUGUUGCCCUUAAAGGCUCUUACACUCGUGUGAUUUUAAGAUUCAUAGCUCACAACUCAAUGCACACAACAUCUCAAUACAUGUGUGAUCUCUCAAUUUAAUACAUACUCAACUUAUCACAUACACCNNNNNNNNNNNNNNNNNNNNNNNNNNNNNNNNNNNNNNNNNNNNNNNNNNNNNNNNNNNNNNNNNNNNNNNNNNNNNNNNNNNNNNNNNNNNNNNNNNNNAACCCAAUCUCAAUCACAAUGUUAUAAUCUCAAAGCAACAUGUUAUCACACCUCACAAAUCAUAUACACAUCACACAAUAUUAUUAUAUACAUGACACAAACACAAACUUUACCUAUAAACUAUGCAAUAUACAUAACUACUCAAUUGUUUUCAUAAUCAUUUUAACUCGUCUUGUCUCAAAGUGAUUCAACUCGUUGGGUUCUCACACGGAUCCCAUCACAAUACUCGUUGCGAAAAAACUCGUUACCCUUAAAGGGUCUUACAAUUGUGUGAUUGCACAACUCAUAUCACAACUCAAUACAUACAAUAUCUCAAUAGACAUGUAUCUCACAAUUCAUCACAUAUUCAAUUUAUCACUUACACGCAAUUUCAUGAUCCCAAUAUAACAAUUUAUCAUGCUAAUCUAGUAAAUCUUGUCCGAAACACAAACAAAUUAUACAAAAAAAUGUUUCUCACAACAUAGGGAGUAAAACCCCUUAAACAAUUUCACAUAAUCAUAUCAAAAUAAAAUAAUCAAAAUCAUAGGUCAAAAACACACGAACACUAAGAGCACUCAAUUUCAUCAACCAAUUCGCAUCAGGGCAUCAAUUGGUCUGUCAAACAAAACAAUCUCAUAAUUAUAAUCGUAAAGGAAGAAUUACAAUACAAUAAACAUCUCAAAAUAAACUAUAAUUUGAUCCUCUAAGGAUCCCUACACAUGUUCAUUCUAACCCCAAUUGCGAUAAACUCAUCUCUUACCUCUAAACGGGCUCACAUGUGUAGUUCGACAAUGAUAGUGGCAUCUCUAUUGGUUCCAUAAGAUUUCUAAAGCUUUUCUUCUGGUUGCUCUGCUAGGGUUUCCAAGCAUUAGAGAGAAGGAGAAGGGAUUGGAACCUCAAUUUUACUGUCUCCAUGUGAGGGGAAUUUCUCUCUCUACAAACAUUAUUUCACAAAACCCAAUGGUGAGAAUGUGUAAAAAUGUGUUUCAAAGGUGGUCUCCAUAUUUUACAAUGAUUCAAUGGUUAAUGAGUCUGAAAUUGUAGUUGUACGAGGACAUGUUUGAAUGUAUGUAGGAAAAAGAGAGGAUUUUGAGAGAGGAAGAAGGGAAAACGAACUUGAGAAGAGAAGGCAUAGAGACGUAAAUGUAAGAAAUGACCUAACAUGUUUUUAUUUAUAACUAGGGUACUCUCAACCUAUUAUUUACUCUAUUUUUAUUUAUUUUAUAAAAAAAACUUUAUUUCACUCUUUCAUUGAAUAGAUAACCAAUUAAAAUAUCCAUUUAUUUUCUAAAACAUCAUUUUACUCUAUUUAUUUUCUAAUACUAUGAAACCCUUAUUUUAAUUAACAAAAACUUUUUUCUCUCAUUUAUUUAAUUUUUAAAAACUCUAUUAAUUUUUAAAUAAAACUCUUUUUAUUUAUUUGACGAAAAUCUGGUGUUACGCCUAAUAUAAUAUUUAUGCCUAUUUGGUACUUACCAAAACAACGUCGAAUGGAUCAUGGAAAUAACCUUGACCUCGCUGAUGAGGAAAAGGAAAUAAUAGAGUUGUCAAAACCGAAGGAAACAAGUCAACUGGGUAAGGUGGAUGUGGAAGGCAAUUAGACGGUCUUCAUCUUACAAGAGAUUUUAUGGAGUUGAAUUAGGUUAAAAAGCCCAAAUUCUAGAAAAUUUCCAUAAAAAUCAUGUUUUCGAUAUCAAAUAUUGUAAAAAAAUAGUUAAAACAACUAUGUAUGCAUUUUGUUCUCUUCUGAACAUACAUAAACAACAUUUUCCAGUUUAAAACAAGAUGUUGUCAUGUGAUAUGUGAGGAAGGAGAAAUUACAAAUAGUUUAAACAACUGUGCAUUUUGUUCUCUUCUGAAUACACAUAACCACCAUGAUUUUAAAUUGCAAUUGCGGUUGUAGUUGAAGUUCAGUUGCAAUUGUGGUGUGUCACAAAAUUUUUAUAUUAUGGGAAAGUGUGACUUAUGCAGUCACAAUAUGAUUAUGGAAAGUCAAAAUAUCUUGACGUUGCGACCACAAUUGUGGUUGUGGACCACUAUUUAAAAUCAUAAUAAACACCAUCUUAAGGCUCAAAAACAAGGAGGAAUUAUUAAGUAGUCGUGUAUUCAAGUUUUUCAAUUUACAAAAAAAAAAAAAAGAUUAAUAACAGUCAACUACACGUUACAUGAUGAGGCUAACCAGGGAGGCAGUGUUGCACUGGUGAGGAGAGUUGCGUUAGGGUUUCAAAUGAGAGACAAAAGGGGUUCUGCACUUGCAAACACGUAGUAAAUGAAUGACCAGAGAACGCAUAGUAAAUGUUCUAUCCUUUGUAACGAUAAUAGUCCAUUUAGUGUUUGUUAAUACAUUUUACAAGUAGAUAUAAAAUAUAAAAAAAAUUAACACUAUCUUGUGCAUUAUAAAAAUAUUUAUAGAAACAUAUAAAGUAUAUAUAAAAAAAUAAUAUUAUAAUAAUGUUAAAGAAAAUAUAUUUUAUUCAUAAAAAAUAAAAUGUAAAAAAUGCAGAAUUUGAAACUUCAUCUUCUUUAAAUUUCAAUCUCAUAUUUAUAUAAACUUUUUUUUCUUCUUCUAAAAACAAGAUAUUCCCAUGAUGAGAAGUUACUACAUUAAUUCUAUAAAUUAGUUAAGAGAUAAUUUCUCUUUUCACACAUAUCAUUUUAUUUAUAAAGAAAUCAAACCACUCGUAUAUUUAAAAGAGUAAAAAUUACUAGUGGCUACAUCCCAUGAGUAAACUAAAAUUAGCUUAGCUAUAAGUUAAGUAAACUUUUACAGGAACUAAUAUAAAAGAAAUUUUAUGAAUUGACUUAAAAAUAAUUAAAAUUUAAAAAAAAAUAUUUUAUUUUAUUUUUCUAAUUUUUAAUAUUAUUUUUAUUUUUAUUUAUAAGUCUCGAAAAUUAAAUUUAUUAUUUUUAUUAAGAUUCAAUUUAUUAUAUUUAUUGUAUUAAUUAUUUUUAAAUUAAAAUAUUCCUAAUUAAAUAAGAGAAAUAUUACAGUGAUAAAUACUUUAUUUAGAAGAGAAAAAAAAUUAUCGUAAUACAUAUGCCUUUUAAAUAACUUUUUACAUUUUAAGAAACGAAUCUCUAAUUUUCAGUCAAAGUUACCUAAAAAAAAAGAAAAGAGAAGAAAAUCCCUUAUUAAAUUAAUUAACAUUGACAAUGGCAUUUCAUUGUGGUAGAAAAAGUUCCCUUAAAUAAUAAAUGAGUACUUGAUCUACAUUUUCUCUCUCUUCAUUCUCCAACAUCUACGUUAUCUCCUCCAAUUCUUUAAAAUAUUUAUAGAAACAUAUAAAGUAUAUAUAAAAAAAUAAUAUUAUAAUAAUGUUAAAGAAAAUAUAUUUUAUUCAUAAAAAAUAAAAUGUAAAAAAUGCAGAAUUUGAAACUCUUCUUUAAAUUUCAAUCUCACAUUGUAAAAAAUGCUGAAUUUGAAACUCUUCUUUAAAAAAGUUUACAUAUAAAGUUUUUAUUUUAUUUUCAAAUGAACUAAUAUGCAAUAAUUUAUAUAAAUAUGUGUUAUAUUUAAAUGAUAAUCAUGAAAUAAUAAAAUUAAAAUUACAGAAUUUCUUUUAAAAAUUUAGUUUAAUUUUUAAAUGUUUACCUUUUGAAUUUGUUAUUGUUUAUUAAUUAUUACAUUUUUUAAAUUAAAACAUAAUUAAUAACUCAAUAUAUUAUUUUUAAAUAUAUAUAUAUAUAUAUAUAUAUAUAUAUAUAUAUAAUUAAAGAAAAAGAGUUGAUAUUAACCUCGGUUCUUUGAAAAUCGAUGUCGUUAAGCACUUUUUAACAUUGGUUAUUUGAAAACCGAUGUUGUAAGUGUUUAACGACAUCGGUUUUCAAAUAACCGAUGUUCAUGGGACGAUGUUAAAACUCAUUUUUUUAGUAGUGAGGGAUUGUAAUGAUCUCAUACCUUCUAAUAAUUUCUUUGCUACAAAGUUGUUUGGAGUUUGGAUGUUUAUGGCAAAGUAUGUGAAAAGGCACCUAAUGGCCUUUUAAGUUGGCAUUUUCACUUUAAAUUAUUGGUUGAGAGACAAACCCACUAACUAAAUAUUUGCAAGCAAUGAAGAAAAAGAAUAACAAUAUCCUCCGACCUUAUGUGUUUAAUAGAGGUUAAUAACUAACAUAGGCAUAAUAACAUUAUCAAUCAAUGUAGAAAAAGCAUUAAUACAUGCAGCAAUAAUUCUCACUGAUAAAUGAGAAUGCAAAUGUUACAGUGAAAGAUUUAAAAGAACAAUUAGCAACCUUGCUAUGAUACUAAGUGCAGGUUUGAAUUAAAGAAGAGUACAAAAGCCUAUUGAGAGAGGAAUGAUCUCUGAGUUGUCGCUGUUUUCGGGUUAAGCAUGGGAAUGAGUAUGUUGGAGUUGAAGUUGGCUUCGGUGGAUUUUCAAACAAGAGCCUUCGAUAUUUCGGUGUGACAAAUGGUAGAUGAGGUUGUUGCUCGAGACUCAAGAGGGGACAGAUAGGAAGAUGAGGUUCUUGCUUUCAUUUCAGUCUCUGUUGCAAUACUCUAAUUAUAGUCCCUAAUGAUUUGGCAUCUUAGUUGCCAGCCGCAUGUGUCAUGGGUAUGCCAAAUAGGCACUUAGCGUGUCACAUAACACAAAUGUUAUUGUAUGUUGUGCAGUCAAAGGGGAAUAAACAUCGAGAAAAUUUACACUAAUGGAUCAUCAAAUAAACACAUAAGUGAAUCUACACCACAUUUUAAUCCAAUGUGUGACUUCACCUUACACUUAAUUGUUGGAUUGAGGAGCGAGAUGGUUUGCACUUCCAAGGAUUAUUUUUUUAAUUUUAAAGUGUUACACACUUUUAGGGACCAAAAUGAUAUUUAACCCUAUAUUUUGAGUAAUACUUGUAUCUGAAUCUGUAUAACUAAAUAUGUCUUGUCAUAUAAGAUUCUUAAAUUUACUUUAGUAGGCAAACUGGAUAAGAUUAUUGCUAAAAUAAAAGCAACAAAAAUGGUGAAACCUAAUUGUUCAGCAUUUUCAGAGGAACCUGUGAAGGCACUCAUCUUGUUGACAUAGGCUUUGUACUCUGGACUCAUCUUUUGAAACGUUAUUAUGUCACAUGCUACUAAUUAAGUUGAAAAAACAAAGUACAUUGUUUUAGAAGCUAAAGAAGAGUUAUUUAAAAUUUGUAGUGAAAAUGUAGUGUGAAAAGCUAUUUGCAAUUUGCUUCAUUAAUAAAGUGGACAACUCAAUUGUUGAUUUCGUUACUAAAUUUCAAUGGUUUUGGUUGAAUAAGGAAUUCAGUGGACUGAGAAGUUGUGCUUAAGAGGAAGAGAGUGUUUGGAUACAUGUUUUGAAAUGGGAAAGAAUGAUUAAAAGAGAUAGAAAUUAGCUUGUCCAACAAUGCUAUUCUAUUGAUAUUUUCUUCAUACCAUUUAUCUUAGAAGACAAAUGAUUCCUUUUUAUAUUUUUUUCUAUUGCCUUCCUUUCCAUGAUCUUUUUUGUUUUAACCAUUAACUGAGUUGGAAUAGUAGUAAAAUCAUGUAGAUAUUUGUUUUCAUUUGGUGGGGGCGAUAUGAAUGAGAAAAAUCCAUACAACCAAACAAAGUUGGGGCUCAGAAGAAAGAGAAACAUCCCUCCCUUAAAGAAUAACUAAGUUAGAUUUCUUAGGAAAAUUUGUUGAUACUAACAUCUUGUAUACAAAUUUCUAUACCACUUUCAUUUUAAACACUAUUAGUUCCUCAGUCAUGAACUUUCUAUAUUGAAAAUUUGUCGUCUAUUUCUUUUACAGGCAGUGGCUUAGCUUUUCAUAUUUUGCCAGAUUAAAUUAUGAGUUACUCUUUGAACUUUUUAUGCAAUACUUGACUAUUGAUUUUUUCUUAUAGUUGUCAUCUCAUGCAAUGCACUUUUAAGAUAAGGUUACAUUGUUUGGUCGAGAGCAACAAUUUACUUAUGACCAUUAUAUAUUCAAAAUGUAUGCUUGGCCAUUAAUCAACCAACCAUGAUAAGCCCCAUCAUCCACCACCCCUUCUAUACCAUAGGCACAUUUUGCUUAUCUACUUUGCUACUGUUACUUUUAAACAAGUCAAACAAAUAAUAUGGUUUUAAAUCGUAGUUGUGAUUACAGAUGUGAUGAGUCAGAAAAGCUUUACAUUGUGCAAAAAUACGACUGAUGCGAUCAUAAUUACGAUUGCGGUGAUAUGAAAAACCUUAACAUUCUGGUCACAAUUAUGAUUAUAGACUGCAAUUUAAUAUGUAUUACUUAAGCUAAUGAACAUGUUGAGUGUUAGUUGAUAUGGUUCUCUAUAUCUUUUUUCCAAUACAAAUUCACCUUUAAAAUAUAAAACAUUACUGUAACAAAGGGACAAAGACAAAGGGUGCCACUUAACCCAUACAUGGGAAAUGAUGGUCAUAAAAUAUGUUAGGCCAAAAUGCAAACUACACAAAAAUAACAUCAACUCCACCAUAGUCACACAUUUAUGUUCUUCCAAGAAAGAGAUAACAUAAUGAAGCCUCCUCCAAGUGUCACCUCUACAUGGUACCUAACGAUAAGGUUACCAUUCAAUUUUUUCCCUUACUCGUGUGGCCAAUAUGUUGAAAUGUCAUCACUUAUACAAUCAAUGGUUGUAACUUCACAGCAACCGAUCCUCUUCAUUUCACACCAUUGGAUGAGUACUACAAAAAUGACACCCUUAAAUAUAGCAAGUUUGAGUAGAAUCUAGCAGCUGAAGCAAAAGUAAUUUAGAGAAAAGAAGGAAAUGGCUUCCUCACCGAUCUCCUCCCCAGUAGUUACCAUCAUUAACCGUGUCGGUGUCAGCAUGGUUGCCCCUUUCACUGGCCUCAAAUCCAUGGCUGGCAUCCCUACCAGGAAGACCAACAGUGACAUUACCUCCAUUGCUACCAAUGGUGGAAGAGUAUAAUGCAUGCAGGUAAGACAAUUCCAAACAUACAAACACAAAAGGCACCAAAAUGAUUAUAAUUGAUGUUACAUAUUUAUGUAUGCUACAAAAUGUUACUUAAAUUAACAUGAUAGUUAUAGGAAAAUAUGCUCAUGUGCAAGUUUGUUAACUCAAUUUUCAUGUAAAUUAAUUACUAGGUGUGGCCUCCAGUUGGCAAGAAGAAGUUUGGGACUUUUUCCUACCUGCCAGACCUUGAUGAUGCCCAAUUGGCUAAGGAAGUAUAAUACCUUCUUAGGAAUAGAUGAAUUCCUUGCUUGGAAUUUGAGUUGGAG